RNAcentral lists this long non-coding RNA (97533 nucleotides) under Nicotiana tabacum (common tobacco). Its description in RNAcentral is "long non-coding RNA (NTAB_LNC012739)". The record is from RNAcentral. Lineage: Eukaryota; Viridiplantae; Streptophyta; Magnoliopsida; Solanales; Solanaceae.
AUCAUGCACCUAUGAUGAAAUCACACCAUGUACCUCAUAAGUCGGUUGCCCAUAAUAACAUCCUCCGACCACAAUAGCUGUAAUUUCCCGAAUCUGAUGUCUGCAAUACAUCUCAUGAUGCAUAUAAAUCAUGUUCCAACUCUCGCAAUACUGCCACGAUGAAAGAGACGUGUAGAAACUCAUAACCACGUGCUGAAUCAAUAAUUCAUGGAGUCUCUCCUCCUGACAAGAACCAUUACCUCAUUCUGAACUGAAUAACGAUAUUUUCUCCUUAAUGUACCUUAUAUAAAUAUGAUUGCACUAAUUUCAGGUCCAAUAAUCUCGUCUCACCCAGUACAAGUUGCUCAGGCAAUAAGCUGUCUCAGACACUGCCAAAAGUCGUAUAUGACGCCCACAACGCGCCAACAAGCUACAACUCGAAUGUGUUACAUAAGGAAGAACGGACUCUGGAGAAGGACUACCCAACCCGCAUAACGAAUAAAACGGUCGAAUAGAUGUUGUGAACCACCUCAGGGAUGAAAACAAGGCACACAAAAUAAGUGUAAGGAACUAUGCUCAACAUCUCGUUGUUGCGGCGUGCAACCCGAUCCGAUAUGACAUUGUUGCGGCGUGCAACCAGAUCCGAUAUGACACUGUUGCGGCGUGCAACUCGAUCCACAUAACAUGCCCGUGGUGGCAUGCCACCUGAUCCAGACAAUAUACCUGUGGCGGCGUGCCACCUGAUCCGCACAUAAUAUCAAGAAGAAAAAUACACACAUCAAGCCGCAACGCUUAUACUUAUGAAAUGCCCGAAUAUCAACCACAAGCACGCCAAGUUCAUAAUACAAAUCUUGGGGAGAUGGAUAGUGCCAUACGCUACGAAACCCAAGCACAACUAGGGUGCAGUAAAUGACCUGCAUCUCGAGAGCCAUCCUGCUCACAUAACACCACAAGCUACACGGGGCCUCAACACGUAUGCGAAUAAUCAAGCCGUCUCAUAAUCCACAUGGAACAAUAGAGAUUUACAUGGAAUAGCUGACGACGGGAAUAACAUCUAAUGCCUGACGCCUCCUCCGUAAGCAAUGCUAUGACGAACGAACAUAUCCGACCUGACGUAGAGCACACACUCACAUUAGACCCACCAAUGGACCUCUCACCGACUCUGAUAAUACCAUACUGGACCAAUAACCUUCCAAAGAUCCACAAUGGCCCUAUUCAUGACACAUAAGAACAACCGUCAAAUCUGAAACAAACUCCCACAAUCCACAACUCAAGGAAUAGAAUGCCUCUCAAGCAUAAACUCUCGUAUUUGCGAUAUUACCAUAACCUCCAUACUUGGUUUUAGUCUUUAACAAUCAAGUGACUAACAUGCCACACUCAUACAAAUCUCCCUAUGGGGUAUGCUCCCAUGACCUUUCGCUCAGGUAGAAAAGUCCGCACAUCCAUACCACCAACCGUACUAAUUCCGUAAGGCAAAUCACAAUCUGCAAAUCAAUACACAAUGCCUCUUCCGCAGAACACCAUUCUCGGGCGACACUAAGAUAACGCCAACUUACCCUAAACAUCUGAAUACUUCCCUACUCAUCCAAGCUCGUGACAUUCUUAUCAACACCAAACUGCAACCUUGAUCCUCAACUUCCAAUUCCCAUGCCACUCACUGCACCCAUCAUGCUGCUAUACGAGAGUACACGAAUUCAUCAUAACCCCUGAACUACUAGUAUAAUAAACACUCCAUUGGCUAGAAACCUUUCACUUAACUCAUUUCAGAAGAACCAAUGCAACACGCAACUGAAUUCUCAAACCGCAGAAAAUACAAACCUCAAGUCGUGAUCUAAACCGUCGUGACUCUUCCGGAGUCCAUUUACACAAUAAGGCCAUUCGAAUCUAAUAUCGGCCAAUUCAAUCAAGGUAUGGUGGCUGUCAAGCCUGCACGUACAACCACAACCCACAUGCAUAACUUCACACCAAAGAAACUGAUCAGUGCCACAAUUAUGCCGACUCAACCAUUACUAACCGACCCAACUUCUUUCAAUUUACUCUUGACCUGACUUAGAAAUAUAAUAGCUCCAUUCAUAACAUAACGAACUCAAUUCGCACUCAGCCCGAGUGACUCGAAUCGCGAGACCACAUCGUCUCAAUACUCAUGAACCAUCUCAUACCCUCCUUAUGUGCUCAAUAACAUCUCCGACUAGUACACCCAUUCUGCAAGACCUUUCGUGAAUCCGAAGCUAUUUCUUCAUUUCCUCCCAUACUGAACCGCAUACCCGAUGAUAAUAUAGAACAUUCCAAGUCCUGUUCGUAAUCCACUAUGAAGACUCUAUCCUUAACCACACAACGGACCCGAAAUCCUUAGGCACUGGACUUUAAUUCUUGAACCCACUAGAACAGUUGUUGAGAGUCACCCACUCUGACCCGAUCCCGAAUAUAACCAAACUUCAACACUCUGCUAGCACAUGAACACCCUCUCAAACAAGCAACCGACUAAAUUCUUUUCCUUGUACAUUACAUCCACAAGAAGCAUAAACUCUGAGUCUUCCCAAAUCCUGCACCUCAAUCGAUAAGGUGAAGUAUAGAACACAUUCAUCGAGUUCAUUAUUUGAAUUACUCCUGACAUUUUUUUUUCCUAGUCAUAAUUAAUCCACCAACGCAUCGAUAACCAAAAAUCGCACAAGCAGACAACCAAGGGAUCCAAUCGUAAAUGGUGGGGCUCCCCUACUUAGCUUUAAGCUACCACCACAUAAUGUAGAGCCUACAAUGAUUCAUCCUUCUCAAUUACCAUGAUCUUGCACCGUUAACUCGCCAAAUUUCUCGAAGUCUUUUGUUAAGCUUUUCAUGAACAUUCUGAAUUAUCAGCCACGACCUCAUAUUUGACCUUCUAUCAGGUAGUAAGUAGAACUCCUCGUAGAAACUUUAUCAAAGUCACGCAACCGCUAACCUGCUCGCAGGAGAUAACCCAUCUGUGAAAUUCCUUACCGAUAUCUUCCAACGACGCUGCACUGGGUACAACUACCACGUAAUCAGUAAAUUCUCCUGAGCCCAUGCUCGCCCACCGGUUGUAUAAGUCUGUUCCUUACCCAUUGACAUCAACUGAAAGUUCAACAAUACCUUCCAAACUGAAAGCCAUGUUGCAUCCAAAACGAUAAUCAAAUCUUCACACCCCUCUUUAUUUCAAGCAAACUCCUUUCUGCCAUAUUCAAUCUUUCUUCAUGCGGUAACCACCAUUCCAAUUAUAAUUCAUGGAGCUAGUCAAUUUCUACCAUGCCUCCCAAAUCGCUCAAAUCUUCCUCAAGGUACGUGUCUAUCCAACCACAGAAUCCCUAUGCUACUCUGCCACUCCCACUUCGGUCAAACCAUCUCCUUUAAGCAAUUUCUCGACCUCCGCUUCUCAUACUUGACCUGCUAGUAAUUCAUCUGCUGCGAAACACCUACCACCAUGUCCUUUCUCAUACUUCGCUGCCCAAAUGUUGCCUCAAAUCAAAUCCAUACCUGUAGCACCGGAACUAAUGAAUUACUACCAACUCUAAACCUCCUAGAAGAUCAUCUUUCUCGAGCCAUCAACAUUAGAAAUACCUAUUCGAUUCUGAACUGUUGCACACCGCUAUCUCCGACAACCGCCCCUCAAGUACCAUUUCAUAACACUCUGCCCCGAAGGCAAAAUCAAAGAAGACCAUAACAUCGGCGAGCCGUAAUGCAUUCAGAUAAGGAUGACGACACCGCAUCACAAUGAAAAUUCCACAAUGCUCGAGAAUACCUUACUCCAUCAACCAAAACAUGAACAUCCAUAGUCCGAUUGCCUUUCCUCUGCUGGAAUUAAAUAUUGAACCUCUAAAUCAUGCGGUAACAACUCAUGAACAUCAUAGAAACCUGUGCAUAGCCUCAAAACCAUAGAAAAUACAGAUACUGAACUGAAAUGAUAGAACACCCUUCCGUAAGGCGACGAUAAUAGCCUGCCCGAACACGCAGGGAAACAUAUCCUACACCACAUCUGUAGUACUAAUACAACUCCUGAACGUCUAAUUGAUAACAAGCACUUCACGUCACAUAAGAUUGAGUAGGAAGGAAAUAAAGGCACAAGCCUCAAUGGAAUCAAACCGCAUGAUGAGGAAAUCAAGAAGGGGAGUGCUCUUAACAGCCCUGUAGCCUCUCGAAGAUAAGUACAGACAUCUUCACACCGAUCCGCAAGACUCUACUAGACUUGCCCAUGACUCGCGAGACCUAAGUGAACCUAACGCUCUGAUACCAAGCUGUCACGACCCAAAAUCCACUAUAGGUCAUGAUGGCGCCUAACGCCACAGUCGGCUUGUCCGUCAGGCAAGCCAACGUUAAUUUAUCAAUUUAUUUACUCAUUUUAUUACUUUCGAGAUCAAAAUCUCCAUUACUUAAAUAGUAUAAAAUGGAAUUUACAGGGUAAAAAGAUAAUAAUUACUUGAACUAAAAUAACGAACAACCAGUAAGAACCCCCAAAACCCGAUGUCACAAGUGCAUGAGCAUUUUCUAAAGAGUACAAUAAUAAUACAAUAUCUAUCCUGAAUGUAGUAAGAUAGAAUAAAAUAAACAGUACAAUGGAGGCUCGGUGGACUACGAUGCGUAUCCUGGAAUGCAGCUCACAUAAAGUCUCCUCAACAAGUGCGCCUACGCACCAAGGUGAUCAUCAAAUGAACCUGUCAGAUCCUGCACAUUUAGUGCAGAAGUGAAGCAUGAGUACGUAAAUCAACGCAUACCCUGUAAGUAUCUAGCCUAACCCCGAAGAAGUAAUGACGAGGGGUCGAUAUCGAUACUUACUAAAGGUCCAAUAAAACAAUGUAAUAAAACAUGAGCAGAUAUGAAGCAUACGACAAUGAUAGGGUAAAUCUGUAAGUUACAUAAUCUUCCAAUUACUUCUUUUAAAGCAAUAUUUCUAAAUCUUGUAUUCUACCUUAACAGCUCAGAAAAUGUCAAGUGUCAUUAUCUAAUAAAUAAGGAAUACCAUAUAAAUACUGGGCAUCAGUGGAGAGAUUAGCUCGUGAAUAUUCAGACUACUAGCGAUAUAACGCACGAUUCUGCCGAGGUCAUUCGGCCCGAUCCAGAAUAAUAUGUACACUGCCGAGGGUUGAGCAGCACAAACCAUAGAUGCAUCUAUAUACUGUCGAGGCAUUUGGCCCACUCCACAAGAAAAGGAAGGAAGUUACCGAAUUAUGAGGCACGUGUUUACAAUACCGUACAUGGGCACAAAAUGAAUAUAAUCUUUACCGUUUCUCAAAUAACUCGCGCACAACUCAAAGUGUUAAGGCUUGGCCUAGUAUACAUAUAUUUAUAUCUAAAUCAAUUUCAUUUUAAUUAAGCCAGCAGAACGAGUUCAAAUAAUUCAAUUAUACAUGAUAAAAUCCUAAGUCUACCUGGACAUAAACAUGCUUUAGCUACGUACGGAAUCUCGCCACCUCGUGCGUACGUAGUACCCACAAUUAGUUGCACAUAACAAUAAAUAUCACCUAGGGGUAGUUUCCCCCUCACAAGGUUAGAUAAGAGACUUACCUCGCUCCGAAGUUUCAUAACCGGCUCCAAUGCCACUCAAACACCUCAACCCGAUGCCCGUCUCUUCAAAACUAGUCAAACAAUGUGCAAACCAAUCAAAAUAUACCCCAGUACGUAUAAUCUAACAAUUUAAAAUGAUUCCCAACUCCGCUCAAAAGCCAACAAAGACAACUCUCGGGCCCACAUUCCUGGAUUCCGAAAAUUUAGGAAGAUAAACAUUACCCAUACACUACGAACUAAAAUAUAUAACUUAUUCCAAAUUCCAUGUCCAAUUUCGUGGUCAAAAUCUAAAAAUACCAAAUUCUAGGUUUUCUACCAAAAUCCCAAGUUUCUACUAAUUUCCAUGUUUUAAUCAAUACACAAACCAUGUAUUUAACUUUUAAUAGGUGGGAGUCACUUACCUUGUGUUGCUUGAUGAAAAUUUCCAUUGAUGCUCUCCAAAAGUGCCCCAACCAAGUGAAAAUGGAAGAAAAUGGGCCAAAUCCCGUUCUUAAAAGAGCACACUGCCUAGCGACCUCUCGCUUCUGCGGCCACCUGACCGCUUCUGAGGCCAAAAUACCGCUUUUGCGGUCCCCUUUCAGCCCCCUGCCUUCGCAACUGUGGACCAGACUCUGUUUUUGUGGAGUCACACCUGCGACCAAGAAUCCACUUCUGCGGUCUCACAGGUGCGGUACAAACCUCGCACCUGCGCCUCCAUCCUGCCUCGCUCCCUACUGCUUCUGCGACCCUGGGCCGCUUCUGCAGUCACGCAGGUGCGGGAAUUCCUUCGCACCUGUGGCCUCUUCCCAGCUCACUUCUAGCCGCUUGUGUGGUCCACCGCCUCACUUCUGCGAUGCCGCUUCUAUGAUGUAGCUUCCACAGAAGUGGUUGCACCAGCAACCAGAAUCCUCAAGCUUUUCCUUAAGUCCAAAAUUCGAUCUGUUAACCAUCCGGAAUCCACCCGAGGCCCCGGGACCUUGACCAAAUAUACCAACACAUCCAAAAUACAAUACAAACUUAGCCUAAGCCUUAAACCACAUCAAACAAUAUCAAAAAUCAUGAAUCGCGCCUCGAAUCAAACUUAUAAAUUUUCAAAUUUUCAAAUUCUAUAUAUUGUGCCAAAACGUAUCAAAUUAAUCUGGAAUGACUUCAAAUUUGACACACGAGUCAUAAAUGAUAUAACGAAGCUAUUCCAAGGCUCAGAACCCCAAACGUACAUCGAUAACAUCAAAAUCCACUUCAAACCAAACUUAAGAAAUUCUUAAACCUUCAAAAUGCCAACCUUCCAUAAUAAGUACCGAAAUGCUCCCGGAUGAUCCGAUACUCAACCCGAAUACACGCCCAAGUCCGAAAUCAUCAUACGAACCUAUUGGAACUUUCAAAUCCUGAUUCCGAGGUCGUUUACUCAAAAGUCAAACCUUAGUCAAUUCUUUCAACUUAAAGCUUUCGAAAUUAGAACUUUCUUUCCAAAUCAAUCCCGAACUUCCCGAAAUUCAAAUUCCGACAACACGUACAAGUCAUAAUACCUGAAGUGAAGCUACUCAAGACCUCAAACCGCUGAACGAUACGCUAGAGAUUAAAAUGACCGGUCGGUCAUUACAGACCCGACUUUAACCCGCCCCGCUCCCCUUUCAAUCUUGGCCGUUGAUCUCAAAUGAUCAAUGGCCCAAAUUAAGCCGACCCCUUUCCAUAUAUCAUUUCCUAGUAACCCUAGAGGCCCAUUCCCCACUUCAGCCACUCUACUCUCUCUAUUCCUCUCUUCUUCUUUACAAACCCUAGCCGCCGUAUCUCUAAAUCCUCUCUAAAUUCGGCCCCAAUAUGGAAUCCUUUCGUGAUUCUCUUGCCUUAUUCUGCUACUACUCAUGCGUGCAUGGUGUUACUUAGUAUUUACCUAACUUUGGUAAAUGCUACCUUUCAAGACGAGCCUGAUUUGGCUCUAAUUUUGUGAAGAUCUGGCCGAUGUUUCAUCUAUAUAUAUACUCUACAAUGAAUGAUUCUUGCAUUUUUGACCAGAUUCAUGGCCAUUGGACUCAACUAGGGUUUGAAAUUUUGAUUUCUCCUUUACCGGUUCUAUUAUUGAUUGCAUGUGAUAUUUUCUUUCCUUAUUCGUGUUUGAUUGAUUAUUUUCCAUGUUUGAUUGUUCAAUUUCUACCACUAUAUAACCCCUCCCCAAUUUUCUCUUUGGACGGACCUCAUUAUUUUUACUGCUAUUACUCUCAUAAUUCUUCUCUUUCACUCAUUCACUUACUCUGUUACACUCGAAUAUUUUCUGAAACUGUUGAAUUUUUGGCCGGCUGAAAGCCAAGGCCAUAAUACUAUUAAACGAACUCCUCCGGUGCAAGCACUGCUCGGAGCCCUUCUCGAGGCUCUUGUGAACUCUGAAGCAUUGGGGAUUUGAGGUUUCACUAUCUUCCUUCAAUUGCUACUGCUGAAUCACUACUGAUAUUCUAAGUUCCUCACUCUUUUGCUCGUUUAUCUUUGCAACUGGUUAGUGUUCUUUACCUUUAUAAUUUAAAUUACUUCCCUCCUAUAUGAUGAUGCUUAUGUGAAUUGUGUGUGCCACUAUUGUUUGGCUCAAUUUUCCUGUUGUUUAUGAAAUUUCUAAUGUUGUAUGCUUAUCACAUAUUCUAAUGACUGUCAGUCUCGAUGAGGUUUCUUCUACCAUUUUGCGUGUUCUAAUAUUACCUAAGUCCAAAGCUUCUAGAUGGGUAGCUUGUUCUUUUCUAGGUGCAAUAAAGCUCUGGCCCUCUUAAAUGUUACUUGAACUUUUGUGAUCCUUCUAUUGUGCUACCUUUGUUUUCAAUCCUUUUUUGCAUUAAUGUCUCUAUGUAGUUUUAAUGUCGUAAUUCUAUUUUGAUUCUACUCUUAGAAUCAUGAGUAGUUAACUAAAGUAAUUCCCGCUCUUUGUAUGUUUUCAUGGUUCGAAUGUUAAACCUCAUCAAUGCCUGGUGUGAGUGUAUCUUCAUACUAUGCUUUGGAUUCUUGUGUUAAAACUUACUAGUAAUUCAUAUUUGCCCAGAAAUUGAUCCAAAUGUAUUCUUCCCUCUUCAUGCUAAGUCACUCAUACAUACAACUUUGAACUUGCUCACUUUCUUAAAAUGAUCAUGCCUAUGUGAAUCCUGAACCUUUCAUACUGUAUAUUUCUAUGCUACUUGCAAGCCUCAACAUUGUACUAUAGUUGCAUGUGUUACUACCAUUUUGGUUGCCACAACACUGUUCUAUUGGCCAUGCUUGCUAGUGCUAGUUUUCUCAGUUUCAUGCCUAUUGUUAUCCUUGGUAUGUACAAUGGAACUUGCUAUAGACUUGCAUUCUCAGAAUUAGAUACAUGCCUACUAAUUAGCUGUUGUGCAGAGUUUUCAAUAUUGUUGACCUUUAAUUUCUUAAUAGGUUUUCUUAUAAAUACUUUCUGCUUGUCACAAACUGACUUACAAAUCAAAGUUAUGUUUUACCCAACAUGCUUAUGCUAAUAUUUUCUUGUAAAGUUCACCGUUGGUCUUUGUCUCUCGAGCAUGUCAUUGCUACUUGUUAACCUUCUGGAAAUUAAUUAAUGACCCUGCUUUCUUUGAACUCUCAUGCUUAACUCCUCUGUUUGUGGAUUCUUGUGUGCUAGAUUCCUACAAUCAAAUCAUGUGUAUCCCAAGAAACUUGUUACCUUGAGCUUGUUUGUUUAUCUGAAAACCCCUGUAUAUGUCCAAUCUAUGUGUUCUGCAGACUCUCUACAUCUUAUAUGUGCUUAUGUGAUAUUCAAGUGUGUCUUACCCCUGGGACGUGUAGAAUUCUUGCUUUUGUUAGUUGUGGUAUUAGGGUCCAAAUGAGCAUGUGCUCUACCUUAGAAUUUGAGUUAUCUUAAUGAUUUGGGGUUUGUAUGAGUUGCCAUUCGUGCUUUAUUAAUCUAUAACUUGUAAUGGAUGUGCAAGAGAAUUGUUUUGUUGUUGGGCAUGACUGCUGAAUCUGGUUCUUGGUACUGUGAUUUCGAGCACACUAUCUGCGCCUGGGAUAUGGGCGUAUCAGAAUUGUAUAGCCAUUUGAAGGCACAAAUGCACCGCUGGGUUAUUUUACAUUUAUGAUUAGGCAUGUAGUUAUUCCAUUUUAAGCUGUAGUAAUUUGUAUAACGAAUGAUGGGGAGUUAAUAAAAGGGGUUGGGGUAUUCUAAUACUUGCACGAAAGGGUAGAAGGCAUGCCUAUAGGGUCUAUUUGUUCUAUUUUCUAUUACAUCUAGCAUGCCCUAUUUGUUGCAUACUAAUAGGAACCAUGCCUAUAGGAAUCAUGCACAUACACUUCACUUAACUUGUCAAAUAUGCUAUACUUGUUUCCAUGUCUACUAUUCAACACUUUUAGAUAAUAUGCCUAUAGGAUACAAUAAUGCAAUAUUUUCGCUAAUCUAGAUACCAUGACUAUGAGGUUUAAUAAUUGGUCAACUGCUUCAUGUUACUUUUGUACUAUCCUACUUAGAUGACAUGCCUAUAGGGUUGAAGUGUUAUAAAAUCAAGUCUAAUUGUCAAAUGUUAGGAAUCCUGCCUAUAUGAUACUCUCACUCGCCUAGAAAAGUUGUUUAUGAAAUAAACGUUGUUAAUGCUGGACUCUCAAAAUUGUUUCACUUCCUAAUUAUGCAACUAUUAGAAAUCAUGCCUAUAGGACAAUGUCGCCUGCUUAAGACGCAUAUCUAUAAAAUCAGCACUAUUAAUUUUGAGCUUUCUAACAGUUUUAUGGCCUCAUUGCAUAAACAAUUUAGAGAUCAUGCGUAUAGGUUUGUAAUACCUAUAAUCUGCGAAUUCAAAAAUAACAAUGUUGUUUGCACGAUGCUGAAAUUCAGAAUCACCUAGAGACCAUCCCUAUAGGACUUAAUGACUCUAAGUCUUAAUUCUAAAAUUGUCUACUGCCUAAUAUAAGAAUCUGAUCGCAUGCUUUUGUGCUUAUGUAUGGAGGUCAACUUGAACCUUUCAUUGCAAUUGUGCGCAGUCCUAUCUGUUUUGAAUGUCACCUAGUUUUAUUAUUUUGAGCAACCUAAGUGAGGUCUAGAACUACCUAAUAGUAGGUCCAAGCCUACUGGACCAGAGGCAUGGGACGAGUAGUUUAUGCAUAGGUUACAGUUUAGAAUUGAAUUAGAGCGCCUCUAAGUAAUAACUUCAACAUAGUAAUUAGGUAGCAGAAGAUGAUAACAUGUGCCCGCUGAAUAAUAUGAGCAACUCCUACCUCAAGAGAGUUGCGAAGUAUUAUUUAUGUUGCACAGGGUGAUCCUUUAGGCUAAAGAAUUUAGGACCCCCUCCCUAUCCUUUUAUAUACUUGCUGGUUCACACUUAGUCAUAGAUUGACGCAAUUGUACUCUUUAUGAUUUUUUAAGACUUGUAUCAUUAGUCAUAUAAUUUAUUUUUAUGUUAUAACAGAGUUUUUAACUUCUACAUCUUUCUUUUCUUAUUUAAUCACCUAGCUUAAUUAUCUAAUCCACAUAGUAUAAAUUUUAGCCGGGACCCACAAUUAUGGACCUCGAAGAGGGACUAACACCUUCUCUUUGAGGUAAUUUGAGCCCUUACCUAAUCUUUGGUAGCGUUAACUAGUCAAACAGAGUUAUUUGCAAAUAGAUGCCCUAACGCACCUUAAAAUCGUUAGGUGGCGACUCUUCUCUUUUAAUACCCAUUUAAAAGAGUUGUCACACGUCGAAACCCGCUUUUGAGAGAAAAUAGGGCGCGACAACAUGGUGACUCCGCUGGGGAUAUACUUAGGCUCUUACCAUAACGCAUUUGACUAAUGUGGAUUAUUUCCCUUUAUUUGUCUAAAUUACUAUGACAUGCACAUCGUUUCCCUUAUUUCCCUUUAUUGCUAUGACAGGUACGCCCUCUCUCGCUCCUUUCAUCUUGUCUAAAAUUGUUAUAUCAUGACUCUCCCGUCCCUAUUUCCUUAUUUGCUUCAUUACAUUCACGCACAUUUUCAUGAGUUAAACCGACUUCUUUCUUUUGUCCUUCUUUUCUUUUCUCUUCUUUUUCAUCUUUACCGUGUUAUUUACUGUUUUAUGCGCUUUUAUCAUGCAAAUACUUGGCAACGUGUUACUAUUUCUGCAUAAAGCAUGCUCCACAUCAUACUUCACUCGUGCUCAUUAUCAACAUAGCGACGCUUGAUGAGUGUCUGCACUUUUCUGAAUUCAUCCUUUUAAAUCGGAAAGGCUUAUUUGCAGUAGACUAGUCCAUCAGCGGUGCAGUCGACAGUCCCGUGCAUUUCCCUCUCAAGUUGUCCACUUGAGAGUACCAGUCUAGACCCUCCUAGAAACCCUAAUCUAAUUUGAAAUAUACAUGCAUCAUGCUGAACCUAGUACGGAUUGAGGCGUCAGUGACAUGACAACCCGCUUAGAUAAACCUUGUCCAAAGUCCGAUGGGAUUUCCAUAAUCCCAAAGGACACUAUCAUAUUAUGUGCAUUACUUGGAGAAAAUGUGCCAACAUGUUGAUCAUUAUUGCGUAAGUAGUCGAAUAUGGAAGGGGAAAAGGCUAACCUUUAUUUGUUUGCAAAAAAUGAAGCAUGAAGUCCUCAAGUUAGGUAUGGUCCAAAAUAUCCCGCCUUUGCUGAACAUUCAACCAAACAGAGAACUGAUUGAGGCUGCUACCAUGUUCUGGGAUGAGAAGAGAGUUGUUUUUCUAUUUGGAAAUAUAUAAAUGACUCCUCUCCUAGAAGAAAUAGGGGGUUUCGCCAAGUUACCAUGGGAUAGUCCGGGACUACUGGUGCCAGAAAAUUGCACUCCCUAUGGUUUUCUGAAAAUGUUGAGUUUUAAGAAUAAUGAUGAACUGCUUUGUCUAAAGAAAUCAUACAUCCCUUUUGAGUUUCUCUACGAGCGUUAUGGACAUAGCAAAUCAUAUCGCCUUCAUCAUGACGAACUAGCCAUUACCUCUUUGGGAUGGGUGCACUGCCAGGUUUAUGUUUUCAUUGUCUGCUUCUUGGGAUUGUUGAUCUUUCUGAUGCAAGGAGGAAGGAUUCAUACCCGCUUAUCCAUGGUUUCCAGGACCUUAAUGGAUGGCAUCGAAGGACAGACUUACACUAUCAUCCCCAUGAUCUUAGCUGAAAUGUAUCGUGCUCUAGAUCGAUGCAAGCAGGGGUUCAGACACUUUGAGGGUUGUAAUCUAUUGCUACAAGUUUGGUUGUUGGAACACUUUCAGAGGGGAGAGUAUCAACAAGAGCUUCUGCGAAGGCCACUGAACGACUACAUAGCCAACCAUCACCCAAAGAAAAUGACAUUCGUUCCAAACAGAUUUGCAAAGCUUGGAAAUGUUGUAAGCUGGGUAUGUUUAUUCAACAAUCUGACGGACGAGCAAGUGCAUUGGAUGUUUGAAUUGUUUCCUAGUAGUGAGUUCAUCAUCAGAUCAAAAGAAACUACUCACUUGGUAUUGAUCGGGCUGCGAGACAUCUACCUUUACGCUCCUAUAAGGGUAAUGAAGCAAGCUAGAAGAAAACAAGUCAUACCUCGGGUUUCCAACAUGGUUCAAUACAAGGAAGAUUUCAAGGGAGAUAUCAUCCCAUUUAAGUUCAAAGCACAACACAUGUGGAACCAAAAUAUCAUCGUGGAAGGAGAAACUAUUGAGCCAGACAGGUAUCACGCAGGCCAUAUGUACUACUAUCUAUCACGCCGACCUUACUGACUUGGUUACCUUUUGUUUUUAUUUUCUUAUUUAUUCUCAUUCCCAAAGGUUGGUUCGUGCAUACUGGCAUCAUCAGCAUACCACACUAGAUCCAGAGGUCCUCCACUUCCUCUUCCACCUAGCAACAUAAAAAGCAAAGGCAAGGGCAAAAGCGAAGAUGGAUGACAUAAGUGGUAUUCGGAAAGAUAACGCUACCGCGGUAGAGAAUGUUGAAACUUCAGAUGGUAGAAGCACCCCAGGGCAGAAUGAGUUGGUCUUACGUUUAGAGCAGAAAAUCCUGGAGCUACAGGGUGAGCUUGAACCGAAAUCCGGCAAACCUUUCCCUUUCUCUUAAUGUUCCUAACAUCAACCAGCAAAACCCAACUACCCAAAACCAAACACCACCACAAAACGCACAAAACUAGAAUCCAUCACCUAUAGCUCUGAAUCCUCCCGCACCACACCAGUAUCAUAAUCCUGCACCUCCCCGAAACCUCAACCCACCAUUAGUGCAAACCCCUCAACAACACCUCCAUCACCCAACUCAAUACUCACAAACCACUACUCAUCACACUCCCCAAAAUGCACCACAAUCCACUCUCGAUCCCCAAAACUCAAUCAACGAAUAUCCAUAUAUCCAAGUUCCAGGAACUCAUCAAAAUAACCCGAUAUAUGUGGAAACCUUAUCCCAUACCCCACAUCUAACCCUAUAAAUACAUGAACUGACUCAGAAGGACCUGCUCAUUCGAAACAUGGCAGAGGAACUCAAGAAACUUACAGGGAGAGUCUAGAGUGUUGAAGGUGGGAAAGGCGUUGAAGGUUUAAACUAUGAAGAUUUGUGUAUUCAGCCAGAUGUAGAACUUCCGGAAGGCUACAAACCUCCCAAGUUCGAGAUGUUUGAUGGAACUGGUGAUCCGAAGGUGCAUCUAAGAACCUACUGCGACAAGCUUGUAGGAGAGGGUAAGAAUGAACAAAUCCGCAUGAAACUGUUCAUGCGAUGUCUUAUAGGAGACGCCUUGUCUUGGUAUAUCAGUCAAAACCCGAAGAAGUGGGCAAAUUGCAUAAGUAUGGCAUUAGAUUUCAUGGAACAAUUCCGGUUCAGCACAGAAAAUGCACCAGACAUUUUCUAUAUCCAAAACCUCAAGAAGACACCGACAGAAACCUUCCGUGAGUACGCUACUCGCUGGAAAUCAGAGGCCGCAAAGGUAAGGACAACACUUGAAGAAGAACAAAUGAACAAGUUCUUUGUUAGAGCUCAAGAUCCACAGUAUUAUGAAAGGUUGAUGGUCAUCGAGAAUCACAAGUUCUCAGACAUCAUCAAGUUAGGAGAAAGGAUAGAAGAAGGAAUCAAGAGUGGAAUGGUGACCAAUUUUGAGGCACUGCAAGCCACAAAUAAAAUCUUGCAAUUAGGAGGUAUCUCAAAGAAAAAAGAAGUGGGUGUUGUGAUGAUAGCUAGGGCCCUAAGUCUCCCCUCACAUACCAAACACCUCCACUCGCAUAUCAACCCUCACCCCCAAAAUACCAAUACCCUGCCACCACCUACCAUACCUAUGACACUCAACCUGCAUAUUACCAUUCACCUCCACACGCCCGCCAAAACUACCCAAAUUUUGACCGUAGAACUCCUAGACAAUACACCCCAAUUGCUGAACCCUAGCCCAACUGUAUGAGAGACUGAAGACCGCUGGUUACGUCACCUCUAUUCCUAUUGUUGCUGUUGAGAACCCUUCCCAGUGGAUCAAUCCCAAAAAAACUUAUGCCUAUCAUUUAGGCAUGAAAGGUCAUACCAUUGAAGAGUGAUGUAUGUUAAAAGACAAGAUUCAGACACUGAUCGACACUAAGGUUAUACAAGCAAAAGAAGGCAGCACCAAAUGUCCGCAAUAACCCUCUCCCGAAUCAUAGGGGUGAGGGGGUGAACGUGAUAGAAAUUGAUGAGUAAUGGGAUCAAGAAAGGUCCAUCGGACUCAUUCGGGAGGGAGUCACUCCUAAAAUAUCUUCGGUCACCCUCACGCUAGUCGUCGUACAAACCCAGACACCAUUUGAGAUCGAGGUAACUACACCCUUCACUGUAAUGGUAGCUCUCACACCGUCUUACAAGUCUGAUGUCGUCCCAUAGGAUUAUGUUGCGGAAGCGAGAAGAAACGGAAAAGCCAAGAUGGAAGAAACGGGUGUCGCACAAGAUAUAACUAGAACUGGCAGAGUUUACACACCUGAGAAUCUGGGGGGAAUGAGCAAAGAAGCUGCAUCUAAGCCGACUGUUGUUGAAACAGGCACUGACGAUCUUUGGAGGAAGAUACAAGCAAGGGAAUACUCUGUUGUUGACCAUCAGAACAUGACUCCAGCUCAGAUAUCCAUCUUAUCACUGUUGCAAAACUCAGACGCACACAAGAAUGCCUUGAUGAAAGUGUUAAGUGAAGCUUAUGUACUCGCUGGAAUAACUAGUGGAGAGAUGGCUAAAAUGGUUGGACAGGUACUGGAGAGUCACAAAAUUACUUUCCAUGAAGAUGAGUUAUCGCCAAAAGGGUUGAGUCACAACAAGGCAUUGCACAUCAUAGUGCAAUUUGAGGACAAGUUCAUCGCCAGGUCCUGAUAGAUGGAGGAUCGAGCCGGAAUAUAUGCCCGUUGACCACUCUAAAAAGAUUAGGUAAAGGCCUGCACAAGAUACGGAUGGGAAGCAUGAAUGUGAAGGCAUUCGACGGAUCUCAGAGAGCCAUUGUCGGAGAAAUCAACUUUGAUCUACAAAUGGGUCCGACUUGGUUUGAUGUCGAAAUCCAAGUGCUAGAUAUAUCUGGUACUUAUAACUUGUUGUUGGGACGACCAUGGAUACAUGCAGUGGGGGCAGUGGCUUCUACUGUGCACCAGGUGGUAAAGUUUGAGUGGAAUCAUCAGGAGGUGAUCAUUCAUGGAGACAAAAGCAACCCUAUCUACACCAGCCAGACUGUUCCAGUCAUAAAAAAUGGGAGGUAGUUAGGCGGAGAAACAUAUCACUGCAUUGAGCGGGUGAACGCAACUGAAAAGGAUCGAUGGUGGAGCAAUAAGAUAGAAAGCAUAUUUUUGUGGACGGGAUAUGAAACAGGCAAAGGUCUUGUCAAAAAGCUUCAGGGGAUCACUAAACCCAUACAACCACAGUAUCAUGGCAUGACCUUUAGACUCGGGUAUGAAUAUACCGUAGAAGAACAUCAGGAUUGGAUACCGCUAUGACGCACCCAUUAUUAUCCGCUGGAACAACCCAUACCACCUCUACACCAGACAUUCCGUCAGGCUGACAUAAUGUGGGGAUCCGAGAAAUAUGGGAUUUUUGUCGGUAUGAGGAGGCUAUUUCUGGACGAAGAAGACAUGGACUAUGAUGUAAUUGUUGUUGUUGAGGAGGAGGAGGAAGACCUUACCAUUCAGACAGUGGGAGAAGGAGUUGUUCUCAAGAACUGGACCGCUACACCAUCCCGGGCUCGCCGAGUACCUAGGUAGCCUGGCAAAAUUAGCAUGACUUGUUUUUACAUUAUUUUGAGAAUUUAAGACAUUUUCAGUAUUUUAUUUUGGAAUAAUUACUCAAGCCAUCGAGUCGUACUUGUUGACAGCUUUAAGCUUUAUUAAUGCAUUAUUGCUUUUCGUAUUUAUUAUUAUCUUUCUACAUUCUUUUCAGCGUAAUUAAUACAUAUCCCGAUGAACCUACGGCUAUGACAUGUAAUGAGACAAUGCAACAUAAGGACAGUGAUUCGGAAGAAUUGGAAGAUGAAAUAAUACCUGAGGAAAUUGUCAAAGAAGUAGAAAAUUUUGAAAACAAACUGAAGUCUAAUUUGGACGAAACUGAGGCCAUUAACUUAGGGGAUGCUAAAAUAGUCAAAGAAGAUCGCAUAAGCAUUCAUCUAUCACCGUCAGAGAAGGAAGAGUAUAUCAGGUUCCUAAAGGAAUAUAAGGAUAUUUUCGCAUGGUCCUACGAUGAUAUGACUGGGUUAAGCAUAUCCAUAGUAGCUCACAAGCUACCUACCAAUCCCAUGUGUCCACCGGUAAAGUAGAAGCUCAGAAAGUUCAAGCCAGAUAUGAGUCUGAAGAUAAAAGAGGAGGUCACCAAGCAAAUCAAAUCCAAGGUUCUUCGAGUGGUCGAAUACCCGACCUAGUUAGCCAAUAUUGUGCCGGUUCCGAAGAAAGAUGGGAAAGUUAGAGUAUGUGUCGAUUACCGAGAUCUGAACAGAGCAAAUCCGAAGUAUGAUUUCAUGUUGCCUACCAUACACAUACUAAUCAAGAACUGCGCCAAGCAUGAACUCCAAUACUUCAUGGAUUGCUUCGCAGAAUAUUAUCAGAUUUGGAUGGACGAAGAGGAUGCCGAAAAGAUCGAUUUAUCACACCAUGGGGAAUAUAUUGUUACAAAAUGAUGCCGUUUAGUUUGAAGAACGUUGGGGCCACCUAUAUGAGGGCCAUGAUGACUAUCUUCCACAAUAUGAUACACAAGGAAAUAGAGGUGUGCGUGGAUGAUGUCAUCAUCAAAUCCAAAAGAAGUUCAGACCAUAUAGCAGACCUGAAAAGGUUUUUCGAUCGACUUCGAAAGUACAAUUUGAAGUUGAACCUAGCAAAAUGUGCCUUCGAAGUCCCUGUAAAUGGCUUGUUGUUGAUAAUCCAUGAUGAUGUCUGACAAUGAAAGGAGUGUGUAUGAAUUAUGAAAUACGGUCGGCGUUCCAAGAACGAAAUUACACUUAAUACCACUAGUUCCAAUGAAAUCAAAAGAUGUGUGAAAGAUUAUAAAACGAACUGUAACUCCUUUUUAUAAUAAAUGUUUUGGGAGUAUCGUUUAGUCAACGAGGAAGGGUAGGUUGAAAUAACCUAACCCCAAAACUACACAUGCCGGUGUAGGAGUGAUUGAGGGGUAAAUCCCUGUAUUGACGUGUUGAGAUUAUUCCCCCUUAAAUGGGAUGAGAUUGAUGUGUUGAGAUUGGUCUCCUUAAUUAGGAUGAGAUGAUUGCUAGCAGAAAGUGAUGUCGAUCCGCAUGGCAUUGUGGUGACACAGCUUAGCCAAUCGGGCUGAGAUCGGACGUCAUACCGCGCACAUGGUGGUGUUGUGAUUGGAUGUCUCGGGGUGAGAUGGCUUAGCCGAUCGGGCCGAGAUCGGACUCCGUUCUAAUAAAUAUGUGGUAUAUCGGUACUAAAGAUCUCCCAAUUUAGAAAUAUUGGAAUUUACUUGAACAUUUAUCUUCUCUUAACUUGAUACUUUAAUGUUGUUUGAGGCUCUCAUUGAUUCCAUGUUUCCUUCUCAUUUUGCUGUUACUUAUUCUAUUGAGAGGUUUUUUAGUCUUACAUACUAAUACUAUUCCAUAUGUACUAACGUCCCUUUUGCCUGGGCGCUGUAUCCUUAAUGGAUAUAGGUGAUUCCACAGCAGGCGACGUUGAUCACUGAUAGUAGUACACCCUCUUCUUAGCUGACUUGGUGAGCCCUUUUUCAUUUCGGGGUCUUGUACCUUUUGUCCUCUAUGUAUAGUAUUUUGAGGUAUAGCCGGAGCCUUAUCGCCGGCAUCAUCAUACUACUCUUGUGUAUCCAUUAGAGGCUCCGUAGACAUAGUGUGGGUUGUAUCUUGGUUUUGGGAAAGUUAAACUAAAGGUGUUGUAUUUGUAUCACAUGUUUCCACUUCCAAACUAGUAAUGUAUAAUGUAAUAUAUUUUUGGAAAUUAUAAAUGAAGUAACUAGUGGUAAUGAAGUUUUUGUUAUUCAUGCGAUCUCCUCAUUGUCUAGUUAAUGGAAUACAUCUUCACUUUGUUCAUGGGUACGGUCAGGUAGAAGGCAUCAAGUAGGCUUUCUUGACUGGGAUAUCUCGGUUGUGCGCCGGUCGUGCUCCCCAAGGUCGGGGCAUGAUAAGCUUGGCAUCAGAGCCUAAGGUUUUAAAGUGUCCUAGGAAAUCGCGGAGCCGUGUCUAGUAGAGUCUUUAUCGGUGUGUUGUCGACUACAUCUAUAAUUAGGAGGCUACUUGGGAAUUUAGGAAUAUCACCCUUCUUUGAUGAUCUAGAACGUGCAAUAGAGCAAAUUGUACGACUGUUCCUCCUUUAACUCGUGCAUUGAUCUAAUUUUCAGUAUAUGGUGCCUAGGAAGAAGGCAAGAAGGCAAGAAAUGGCCAUAUAGCCAAUGCUACCCCAGGAGUAGCAGUUGAUCCUAUACCUGAUGAUGCUGGUGAGCACCCGAGGGGUAAGGAUAUUCCCCCAACUACUACUGCAUCGCCUGAUUCUGCUACUCCUGCUCAGACUGCACCAAUCCCUACUUCCACCGAGGGCGCAGCUAUUCCACCUUCAGUAGAUACUCUGGUUCCACCUCCAGCCCUAGUUUCCAGUCCCGGUGUUUCUGAUGGGGACCUUAGGGGAGCCAUACAGAUGUUGGCUCAGAUAGUGGCUUCUUAUGCCAGGAGAUUGAAUGUUGCACCUACUUCUUCCAGUCAGCCAGGGGAUUCUGCUCAUUCCAGGGUGAAUAGGUUUCUUUAGUUGUAUCCUCCAGUGUUCACAGGUACUGAUCCUAAGGAGGACCCCAGGACUUUAUUGAUGAGAUGCACAAAACUCUCAGAGUUAUGCGAGCUACCGAGAUAUAGGCAGUGGAGUUGGCCUCCUACCACCUGAAAGAGGUGGCCUAUUCUUGAUUUGAGAUGUAGGAGGAGUCCCGUGAGGAGGGGAGCCCUCCGACGAGGUGGAGUGAGUUUGUCGACGCCUUCAUUGACCAUUUCUUUCCUGACGAGACUAAGGCGACCCAUGCCACAGAGUUUGAGAGCUAGAAGCAAGGUAGCAUGAGUGUGUGGGAGUACAAUAUGAGAUUCGCGCGCCUGUCUAAGUAUGCCAUUUACAUGUUUCCCACUAUAGAGGCAAGAGUGUGCCGGUUUGUUCAGGGCCUCAGCCCCUUGGUUAUUAAUGAGGCCGCUACAUGUGCCUUGAAUUCUAAUAUUAACUAUGGGAAGAUGGUGGCAUUUGCUCAAGCCACGGAGACCCUCAAAUUGAAGAAUAGAAGGGAGCGAGAGAGUAGCAAUAAGGCUCGGUCUGCGGGCAACUUUGGUGGUUCUUCCAGUGGUGGUGGUGGUGGUAGGUCAACAUUUAGGGGAGGGUCGUUAGGUCCAUCCCAGUCCUUUGUUCAGUCUUCAGUUGGUACACUGCCAGCAAGGUCCAGUCAGAGGGCAAUAGGGGAUCCUACCAACAGGGUCGGCCUGGAGGGAGAUUCCAAUAGCAGCGGAGGCCCCCAAGCCCUAGGUGUGGGAAGAUGCAUUUCGGGGCUUGCUUCAUGAACCAGCCCAUAUGCUACGGGUGCGGUAUUAGGGGUCACAUUUAGAGGGAUUGCCGUUCAUCCCACCAGAGUGUGGGUAGAGGUACGGCAUAGCCAGCCAGUUCUGCAACUAUUUCAUCCGCAGUACCUCCUCCAGCUCGAGGCACUCCAGCACCCGCAGAGUGUGGUGCAGCUAGGGAUGGUGCACAGAGUUCGGGAGGACCCAGCCGGUUCUAUGCUAUGAGGGGUCGCCAGAGUUCUGAGGCUUCUCCAGAUAUUGUCACAGGUAUUUUGAUUGUUCAAUCCAAUGAUGUUUAUGCUCUCAUAGAUCCUGGUUCCACAUUGUCAUAUGUCACUCCUUAUGUUGCUAUGGAAUUUGGGAUAGAACUAGAACAGCUUCAUGAGCCAUUCUCUGUAUCUACUUUGGUUGGUGAGUCUAUUAAGUCCGCAUGGGUUUAUAGGGAUUGUGUUGUCACGGUGCAUGGUCGGGACACCAUGGCCAAUCUCACUGAAUUGGGGAUGGUUGAUUUUGAUGUAAUAAUGGGGAUGGACUGGCUUUAUUCAUGUUUUGCCAAACUUGAUUGGCGAACCAGAACCGUUAAGUUUGAAUUUCCAAAUGAGCCAGUUAUUGAGUAGAAGGGGGAUGAUGUAGUGUCGAAGGGUAGGUUUAUUUCUUACCUUAGGCCAUGAAGAUGAUCAACAAGGGGUGUAUUUACCAUUUGGUCCGGGUUACGGACACCGAUGAUGAGGCACCUACACUUGAGUCUGUACCAGUUGUGAAUGAAUUUUUGGAGGUUUUUCCUGAUGAGCUACCUAAGAUCCCACCAAACUGGGAGAUUGAUUUUGGGAUCGAUGUGAUGCUAGGCACGCAGCCUAUAUCCAUUCCACCCUACAGAAUGGCACCAGUGGAAUUGAAGUUACUAAAGGAAUAAUUGAAAGAUUUAUUAGAGAAGGGUUUUAUCCAGCCGAGUGUGUCGCCUUGGGGCGCAUCGGUUCUCUUUGUAAGAAAGAAAGAUGGAUCACUGAGAAUGUGUAUUGGCUAUCGGCAUCUCAACAAGGUCACAAUCAAGAAUAAGUACCCACGACCAAGGAUAGAUGACUUGUUUGAUCAGUUGCAGGGUGCUAAUUAUUUCUCCAAGAUUAACUUAAGGUCGGGUUAUCACCAAUUGAAGAUUAAGGAGCAGGAUAUUCUGAAAAUAGCUUUCAGGACCCGGUAUGGGCACUUUGAAUUUAUGGUGAUGUCUUUUCGGCUAACAAAUGCCCUGGUAGCUUUCAUGGAUCUUAUGAAUCCUAUCUUCAAGCUUUUCCUCGACUCCUUUGUGAUAGUGUUCAUUGAUGACAUUUUUGUAUAUUCACGAAGUCAGGAGGACCAUGCCUAUCAUCUCAGGGCAGUUUUGCAAACUCUGUAUCAGCACAAGUUGUAUGUAAAGUUUUCAAAAUGUGAAUUUUGGCUCGAAUAUGUCACAUUCUUGGGUCAUGUCAUCUCUAUUGAAGGAAUUAAGGUUGAUCCUCAGAAGAUCACAGUUGUGAAAAAUUGGCCUAGACCUACAACUCCAAUAGAGAUUAGUAGUUUCUUGGGCUUAGUAGGGUAUUACAGGAGGUUUGUGAAGGGGUUCUCUACUCUUGCCUCUCCAAUGACUAAGUUGAUGCAGAAGGUGGUUAAAUUCCAUUGGUCAGACGCUUGCAAAAAGAGCUUCUAGGAGUUGAAAUCAAGAUUGACUACAGCACCGGUGUUGACCUUACCAAAGGGUACAGAUGGGUUUGCGCUAUAUUGUGAUGCUUAAGGAUCGAACUUGGAUGUGUAUUGAUGCAACAUGGAAAGGUGAUUGCUUAUGCUUCUAGGCAACUCAAGAAUCAUGAGAAGAACUAUCCAACACAUGACUUAGAGCUUGCGGCGGUGGUUUUUGCAUUGAAGAUUUGGCUUCCUUAUUUGUAUGGGGUCCAUGUGGAUAUAUUCACAGACCACAAGAGCCUUCAGUAUAUUUUCAAGUAGAAGGAAUUGAAUCUGAGGCAGAGAAGAUGGCUUGAGUUACUUAAAGAUUACAACAUCGAUAUUCUAUAUCAUCCGGGGAAGGCUAAUGUUGUGGCGGAUGCUCUUAGCCGAAAAUCUAUGGGUAGUUUGGCUCACUUAGAGGCAUAUCAAAGGCCGUUGGACAAGGAAGUUCAUCAGUUUGCUAGUUUGGGAGUUCANNNNNNNNNNNNNNNNNNNNNNNNNNNNNNNNNNNNNNNNNNNNNNNNNNNNNNNNNNNNNNNNNNNNNNNNNNNNNNNNNNNNNNNNNNNNNNNNNNNNNNNNNNNNNNNNNNNNNNNNNNNNNNNNNNNNNNNNNNNNNNNNNNNNNNNNNNNNNNNNNNNNNNNNNNNNNNNNNNNNNNNNNNNNNNNNNNNNNNNNNNNNNNNNNNNNNNNNNNNNNNNNNNNNNNNNNNNNNNNNNNNNNNNNNNNNNNNNNNNNNNNNNNNNNNNNNNNNNNNNNNNNNNNNNNNNNNNNNNNNNNNNNNNNNNNNNNNNNNNNNNNNNNNNNNNNNNNNNNNNNNNNNNNNNNNNNNNNNNNNNNNNNNNNNNNNNNNNNNNNNNNNNNNNNNNNNNNNNNNNNNNNNNNNNNNNNNNNNNNNNNNNNNNNNNNNNNGAAGGAUGGUACGCUAAGGUACCUAGGGCGAUUAUGUGUUCCUAAUGUAGAUGGCCUCCGGGAAAGAAUCAUGAUCGAGGCUCACACUUCCAGGUAUUCCGUGCACCCAGGAUCUACAAAGAUGUACCAUGAUCUUAAUGAAGUCUAUUGGUGGAAGGAUAUGAAGAGGAAUGUAGCAGACUUUGUGGCAAAAUGUCCAAAUUGUCAACAAGUAAAGGCCGAACAUCAAAGGCCCGGUGGGUUGGCACAGAUGUGGAAAUGGGAGAUGAUCAAUAUGGACUUUGUGGUGGGGCUACCUCGCACGCCUCACAAGUUUAACUCGAUUUGAGUGAUUGUGGACUGACUCACGAAGUCAGCACACUUCUUACCUGUUAAGGCUACCGACACAGCAGAAUAAUAUGCUCAGUUGUAUAUCAAGGAAAUAGUCAGGUUGCACCGCACUCUAGUUUCUAUUAUCUCAGAUCGAGGGACACAAUUCACAGCUAAUUUUUGAAAGAAAUUUCAGCAAGAUUUGGGUACUCAGGUGAAUCUUAGUACAGCCUUUCAUCCACAGACAAACAGGCAGACAGAGCGAACUAUUCAGACGCUUGAGGAUAUGUUGCGCGCUUGUGUUCUUGAGGAUUAUUUUCCACUCAUAGAAUUUGCGUACAACAAUAUUUACCACGCUAGCAUUCAUAUGACACCGUUUGAGGCCCUGUAUGGUAGAAGAUGUAGAUCUCCCAUUGGGUGGUUCGAGAUUGGGGAAACGAGGUUGAUUGGGCCAGAUCUCGUGUAUUAGGCUAUGGAAAAGGUUAAGGUCACUAAGGAAUGGUUAAAAACUACUCAGAGUCGCCAAAAGUCCUAUUCGGAUGUGUGUCGUAGGGAUUUAGAGUUCAAAGAGGAUGAUUGGGUAUUCUUGAAGAUUUCCCCCAUGAAGGGUAUAAUGCGGUUUGGGAAGAGAGGGAAACUGAGUCUGAGGUAUGUUGGACCGUACAGAAUCAUUCAGAGGAUUGGUUAGGUGUCUUACAGGCUUGAGUUACUACCAGAGAUGUUGUUUGUACACCUGGUGUUUCAUGCAUCUAUGCUGAAGAAGGUAAUUGGAGACCCGUCACUUAUUAUUCUGGUUGAGACUGUCGAUGUUAAUGAAGAAUUGACUUAUGAAGAGAUUCUAGUUGCCAUUCUUGAUAGGCAAGUCCGAAAGCUGAGAAACAAAGAGAUUGCCUCAGUGAAAGUGUUAUGGAGAAACCAACAGGUCGAAGAGGCCACUUGGGAGGCCGAGGAAGAGAUGAAGAAGAAGAAGUACCCACAUUUGCUUGAAUAGCUAUGUAGUUGUGUUCUAUGAAAAUGUUAAAAGCUAACUUUCUACAAAUUAUGUUUCCCUUGUACAGCUUAUGUUAAGGAUACUCAUUUUUGGUAAUAUAAUGUUUAUGGCAUUGUGGUCGGUGUUGUUUCCAUGUUGUGUUACAUUGUUGCGUUAUGGUUAUGCUGUUAGGACUGGUUUUUAGGAUUCUACGACAAGUGGAUAUGCCCAAUUACAGAGGAGACUCUAGAAAAAAAUUUGGAAAUUUAGGGAGUUAGUCAAAAUUUGGAACUGCUGUGUGUGAAGUAAUAGUUGAGUCACAUUGGAUGCUAAUAGCAGAGUUUAAUCUUAUUCGAGGACGAAUGAUCCUAAGCGGGGGAGGAUGUAAGGCCUCGUAAGAUUUUACCUAGAACCCAGCAACAUCUAGGUUGGUUUAAACAGCUAUUUUGGAGAGAGGGUAUUAUCUUAGAGAGAGAGAGAGAAGGAAGCCCCAACCCCUUUGCUCAUCAAUUUUUGCCCCAAUCUUGAAGAUUCAAGGGAAUCACUCACUAGACCAUCAACUAUCCGGGUAAUACUUUGUUCUAAAAACCUUCAUGCAAUUAUUAUGAAUUAAAAUAAGUUGUAGAGUUAGAGGUAGGCCAUGCAUGUGCCAAUAAGGGGUAGUAUGUGAGGUUGUCGAACUAAUAUGGGUAAACUCUUGGUGUUGAAUUGGUUGUGGGGUGAAGGAAAUCUUGUAGAAGAACUUUGGGGUUUGAUAAAAUGCUUAAAUGGGCUAAACCCAUGAACCUCUUCCUAAUUAUGGUUCGAUUUUGUCGUCUCUCUGAUAGAAUAAAGUUGCUAGAAUUUUUGAAACAUUGUAGUAAUUUAAGGAAAGCUCAAGCGAGGUAUGUUGGCUAAACCUCUCUUUUAGAAUCGAAUCCCAUGAUGUUCUCGUAAGUCUCAAGUGUGAUUGGCCCAUGAUUCUUAUUCCUCACGUCCCGAGUUAUUCCUAAUAAAUCCGAUUAUUCCAAAUAAGCAUUGUGUCGGAAAUUAUAUGCUCAAAAUAUGUUUCAAUUGCUCCUAUCAUAUUAUGAUCUCCUUCGGGAAUGUGUUCAAGUAUGGUUUGUGUAUUAAAAUGUUAUGAUUUUAAUUCGUGUUUCAAAUAAAAGUUAUUAUGACAAAUUGCAAAAGAAAACUCAAUGUGCUUAAAACUCUUAAUGCCCAUAUGUGUACUUAAAGUCUUGAUUAGAAAUGGCUUGUUGUUGAUAAACCAUGAUGAUGUCUGACAGUAAAAGGAGUGUGUAUGAAAUAUGAAAUACGGCUGACGUGCCAAAAACGAAAUUACACUUGUGGCCACUAGUGCCAAUGAAAUGAAAAGAUGUGUGACAGAUUAUGAAACGAACUGUAACUCUUUUUUAUAAUAAAUGUUUUGGGAGUAUCGUUUAGUCACCGAUGAAGGGUAGGUUAAAAUAACCUAACCCCAAAACUACACGUGCCGGUGUAGGAGUGAUUGAGGGGUAAAUCCCCGUAUUUACGUGUUAAGAUUAUUUCCCUUUAAAUGGGAUGAGAUUGAUGUGUUGAGAUUUCUCCCCUUAAUUGGGAUGAUAUGAUUUCUAGCGGAAGGUGAUGUCGAUCCACAAGGCAUUGUGGUGAGACGGUUUAGCCGAUCGGGCCGAGAUCGAACGUCAUAUCGCGCACAUGGUGAUAUUGUGAUUGGAUGUCUCGGGGUGAGAUGGCUUAGCCGAUCGGGCCGAGAUCGGACUCCUUGCUAAUAACACAGUGGUAUAUCGGUACUAAAGAUCUCCCAACUUAGAAAUAUUGGAAUUUACUUGAAAGUUUGUCUUCUCUUAACUUGACACUUUAAUGUUGUUUGAGGCUCUCAUUGAUUCCAUGUUUCCUUCUCAUUUUACUGUUACUCGUUCUAUUAAGAGGGUGUUUAGUCUUACAUACUAGUACUAUUCCAUAUGUACUAACGUCCCUUUUGUUGGGUCCCUGCAUCAUUAAUGGAUGCAGGUGGUUCCACAGCAGGCGGCAUUGAUCAGUGAUAGCAGUACACCCUCUUCUCAGCUGACUUGGUGAGCCCCAUUGCAUUUUGGGGUCUUGUACCUUUUGUCCUCUAUGUAUAGUGUUUUGAGGUAUAGCCGGAGCCUUGAUGUUGGCAUCAUCAUACUACUCUUGUAUAUACAUUAGAGGCUCCGUAGACAUAGUGUGGGUCGUAUCUUGGUUUUGGGAAAUUUAAACUAAAGGUGUUGUAUUUGUAUCAUACGUUUCCACUUCCAAACUAUUAAUGUGUAAUGUAAUAUAUUUUUGGAAAUUGUAAAUGAAGUAACUAGUGGUAAUGAAGUUUGUGUUAUUCAUGCGAUCUCCUCAUUGUCUAGUUAAUGGAAUACAUCUUCACUUUGUUUAUGGGUACGGUCGGGUAGAAGGCAUCAAGUAGGCUUGCUUGACAUGGAUAUCUCGGUUGAGCACCGGUCGCGCUCCCCAAAGUCAGGGCGUGACAAAACCUGUGCAGUUAUAUAUCAAGAAGUAUCAAAAUAACAGAUAAAGAAUCAAAUAUAUCAACGGGAUAGGAACAUGAGAAAGGGGUAACAGACGGAAACAUAAAGUAAAGUAUCACUAAGUAAAUCACUUUCAAUAAUAAAUAGCGAAACCAAAAGGCCAAUUUCACAUUCAUGCUUUUAAACUAAUCCUCACAUUCAUGCUUUUAAACACAUUCAUGCUUUUAAAUUCAUUCCAAAUGUCAAGGUAAAGAGCAAUGAAAUGAACAAAAUUGCAAGACAUCACCCUUCAUGCUUUUAAACUCAUCCUCACAUGAUAAUAUAAAAGCAAGUUCACGGUAUCAUCCUUCAUGCUUUUACUCUGUGCUUUUACUCUCAUCCUCAUAUAAUAAUAUAAAAGAAAGUGCAUGACAUCACCCUUCAUGCUUUUAUUCUCAUCAUCACAUUAUAAUAUAAAAGCAAUUGCAUGGCAUCACCUUCCAUGCUUUAUCCUCAUGUUAACUCAAGCAAUAAUAUCAAUAUGUAAAUAAGGCACGGAAACACCCUUCGUGUGCAAUCACUCUUCCUCACAAGCGCGGCAACACCCUUCGUGCAUUUUUCUCUUCCUCACCAAGCAAUUAAAUAUAAAACAUUACCUAGCAAGGUGGGAAUAAAAUUCAACAUCAACAAUAGAAGUUGAACACAAUUCAUCAUAUGAAAACCUUCCAACAAUUAGCACCAACAACCAAUCAACAAUUCAAUGAUCCCAACAUAGAAAAUAACAUUAACACGAGUAAUUAAGAAUUAAACAAUCUAUCUAAAGCAUGAAAAAUAUAAUACACAAAUAAGGCUAAUUCUACCCUCAUGCUUAUCCAUGGCCAACGCAUAUACACCUGUCACCUUGCAUAUACAUUGUUCCCAACACAUAGAUCACACAGCAAAUAGACUCGAUUCAACCAUAUUUUCCUCAAAUCAAGGUUAACCAAAAAACUUACAUAUUUUUGAAAUACAAUCAACAAUCCAACACGAUUUUUCCAUUAGAACAAGCCUCCAAAUCAAUCGAAUCUAGUCAAAUAUCGUUCAAAUAAUUCAAAACAAGGUUCAAUCCUAAUCAUGAUUGAAAAAGUCAAUAAAAAGUAAACUCGGGCCCAUGUGGUCAAAAUUUAAAAUUAUGACCAAAUCACAAUUACCCAUUCACCCCCGAGUCGGAAUAUCUGAUUUGUUUCAAAAUCUGACCUCAAUUUGGGGUCUAAAUCUUAAUUUUACAAAAUCCCAAAAUUCUAUCCAAAAUCCCCAAUACCUACUUUAAAAUUCAUAGAUUUAAUAUUGAAAUUCAUGUAAAAGUAAUGAAAAUUGAUUGAAAACAAGUUAAAAUUAUUAAUCUAUGAAUUUGAGAAGAAAUUGCUCCCCAAAAAUCACUUCUAUGGAGUCUAGGGUUCAAAACUGGUGUAAAAUAGGCUAAGUCCCGAAAUCCCAACAUUUUACCCAGCAACAGAUGUUGCAAUUGUGAACUCUUGUUCGUAAUUGUGAUGUUCGCAAAAGAGAACAACUGGCCGCAAUUGCGAACCAUUCUCUGGGCCUCCAAUAUCGCAAAAGUGAUUAAAUCCUCGCAAACGCGAACCCUGGGCAGUCCACAAAUGCAAACAAUGCUUGGCAAAUGUGAAGUUGCCCCCUAAAUCCACACUGUCGCAAAUGUGACUGCUUCAUUGCAAAUGCGAAGCCACCCUGUAUGAAUAUGUGAUAAAAAUUUCACAAAUGCAAUGUGCUAGCCCUCAUCCCAUCUUCACAAAUACAAGAAAUCACUCGCAAAAGCAAUGCUCGCAUUUGCAAGCAGAAAUGCGAGAUUUGCAGACUAACCACACCAGAGUUCUUUAGUUGUUCCAAAACACUUCUGAAACUCAACUGAGCCCCUCGGGCUAUAAUCCGUACAUUCACACAAGUGUAAUAACAUCAUACAAACUCGCUCUCUAUCUCAAAUUAACAAAAUAACAUCAAAUAUAAAGAAUCUAUCAUAAAAACUCAACAUUUUCAAGUUCAAAACUCAUUUUCCAACUUUUUACAUAACGUGCCGAAAUGGCCUCAGGUCACCCGGGACCCCAACCAAACAUGCGUACAAGUCCAAAAUCAUCAUACGAACCUACUGAAAUCGUCAAAAUAUCAAUCUGAGGUCGUUUACCAAAAACGCCGACAGUGAACAACUCUAGUCAUUUUUAAAGUUAAAAAUCACAUUUUCUUCAAAAUCUCACAUAUAAACUUUCCAGAAAUUAACACAGACCACGCACAUAAGUCAUAAAUCAUCAAAUAAGGAUAUGCGAGGUCUUGGAACAAAGAAAAAGGAUCAAGUACUCAAAAUGACCUAUCGGGUCGUUACAUUCUCUACCUCUAAAAGAUACUUUCGUCCUUGAACGGACAUCGAAAUGUACAUGGACUGGUAAAAAGGUGCGGGUAUCUACUACUCACAUAGGACUCAGACUCUCAAGUAGUCUCCUCAAUAGGUUGACCUCUCCAACUCACUUUCACAAAAGCAAAACUCUUAGAUCUUAAAUUUCAAACAUGCCAGCCUAGAAUGGCCACCGGUUCUUCCUCAUUGGUCAAAUUCUCAUCAAGCUGCACUGUGCUGAAGUCCAAAAUAUGCGACUUAUCUUCAUGAUACUUCCGAAGCAUGAAGACGUGAAAUACCGAAUGUACCCCCUCUAGGCUAGGAGGCAAUGCAGGCCUAUAAGCAACCUCUCAUACUCUCUCAAAGAUUUCAAAUGGGCCAAUAAACCUCGGGCUCAACUUGCCCUUCUUCCCAAAUCGCAUCAUGCCCUUCAUAGGAGACACUCAGAGAAGAACCUUCUCACCUUCCAUGUAAGCCAAAUCUUGAACCUUCCGGUCCGCAUAACUCUUUUUCCUGGACUAAGUUGUACGAAGUCGCUCCUGAAUCACGUUCACCUUCUCCAAAGCAUCACGAACCAUGUAUGUACCCAACAGGGCUCAAACCAACUAACUGGAGAACGACAUCGCCUCCCAUAUAAGGCCUUAUAUGGAGCCAUCUGGAUACUCGAUUGAUAGUUAUUGUUGUAAGCGAAUUCCGCUAGAGGUAGAAACUUGUUCCACUGACCCCCGAAAUCCAUAAAGCAUGCCCACAACAUGUCCUCCAAAAUCUAAAUAGUAUGCUCAGACUGUCCGUCCAUCUGAGAAUGAAAUGCGGUACGCAGCUCAACCCGCGUGCCCGUCUCACGCUGCACAACUCUCCAAAAGUGUAAAAUGAACUGCGUGCCCCGGUCCGAAAUGAUAGAAAAGGUAUACUAUGUUGGCGGAUAAUCUCCAGGAUGUAAAUCUAAGCCAAUCACUCUAAAGAAUAGGAUGUCAACACUGGAAUGAAGUGUGUGGAAUUAGUCAACCGGUCCACAAUAACCCAAUAAAUAUCAUACUUCCUCAAGGUCCGUUAUAAGCCUACCAAAUAGUCCAUGGUGAUGCGCUCCCAUUUCCACUCCAGUAUCACCAACAUUUAAGUCAACCCACCUAGUUUAUGUUGUUCAUACUUCACCUGUUGAUAAUUCAAACACUGAGAUACAUGUCCAACAAUGUCUUUCUUCAUCUUUUGCCACUAAUAGUGUAGCUUCAAGUCAUACAUCUUCGUGACACCUGGGUGAAUGGAACCGUAAACUAUGAGCCUCCUCAAGGAUAAACUCUCUCAACCCAUCAACAUUCGGAACACAAAUCUGGCCCUGAAGCCGCAUAACACCAUCAUCUCCAAUCACCACCUUCUUAGCACCACCCCGCUGCACCAUAUCUUUCAACACUAACAAGUGAGGAUCAUCAAAAUGGCAAGCCUUAAUGCACUCCAACAAUGAUGACUGGGCAACAACACAAGCAAGAACCCUUCUAGGCUCCGAAAUAUCCAACCUCACGAAUCGGUUUGCGAAAGCCUGAACAUCCAUCGCUAAUGGCCUCUCCAUUACCGGUAAGAAUGCCAAACUUCCCAUGCUCUCUGCCUUCCUAUUCAAGGCAUCAACCACUAUAUUAGCCUUGCCCGAAUGAUAUAAUAUGGUGAUAUCAUAGUCUUUCAAUAACUCCAAGCAUCUUCACUGCCUCAAAUUAAGAUUCUUCUGCUUGAAUAGAUGCUAAAGACUUCGAUGGUCGGUAUACACCUCACAUGGAACGCCGUAUACAUAGUGCCUCUAAAUCUUGAGCACGUGAACAAUAACUACAAACUCCAAAUCAUGCACAAGGUAGAUCUUCUCAUGGACCUUCAACAAACAAGACGUGUAGGAAAUUACCCUACCAUCCUGCAUCAAUACCGUGCCAAGUCCAAUACAUGAUUCAUCACAAUACACAAUAUAAGAUCCCGAACCUGUGGGCAACACCAACACAGGGACUGUAGUCAAGGUAGUCUUGAGCUUAUGAAAUCUCUCUUAACACUCGUCGGACCAUCUGAAAAGAGCACCUUCUGGGUCAAAUUGGUCAAUAGGGCUGAGAUAGAUGAAAACUCGUCCAUGAACGGGCGAUGAUAACCUGCCAAACCCAAGAAGCUCUGAAUCUCUUUAACUGAAGUAGGUGUAGGCCAGUUCUGAACUACCUCUAUCUUCUUAGGGUCCACCUUGAUACCCUUGGAAAGCACAACAUGACGCAAAAAGGCAACUAAGUCUAACAAGAACUCAUACUUCAAAAAUAUGGCAUAUAGUUGACGAUCCAUCAAAGUCUGAAGUACAAUCCGUAGGUGCUACUCAUGCCCCUCUCGACUACGAGAGUAAACUAGAAUAUCAUCAAUGAAGACAAUCACGAAGGAAUCCAAAUAAGGCUUGAUCACUCUGUUCAUCGAAUCCAUGAAGGUUGUUGGGGCAUUAGUCAAGCCAAAUGACAUCACCAAGAACUCGCAGUUACCAUAACGAGUCCUAACAGUUGUCUUAGGGACAUCUGAUGCCCUAGUCUCCACCUAAUGGUAGACAGAUCUCAAACCAAUCUUGUAAAAUACCUUGGCACCCCGAAGCUGGUAAAAAUAUCAUUAAUCCUAGGCAAUGAAUACUUGUUCUUGAUAGUGGCUUUGUUCAAUUGCCAAUAGUCUUUGCACAUACUCAUCAAUCCGUCCUUUUUCUUAACAAACAACACCGGCAUACUCCAAGGUGAAACACUAGGUCUAAUGAAUCCCUUGUCAAGUAAAUCUUACAAAAGAUCCUUCAAUUCUUUCAACUCAGCUAGAGCCAUAUAUUUCGGUGGAAUAGAAAUACACUGAGUGUCUGAAACCAAGUCAAUGCAAAAGUCAAUAUCCCUGUCGGGUGGCAUACCCGACAAAUCUGUACGAAAUACCUCAGGAAACUCACUCACAAUCGGUACCAAAUUUAUAAAAGGAACCUCUGCAAUAGAAUCUCGGAAAUAAGCCAAAUACACCAAAUACCUCUUCUCGACCAUACGUCGAGCCUUCAAAUAUGAAACCACCUGUCACGACCCAAAUCGGAGGGCCGCGACGAGCACCCGGUGCCUUACUCAACCGAGUACCAAUGUAACGUAUCUUUCGUAUCACACCAUCAUGGGUAAAUGAUCUGGAAAGGUUGUCAUGAGAUAACUAGAAUUAAACAUAUGAGAAUACUCGACAUAGGACGACCCAAUAUGGCAUACAAACUUAUACAUGUGACAUAUGUGCCUAUAAGGCUGACAUGAUCAUUUGUACACUCAAAACAUAGAACGACAAGUCUAUACAAGUAUCCAUAUACAUGAUAUCAGUCUACAAGCCUCUAAGAGUACAUGAACAUCAUAAAGGUCAGGACAGGGCCCCGUCAUACCAAUCAAUACAUGUCCAAAUCAUACUGACCAAAUAGGCAACUCCGGAGCAAGUGGAGUGCAUCUACACCUUCUGCUAAGCUGAUAGCCUACUAGGAGGACUGUUAACCUGUUUAUCGGGACGUCGGUAUAAAUAAAGUACCGAGUAUGUAAGGCAUCAAAAGUAAUAUAUAAAAGACAUGAAAAAAACAUGGAGUAAAGGACUCAACCUAUAAUUCUAAAUAGCUCAGUGAAUUAUGAAACCUUUAUAGUGUUAUGUAUAUGCGUAUAAAUGUCAUAUCAUGCAUAGGUAUAUGCAUACAUAACAUCCUCAAACCUCUAAGGGCAUACCAUCAUAUCAUUUCGGCCUCUGUGGGCGAAAUCAUCAACGUAUACCAGUUGAUCAGGUGGUGGUGCAUAUAUAACGCCAUAACCUUUCCCCAUACCCCAUAUACAUAUAAUAUAUGCGUAUAUAACGACAUAUGUUCAUGGCUCAAUAUACAUUUAUAAAUGAAUGCAAUGCAUAAGAAGUAAGUCAAUAAGAUCUCUCGGGAUGUCAUAAGAUCAAUAUGCCUUCGGUUAAUAUCACGAAGUAAACUUUAUCAACUUCAUAUUUUUUGAGACCCAUGAAUAGAUGAUAUAAUAAUAGUACAUAUGGGGAAUCAAGAACAUAGGCAACCCUAGUACUUCUAAGAAUAGAGUCAUUUUUGAAAGUUGGGUGUUUGCUCGUUUUGUUGUAUCAUUUGGAUUAUGCCAAAAGGAAAUAAGGGAUAGCCUUAACAUAGCUUAACUCCGUUGAAUCAUUAAUACCUUCCAAGAAAUUCUUCAAACAACUCAACUCAAUCUACCAUAGCAUAAGGAGAUUCAAAAUCAGUAUUGAGUAAAGGCUAAGUCCGUAACAUAAACUAGUAGCUCGUUUAUGUAAAUUUGGGCAGCAUCUCCCCUGUAACUAGGGGACGUCCUCCAAUAUCAUAUAUCAANNNNNNNNNNNNNNNNNNNNNNNNNNNNNNNNNNNNNNNNNNNNNNNNNNNNNNNNNNNNNNNNNNNNNNNNNNNNNNNNNNNNNNNNNNNNNNNNNNNNNNNNNNNNNNNNNNNNNNNNNNNNNNNNNNNNNNNNNNNNNNNNNNNNNNNNNNNNNNNNNNNNNNNNNNNNNNNNNNNNNNNNNNNNNNNNNNNNNNNNNNNNNNNNNNNNNNNNNNNNNNNNNNNNNNNNNNNNNNNNNNNNNNNNNNNNNNNNNNNNNNNNNNNNNNNNNNNNNNNNNNNNNNNNNNNNNNNNNNNNNNNNNNNNNNNNNNNNNNNNNNNNNNNNNNNNNNNNNNNNNNNNNNNNNNNNNNNNNNNNNNNNNNNNNNNNNNNNNNNNNNNNNNNNNNNNNNNNNNNNNNNNNNNNNNNNNNNNNNNNNNNNNNNNNNNNNNNNNNNNNNNNNNNNNNNNNNNNNNNNNNNNNNNNNNNNNNNNNNNNNNNNNNNNNNNNNNNNNNNNNNNNNNNNNNNNNNNNNNNNNNNNNNNNNNNNNNNNNNNNNNGAUAAUGAAGUCAUUCAUCAAUGAUUCCAUCCUUAUACCAUAUAUUUAUAAAUAAGGAAAAAAUCCACAACUCCAACCAUCUUCAAUUAGCAAUUGUAUUCACUAGUUUAUGUCUAGUCCAUCCAUUUAACUUAAUCAACAUCAAUAUAACCUUAAGCACGUGCAAAAACACAAUACACAUACCUCCUACAGUAUCUUCAAGCCGAAAUCCAACUUAUAUUUACCUUACAACAGCCCCCAAUGGCAACACAACCUCAAAGAGGUAUUGUUCUUCACUAGAACUAACUUUUGAUGUUGAAAUAUGGUGUAAUCACUUUGGAAUCACUUCAAACCCUUAUGGUAUCUAUUUAGGAGGGUCAGGAGAAGUUUGGAGAUGAAGUAAGUCGACCACCGCCUAAGUGAGCAAAAAAUAGGCGUCCUAAUCAUUUAUAAAGUAAAAUAGGUCAACCACCGCCUAAGUGGGUCCCAUUGGGAGCUGCCUACGCGGUCUCGCAUUUCUGAGCUUAUAUCAAUUGUCUUACAACGUACUCUUACAUAUGAAAAUAUGGGGUGUAAACACCACCCUACUAAUGGAGUGACCAAGGGUCCCUCUCCACUCUAAUCUAGGCAAUCCUGACAUGACUAAGGUCACAUUUCUUGGCAUGACAAUCCAAGAUAGCGUGAUACGGGGACAACCAAUCCAUACCAAGAAUGACCUCAAAAUCCACCAUGUUCAGCAACAAAAGAUCAACUAUGGUAUCAAAGCCAUUAAUAGUAACAAUGCAAGACCUGUAAACCUGAUUUACUACUGUAGAAUCUCCGACCGGUGUAGACAUAGAAAAAGUAACAUCAAGAGAAUCACGAGGCAUACUCAAAUGCGAAACAAAAUAUGAAGACACAUAAGAAUUUAUAGAACCCGGAUCAAACAAUACGGAAGCAUCUCUACGAUAGAAUGAGAUAAUACCUAUAAUAACUAUAUCGAACGAGUAUACCUCAGGUCUAGCUGGAAAUGCAUAACAGCGCGGUCGUGCCCCACCAACCUGGCCUCCACCCUUGGGACGACCUCUCACUAACUGGUCUUCACCUCUAACUGACUGCCCCCACCUCGAGCUUUCUGACCUAGCCUCUAGCAGGUUGUGCGGGUAGUGGGGCCAUUGGUGCCGGAACUAUGGCACGAGUACCUUACUGUAGCAUACUACUCUGUGACCAAGGGAAAAUCUUCGCAAUAUGCCUCAUAUCCUCACAUGUAUAACAAGCCCUCGACUGACGUGACUGCUGACCCUAGAAUUAUCCCUAUCGACCAGAAUAACCACAAGUGUAACUCUAUAUUAGAGGUGCACUAACUGGAGUUGGAGGCGCAUUGUAUGCUAGGUGCUCAGAAUGAGAUCCAUAAGUUCUGUGGAUGCCUGAAGUACAAUGGGAGACCUGUAGAGUUGACUGACCCGGCUCAAUAGGAUGGCCUCUACAAAAGGAGCCCCUACCUCCAAACAAGGCACCACUGAAUCCUUUAAAAUGAUGGGGCCUCUUGUUUGAGGUCAUCUCUCUACCUGGCUUCUGAUGCGCUCGAUCCUCCUGGCUAUCUCCACUACCCGAGUAAAAGAAAUCUCAUCUUCAGUCUCCAUCUAAAGUCUGAUGCCAUAUGAAAGACCAUCAAUGAACCUUCGCACCUUCUUCCUCUCAGUAAGGAUCAGGAUAGUUGCAUGGCAUGACAAAUCCAUAAAUCUGGUCUCAUAUUGGGUAACAGUCAUGUUACCCUGCUGAAGUCGCUCAAACUGACUACGCACUCCUCUCUCUAGGUGAAGGGGAUAAACUUCUCUACGAACAUCUGCGAGAACUGUUCCCAUGUAAGAGGAGGUGACCCCAUUGGCCUGCCCUGCACAUACACCUUCCACCACCUAUUGGCAGAACCAUGCAUCUGAAAUACUGUGAAAUCAACUCCGUUGGACUCCACUAUAUCCAUGUUGUGCAAGAUCUCAUGGAAACAAUCUAAGAAGUCUUGUGGGUCCUCAGAAAGUGUACCACUAUAGUGAGGGGGAUACAAAUUGGUGAACCUUUACAACCUCUUCAGCUCAUCAGCUGACAUUGCGGGUAUGUCCCUAGGUUGUGUAGCAACUACAAGCUGAACUGCCCCAAGUGGUAGAGUUGUUGGGGUCUGAUACCCAUGAGCCAUCUACUCUGGAGUGUGGGUAGCAGGAGUCUGGGCACCUCCCCUAGCCUGAGAAACGGCUGGUGCCACAGGAAACACAUUGGCCUGAGCCAUACUCUCCAUGAGUCCAACCAUGCGGACUAAGGCAUUUUAAAGCGCUAGAUAGCAAUGAACCCCUCUGGGACCUGAGUUGGCCCUACUAGCUCAGUCAAAUAAGGAUCUCCUCAUCCUACUUAAUCUGAGGCUCGACAACAGGUGCCUCUACGCGUGCUCUAGGUUGAGCUCUAGCUCUACCUCUGCCCCAACCCUUACCCCUUGUAGUGGCUGCAAUCUGGAGCUUCCGCUCCUGAUCAGUUGCGGAUGAUGUGCGCGUGCUCACCAUCUGUGAGAGAAUAAGUGAAGUUUGAUUUUCACUCCGUGAUAGAAUAAAGUCGCACGAUAGAAAAAGAAAGAAAGGGAAGUUUCCUAAAGCCUUAUAGCCUCUAGAAGAUAAGCACAUACGUCCCUGUACCAAUCCUCAAGACUCUACUAAGCUUGUUGAUGACUCGUGAGACCUAUACAACCUAGGGCUCUGAUACCAACUUGUCACGACCCAAAAUCCCAACCAACCGGGGUCGUGAUGGUGCCGAACAUCGCUUGCUAGGAAAGCCAACACACAAUAGUAAAAAUAUGAAAGAAUUGCAAUAAAUGACUAACAAUGGAAUAAUAACAUAGCGUAAAAAAAUAAACAUAAUAAGUCUAAAACUAACAUAUAGUGCAAACCCUCCCAAGAUGUGGUCACAAGUACAUGAGCUUCUAUAGUAUACUAAAUACAAUGUUUACAAAGAAGUACAACAUAGUCCAGGAAAUGGAAACAGUACAAUAGCAUUAGGAAGGUGACUCUAAGGCCUGCGAACGGAAUACAGCUCUACCUUCAAUCACCCAUCUAGUAUCCGCUAAGCACCUCUUGGGAUUCUGUUGGUACCAAUAUCCGGAUCAGCACAAGUAGUGCAGAAGUGCAGUAUGAGUACAACCGACCCAAUAUACUCAGUAAGUGUCGAGCCUAACCUCAACGAGAUAGUGACAAGGCUAAGACAAGACACCUAAGAUAAACUUGUGCAGUUAUAUAUCAAGAACUAAUAAAUGAUCAAAUAAAACAACGGGAUAUGGACAUGAGAAAGGGGUACGAAGCAUAAAGUAAAAGUAUUACUAAGUAAACAUCUUUCAAUAAUAAAUAGGGAAACCACAAAUCCAAGUCCACAUUCUAAAUGUCAAGGUAAAGAGCAAUGAAAUCAACAAAAUUACACGGCAUCACGGGUCGUGUUUUUACUCUCAUCCUCACAUGAUAAUAUAAAAGCAAGUGCACGACAUCCCCCUUCAUACUUUUACUAUCAUCCUCACAUGAUAAUAUAAAAGCAAGUGCACGACAUUACCCUUCGUGCUUUUACUCCCAUCCUUAUAUUAUAAUAUAAAAGUAAUUGCAUGGCAUCACCCUUAGUGCUUUAUCCUCACGUUAACUCAAGCAAUAAUAUCAAUAUGUAAAUAAGGCAUGAAAACACCCGUUGUGCACAAUCACUCUUUCUCACAAGCACGGCAACACCCUUCGUGCAUUUUACUCUUCCUCACUAAGAAAUCAAGUACAACACAUUACCAAACAAGGUGGGAAGCAAAUUUAACAUCAACACUAGAAUUUGAACACAAUUCGUCAUAUAAAACCUUCAAACAAUUAGCACGAACAACCAAUUAACAAUUCAACGAUCUCAACACUAAUAUCUCAAUGAUCCCAACAUAGAAAAUAACAUGAACACGAGUAGUUAAAGAAUUAAAUAAUCUAUCUAAAGCAUGGAAGACAUAAUACACAAAUAACAUGGCAGAAAUAAGGCUAAUUCUACCCGCAUGCUUAUCGUAUGGACAACGUAUAUACACCUGUCACCUUGCAUAUAUGCCGCCCCCAACAUAUAGAUCACAUAGCAAAUAGACUCGAUUCUAUCCUAUUUCCCACAAAUCAAGGUUAACCAAGACACUACCCUCUUUUUGAAACACAAUCAACAAUCUAACAUGAUAUUUCCUUUAGAACAAGCCUCCAAACCAAUUGAAUCUAGUCACAUAUCAUUCAAACAAAUCAAAACAAUCUUUAGAAACUACCCACGAAUGAAAAAGGUUUAAUCUUUAUCAUAAUUGAAAAAGUCCACAAAAAGUCAACCCGGGCCUACGUGGUCGAAUUCAAAAUUAAGACCAAAUCUUGAUUACUCAUUCACCCUCGAGCCCAGAUAUGUGAUUUGGUUUGAAAUUCGACCAUAAUUUGGGGUCUAAAUCUCAUUUUUACAAAAUCCCUAAAUUCUACCCCAAACCCCCAAUUUCUACUUUGAAAUUCGUAGAUUUGAUUACAAAAUUCAUGAAAAUAUAAUGGAAAUUGAUUGAAAAAAUGUUAAAGUUACUAACCUAUGAAUUUGGGAAGAAAUUUCUCUCCAAAAAUCUCCUCUAUGGAUUCUAGGGUUCAAAAAUGGUGUAAAACGAGCUAAGUUACAAAAUUUCAACAUUUUACCCAGCUACAGAUGUCGCAAUUGCGAACUCCUAUUCAUAAUUGCGACGUUCGCAAAAGCGAACAACUAGUCGCAAUUGCGAACUAGUCUUUGAGCCUCCAAUAUCGCAAAAAUGAUUAAACCCUCGCAAAUAUGAACCCUGGGUAGUCCGCAAAUGCGAACAAUGCUUCGCAAAUGUGAAGCUGCCCCCUAAAUCCACAGUAUCGCAAAUGUGACUGCUUCAUCGCAAAUACAAAUCCCCAUAUCUGCACAUGCGAUACAAACUUCACAAAUGCAAAGUGCCAGCCUCCAUCCCAUCUUCGCAAAUGGGAUAAAUCACUCGCAAAAGCGAUGCUCGCAUUUGCGAGCAAAACCUCGCAAAUGUGAGAUUUGACUAACCACACCAUAUAUCUUCAGCUGUUCCAAAACACAUCUGAAACUCAUCCGAGCCCCUCAGGCUCCAAUUUAGAUAUUUACACAAGUGUAAUUACAUCAUACAAACUCGCUCUCUAGCUCAAAUAAUCAAAAUAACAUCAAUAUCAAGAAUCGAUCAUAAAAACUCAAGAUUUUCACGUUCAAAACUCCUUUUUCCAACUUUUCACGUAAUGCGCCGAAACGGCCUCGGGUCAUCUGGGACCAAAACAAACAUGCCUAUAAGUCCAGAAUCAAUACGAACCUACCGGAAUCGUCGAAACAUUGAUCCAAGGUCGUUUAUCAAAAACGUUGACCGUUGUCAACUCAAAUCAUUUUUAAAGUCAAAAAUCACAUUUUCUUUAAAAGCUCACAUAUAAAGAAUCCGGAAAUUAAUACGGACCAUGCACACAAGUCAUAAAUCAUCAAAUAAGGCUAUAAGAGGUCUUGGAACACAGAAAAGGAAGCUAGUACUCAAAACGAUCUAUCAAGUCGUUGCAUGAAAUAAAUAAAGGCAUGAACAAGUGGAAGCAUGUGACGAAUAAAGACAUGUAAAAAGUGAUGGCGUAUAUUUAACAAGAAAGGACAUGUAGCAAGUAAAGCACAUAACAAGUAGAACUAUGGAACAAAUAGACAUGCAAUUAAGUAGCACGCCCCUCAUGCUUGAAUCCAUGACAAUGCAUAUACACUCGGCACCUUGCAUGUACGUCGUCCCCACACAUAAAUCAUGUUGGAAAUAUACCAAUCAGGUCCUAAUUCCCUUAAAUUAAGGUUAAUCACGACACAUACCUUUUUACAAAACACAAUCAACAAUCCAACACAGAUUUCAUUGUGGAACAAGCCUCCAAACCACACGAAUCUAGUCAAUUAUAGUUCAAACAAGUCAAAACAAGCUUUAGAAACUAACUCCGUACGAUAAAGGUUCAAUCUAUAACAUAAUUGAAAAAGUCAACCGAGCCCACAUCGUCGAAAUCCGAAAUUAAGACCAAAUCUCGAUUAUCAAUCCACCCUCCAAGCCCGAAUAUGUGAUUUUUUUAAAAUCCGACCUUAAUUUGAGGUCUAAAUGUCGAUUUUACAAAAAUUCUAAAUUCAAUCCAAAACCCCCAAUUGCUAUUCUAAAAACCUAGAUUUGAUGAUGAAAUGCAUGAAAAAGUAAUGGAGGUUGAAUAAAAACAAGAUAAAGUUACUAACUUAUGAAGUUCAGAAGAAAUUGCUCUCCAAAAAUCGCCUAUAUGGAGUCUAGGUUUCAAAAAUGGUAUAAAAUGAGCUUGCAAUUGCGACGCCCGCAAAUGCAAACCCAGUACAUGAGCCUUCCUGUUAUCGCAAUUGCGACUCACCCUUCGCAUUUGCGAAGGUUCCUCUCAUUGCAAAUGCGGAUCAAACUUCACAAAAGCGAAGCUGUACUGAGCCUUCCAAUGUCAUAAAUGCGACACCAAAAUCGCAAAUGUGAGGUCCCUCAAGCUCGCAAAUGCAACGUGUUCUACAUAAAUGCGAAAUUCCCAAUUCCAGCCCAUAAUCGCAAAUGUGAGCCUAACUUUGUAAAAGUGACCACGUCCAACUCUAGUCCUAAAAAGGAUAAGCGGUCGCUGCAAAUAUAAUCCGGUCUAAGAGUCCGAAGUCGAAUCCCAUAGAGAACUAAGGUUUGGCUACAACUGUUCACCAUCAUUAAGAAGAUAAGCUUGAACAAUUCAUAAGUUAGAAAUAUUAAGAUUCUUAUGUUUAACUAAUUAACUAACAUAUUAAAAUAAUAAAUUAAUAACUAAAGAUACUAAGGGUUUGAGACAAGAUUACAAAGGUCUAGAUUUAUUAUUAUCCCAAUUGUCGGCGUCCUUCCCGCUACGUCUCUUAUAAUAAUCGCCUAAGUAUUCUCUAUUAAUCAUGAGCACUGGACUUAUCAUAAUUCUCUCUCGAGCAACUACAAUAUUGUACUAGUCAUAUUCUCUCGAAUUACGCUAGCUCGCACUUUUUCACCGCUCACUAUUAUCACGUCAAAGCUUCGUUAUCUCUAAUCACAUUUUUAAACCCGACGUAUUGAUGUCUCAUAUACGUUAGGAGUGACGUUGUUCAACAACCACCUAAAUGUGUACUCUUUUUCAAGCAAUACAUAAUAAAUAGGCACCGUUAAGUGAGAGCUCUUCAAUUAACUAAAAUAAGCACAUAGUUGAACAAGUAGAAAAAUUCAAAGACUCAAUUAUAUCAAAACGUAUCAAGAAUUCAUCCUACAAAAGAUUCCAUCAAAACCCUAGAUAACAGAACUAGCUACUUAUAGAAGUAUGCAAAACUACAAUACCAAAAUUCAUAUCCAAUAAUGAAAAUAUGAAGAAGAAAGUGAAAAACUCGUAGAAGAAUCUCCGCCUUGCUCCUUGCAUGUUCUUGCCUCCUUAGGUCGAAUUCCCCCUUUAAAAGUGUGUUUAAAGACUAUUUACAUGGGAUAGGUUAGCAUAAGGCGAAAUAAUACAAGCCAACUUUGGAACAGAGUUUUCAGGUUAGCUCGUUUACUCUCUCGUGCGCACGCGAGAGUGAACGAGUGAAGUACUUCUCUCUUUCUUUGCCUCCCAAAUCUCUUGUGCACUUCCACGCCUUUUUAGCUUAGUUUGCUGGUUUUUUGCAAGCUUUCCUUAGCUAGCUCGUUCACUCUCUUGUCUACACGCAAGAGCGAACGACCAAAGCUCUUUUCUUGUCUUUUGAUCCCGAAUCAACUUCUUUUGCUCACCUUUCAUCCAACUUGCUCCUACACAUAAGAAUGCACGUAAUGAGCAUAAUUCACUACAAAACUCAUGUAACCUCCGUAACCACACAAGUUAUGAGAUGAAAGUACACCAAAAAAUAUGCAUUUUUAGCUGUUUAUUAAAAAGCAAAGCACACAUUUGCGAACAGGUCUUCACAAAUGGGAGACUUGCGGACUCACAUCACCAAAUUUCAUCAGCUAUGCCAAAACUAUCCGCAACGCAUACAAAACUCAUUCGAGCCCCUCGAGCUCCAUUCCAAACAUUCACACAAGUGUAAUAACACAAUACAAACUUCAUCGCAAGCUCAAAUUAUCAAAAUAACACCUAAAAUCACGAAUCAAUCACUAAAUUUCAAGAUUUUCAAGUUCAAAACUCAAUUUUCCAAUUUUUCACAUAAUGCGCUGAAAUGGCCUCGGAUCACCUAGGACCCCAACAAAAUAUGAGUACAAGUCCAAAAUAUCAUACAAACCUUCCACGCCCUUUUAGUCCAAAAUAUCAUACAAACAUGCGUACAAAAUAUCAUACAAACGUACAAGUUCCUCAUACAAUGGAAAGAAACACCUUUCAAAACAUACUCAAGCAUCCUACCAAUGACAAUGGUUUAUACCAACACUUAGAGCCCAAGAUAAGAACUAUUGACAUCUUUCUUCAAAAUUAGACUCAUGCCAAGACUAUUUAAAAUAUUUGUGCGGCUUCUUCUGACAUCCUAACCUCAAAAGAUGACUUCAAUACAUUUCCUACUAUGACUCACUUCUUGUGUCAACUUAAUAUGCCUGGACUUUACCAAUCCUUUGUAAAUCAUGUGCGCUCACCACAACCAAAGACAGAAAUUAGUCCACACACUCAAUAUGUAUUCAAGUAUAAUUUAAGGACUUACAAAUCGAAAGAAUUCACUCACUCUCACAAAACAAUUCAUGUGCAUCCCGAGGUCGUACCAUAAGCUUGCCCGUAGUGUAUGUCUCUACUAAUCUAAGCUUGUGAAGUCCAAGAUCAAUUAGAUCUUUCCAGGUUGUAAUAUAGGCUAAGAGAUGGGUAGGAUAUAUUUGGGUAUAGUGACUAACCCUCCUAAGCGCAUUAAUACACUACACUUAACUUUUAAGUCCACACUCUUCAUGACCAAUGCAAGCAAUGCCACAAAAUCAUAUAUAAUUUGGUCCUUCUUCUUUAAGCACAACUAUGCAUUCACUAGCCCGAAGUAAGAGGAAUAGGAGGUGUCUUUUCUAUUUUUUUUUCUUUUUGUAUUUUCUUUAAUUUUUUUCUCUUUUUUUCUUUUUUUUCAACACUCUCCAAACUUGGAUUGCCCGAAUAAUGAGCUUUCAAAACAUACGUUCACCUUUAGGCCUUUCUAUGGUUCCACUCAAAAGCUACUCCAACUCUCACCUUACUCUUCUAGUGAUUUAAGUGCUUUCAGAGGUAAGGGUUCAAAAAGAUCUAAUUAAGAACAAAAAGGGAAUCGGCUUGUAAUGUGGGUGCCAAAGAAAAGGUUUAUAGGCUCAAAUGAGCUAUCUAAGGAUAAUUUUAUAGUGGCAUACUAGCUCAAUGGACAAUCAAAGAAACGCCUACAUCAUCUUCUAAACUCACAAAGCUUACUUAUUUCGCUUCGAUUAACACACGGGGCAAGUUCUAGACUAAUACAGGAUAUCACUAAAUGUAAUCAAGACCUUACAUCACACAAUGCACAUGAUUCACUCCAGACGGCUCAAACCCGACACUCAAGUUAAACAAAUAAGCACAGUCAUCUCAUUAAUUCAACACAUGGAAAGUAAUUACAGGAGACAACAAAUGAACUUAAGCGUCAAAAGAAAGUCAUAUAUAUUUUCAAGGCAUGUGGCCACAUAGAACACAAAGAAGAUAAUCAACUCAAAUGUUACAGCUCUAAGUCCCCACAUAAAACAUGUCAAAAAGCAUAGAUACUCAAGUUCUCCUCAUUCCAUUAUCGCUUUUAAAAAGAAAAGGAAAAUAUUCUUGUAUUUUUUUCUUUAGACUUUACUCCCUAAAGGAAACGGCCUAAGAAAUCCAUCGUCGGAAAAAGUCCAAAUCUUUUGAAAAUUUUACCUAAAAAAAACUACUGCCCGGUUCAAAGAGUCAUCCCUUGGAAAAGAACCGCGGCCAUAAGAAAAAACAAGAGGGAUUAUUUCUACCUAAUUAUUUUUUUAUAUUUUUUUUAACGUACAUUACAUAGCACAAAAAAUUACCCAGACAAUCUUCUCUCUCUCACACUUAAAACUGUGCAUUGUCCCUAAUGCACACCAUAAAUAACAAGAGGAUAAAAUAAAUUCCCUGGUAGGCCAAAGGCCGAAACAUUAGCAGCUCAUGGGGUACUCAGACUUAUCCCGGGUAUUGAUCUUUUAUGCGGGCAUCCCACACUUAGUUCCAGCCAUCUUGCUUUCUUUUGCUUCCUUCCAAUGGCAUUUCUUCUCAUGCUCCUAGAAAAUCAAAACCUAUACUAAAAAAUUAACACAAUAAAAAAAAAUUAAAAAACCUAAAAAUUAAUGAAAUCAAUAAAGUUGGGUUACCUCCCAACAAACGCCUGAUUUAACGUCGCUGCACGACGUGAAUCACUUUUUGCCUCCACCUCGAACUUUUGAAUCGGACCCCAAGUUUUGAUUCAAGAUUAUGAUUAUGCUCUUGGGGCGAUAGAAUAAAUCUAUCUAGCCCAAGAAAAUAAUAUAAUAUUCUACGCUUCUUGGCCUUUAGAUGGGAUGUGUUAUCCUGUCUUUAUGGCACGAAAAAACGUCAGAAUGCAGGCACUUUGUUCCUCAUCCCUUGACUCCUCAAUUGGCUUGGAUGACUCUAUUUUCAUAUCAUCAUCCAAACACAAUAUGGAAAAAUAUUUGGAGUGAGGACCAAUGCGCUCAAACACAUGAAUUUCAGGACUUUCAACAUCCUCAACAUCAAUUAUACUAGAGUCAACAAAAUUUAUAUCCUCAAUGUCCUUGGCUGACUCUAGUCUCACGACUUCAACAUCGACAUCCUCAAAUUGUAGUUGGCUAGGUUGUUGAUGUUCUACUCUGACGUCUUUCAUUAGCACCUCACUUUCUGCAUCUAAUUCAUGCUCUUUUUGGUUACUAUCCAUAAUAUUGGUCUGUUGAGCAUUAAAAGCUUUAACUAGUUGACUCAUUUGAGCCUCCAAAUUGCGAAUAGUUGCCUCUUGCCUCUCUAUCUGCAGUUGUAUUUCAUCAUUUUGUUCCAUGACGCAUUUUAAAAUAUCCUUAAUCUCUUUCAGGUUAUCAUCCCCGGGUUCUUUAUUCCUAUUAACUUCACAAGAAAAAAUAAAACCAUCAGAGUAAGGGGUUGGGGGAGGAUAAGAAAUAUAAGCACAACCAUGAAAGUGACCAUCUUAACCAGCACACACAUCACACACAUUCCACAAAUAAGAUUGAGUUGGUGCACAUAACUCUCUCUCAAGAACAUUUUGAAAAUUUUGCCACGGGUGGUUUCCUUCACAAUAUGUAUAAGGAUCAAAAGUAAAAUUACCAACACCUAAACUCCCAUAAUUCCAAGAUGUCAUGUUUCUCAAAUCAACAAGGAAAAUAAAAUUAAAUUUAAAAAAGAACAAAACAAAAAAAAGUUAAAACUUGAAACCUAACAAUAUAUACAGCUAUAACUAUACCGUUAGUUCCCUGGCAACGACGCCAAAACUUGAUCACACCCAACUCUAGUCCUAAAAAGGAUAAGCGGUCGCUGCAAAUAUAAUCCGGUCUAAGAGUCCAGAGUCGAAUUCUAUAGAGAACUAAGGUUUAGCUACAACUGUUUACCAUCACUAAGAAGACAAGUUCGAACAAUUCCUAAGUUUGAAAUAUUAAGAUUCUUAUGUUUAACUAAUUAACUAACAAAUUAAGGUAAUAAAUUAAUAACUAAAGAUACUAAAGGUUGGAGACAAGAUUACAGAGGUCUAGAGUUAUGAUUUCCCUAAUUGUCGACGUCUUUUCCGCUACGUCUCUUAUAGUAAUUGCCUAAGUAUUCUCUACUGAUCGUGAGCACUCGACUUAUCAUAAUUCUCUCUCGAGCAACUACAAUAAUGUAUUAGUCAUAUUCUCUCGAAUUACGGUAGCUCAUACUUUUUCACCACUCACUAUAAUCACGUCAAAGCUUCGUUAUCUCUAAUCCCGCUUUUAAACCCGCCGUAUUGAUAUCUCAUAUACGUGAGGAGUGACAUUGUUCAACAACCACCUAAAUAUGUACCCUUUUACAAGCAUUACAUAAUAAAUAGGCACCGUUAAUUGAGAGCUCUUCAAUUAACUAAAAUAAACACGUCGUUAAACAAGUAAAAAAAUUCAAAGACUCAAUUAUAUCAAAACGUAUCAAGAACUCAUUUUACAUAAGGUUCCAUCAAAACCCUAGAUAAUAGAAUUAGCUACUCAUAUAAGUAUGUAAAACUACAAUACCAAAUUUCAUAGCCAAUAAUGGAAAUAUGAAGAAGAAAAUGAAAAACUUGUAGAAGAAUUCUCCGCCUUGCUCUUUGCGUGUUCUUGCCUCCUUAGGUCGAAUCCCCCCUUCAAAAGUGUGUUUAAAGACUAUUUACAUGGGAUAGGGUUAGCAUAAAAUAAUACAAGCCAACUUUGGAAUAGAGUUUUCAGGUUAGCUCGUUUACUCUCUCGUGCGCACGCGAGAGUGAACGAGUGAAGUACUUCUCUCUUUCUUUGCCUCCCAAAUCUCUUGUGCACUUCCACGCCUUUUUAGCUUAGUUUGCUGAUUUUUUGCAAGCUUUACUUAGCUAGCUCGUUCACUCUAUUGUCUACACGCAAGAGCGAAUGACCAAAGCGCUUUUCUUGUCUUUUGAUCCCGAAUCAACUUCUUUUGCUCACCUUUCAUCCAACUUGCUCCUACACAUAAGAAUGCACGUAAUGAGCAUAAUUCACUACAAAAACUCAUGUAACCUUCCGUAACCACACAAGUUAUGAGAUGAAAGUUCACCAAAAAAUAUGCAUUUUUAGGUUGUUUAUCAAAAAGCAAAGCUCACAUUUGCGAACAGGUCUUCACAAAUGCGAGACUUGCGGACACACAUCACCAGAAUUCAUCAGCUAUGCCAAAACUAUCCGCAAUGCAUACGAAACUCAUUCGAGCCCCUCGAGCUCCAUUCCAAACAUUCACACAAGUGUAAUAACACAAUACAAAAUUGAUCGCAAGCUCAAAUUAUCAAAAUAACACCUAAAAUCACGAAUCAAUCACUAAAUUUCAAGAUUUUCAAGUUCAAAACUCAAUUUUCCAAUUUUUCACAUAAUGCGCUGAAAUGGCCUCGGGUCACCUGGGACCCCAACCAAACAUGCGUACAAGUUCAAAAUAUCAUACAAACCUACCAAAAUCAUCAAAAUACCGAUCCGAGGUUGUUUACCAAAAACGUUUACCAUGGUCAACUCUAGCCAUUUUCAAAGUGAAAAAUCACAUUUUCUUUAAAACUCACACAUAAACUCUUCGGAAAUCCAUAUGGACCACGCACGCAAGUCAUCAAUCAUCAAAUUUGAGCUAUGAAAAGUCUCAAAAUGUAGAAAGGGGAGCUAGUACUCAAAAAAUCAUAUUGGGUCAUUACAUUCUCCAUCUCUAAAAGAAACAUUCAUCCUCAAACAGACAUAGAAUUUUACCUGGACUGGUAAAAAUGUGCAUGUAUCUACUCCUCAUAUCAGACUCGGACUCCCAAGUAACCUCCUCUAUCGGCUGACCUCUCCUACGCACUUUUACAGAAGGAAUAUCUUUAGAUCUUAACUUUCGAACCUGCCAAUCUAGAAUAGCCACCGGCUCUUCCUCGUAAGUUAGAUUCUCAUCAAGAUGCACCAUGCUGAAGUGCAAAACAUGUGACCUAUUCUCAUGGUACUUCUGAAGCAUGGAAACGUGGAAUAUCGGAUGUACCCCGCUAGGCUAGGAGGAAAUGCAAGCCUAUAAGCAACCUCCCCAACUCUCUCUAAGAUCUCAAAUGGGACAAUAAACCUCGGGAUCAACUUUCCCUUCUUCCCAAAUUGCAUCAUGCCCUUCAUAUGCAAAACCUAGAGAAGAACCUUCUCACUUUCCAUGUAAGACACAUCUCGAACAUUCCGGUCUGCAUAACAUUUUUUCCUAGACUGUUGUGCGAAGCCAUUCUUGAAUCAAUUCAACCUUUUUCAAAGCAUCACGAACCAAGUUUGUUCCCAAUAAUCUAGCCUCACCGGGAUCGAACCAACCAAUCAGAGGCCUUGUACUAAGCUAUAUAGAUGCUUGACUGAUAGUUGUUGUUGUAGGCAAACUCCUCUAGAGGUAGAAAAUAGUCCCGCUGACCCCCGAAAUCAAUAGAGCAUACUCUCAACAUAUCCUCCAAAAUCUUAGUAGUCUGGUCGUACUGUCCGUCCGUCUGAGAAUGAAAUGUGGUACUCAGCUCGACCUGCGUACCUAACUCACACUGCACAGCUCUCCAAAAGUAUGAAGUGAACUGUGUACCUCAGUCUGAAAUGAUAGAAAUGGGCACACUGUGCAGGCGGAUAAACUCCUGAAUGUAAAUAUGAUCCAAUUGCUCUAAAGAAUAGCAUGUCAUCACCGGAAUAAAGUCUGCGGAAUUAGUCAACCGGUCCACAAUGACCUAAACAACAUCAUACUUCCUUGAGGUCCGUGUAAGCCUACCACAAAGUCCAUAGUGAUACGCUCCCAUUUCUACUCCGGUAUCACCAACUUCUGAGUUAACCCACCCAAUUUUUUAUGUUCAUACUUCACCUGUUGACAAUUCAAGCACCAAGAGACCCAAAAAGGCAACUAAGUCUAACCAGAACUCACACUUCAAAAACUAGGCAUAUAGCUGAUGACCCUUCAAAGUCUGAAGUACGAUCUGUAGGUGCUGCUCAAACUCCUCUCUAUUGCAAGAGUAAACCAAAAUAUCAUGCAAAUCCUUCUUCCUCUCCUUGUACUAUUCCAUCAACUUCCUAACAAGGUGGACAGAUUCUGCAGUCGAACAUCCCAGUAUGAAUUCAAAUUGGUUCUCAGAAAUAGAUACAGUGCUCCUUACCCUCACUUCCACCACUCUCUCCCAUUCUUUUAAAGUAUGACUAUGCAACUUAAUACCCCUAUAGUUGUUAUAAUUUUUGGAUAUCACAUUUGUUCUUGUAUAACAGAAUCAUCAUACUCUAGCUCUUUCUUCGGACAUCUUCUUCAUCCUAAAAAUGAUGUUAAACAACCCAGUCAGCCACUCCAAGCCUGCCCUACCCACAUAUCUCAAAAGUACCACCAAAAUUUCAUAUGGACCGGUCGCUUUGUCCUGACUCAUCUUAUGCAUAGCCCCCACAACCUGCUUAAUAUUUAUGUGCCUACAAUACCCAAAGACUCGACGACUUUUGGAGUGAUCCAAAUCACCCAUCACAUGUUCAUGUCCCCCUCUUCAUUUAGGAGUUUAAAGAAGUAUGUUUGCCAUCUUCAUUUAAUUUGUGCCUCUUCCAAGAUGUGCCUCUCUUGUCUUUGAUGCACCUCACUUGGUCCAGAUCAUGAGCCUUCUAUUCUCUCACCUUGGCCAGGCUAAAUAGCUUCUUGUCCCUGCCUUUGUCCCCUAGUUCCUCAUAAAAAUGAUAAAACACUACAGUCUUAACUUCCGUAACUGCUAACUUUGCUUCCUUCUUAGCCUUCUUAUACCACUCUCUAUUCGUCCUCUUCUCUUCUCGUAUGUGCUCUCAACUAACUUCAGAAACACCGCUUUCUUGGCUUCUACUUUUACUUGAACAUUUUCAUUCCAUCACAGUCCCCUUUUUCACAACCAAACUAACACUUCGAGAUACCUAAUACCUCUUUCGAAGCUUCCCUAAUGCAGUUUUCCAUCCUGGUCCACAUACUACUCACAUCCCCCUACUCCUCUAAGCCCCCAUAGAGCCAGAAAUAUCUCCCCCAAUUCCUGAGCUUUAUUUUUAGUCAAGACACUCUAACUAAUCUUCGGUCAACCCCACGCAACCCUCUUCUUCCUUCUCAACAUGAUCUCUAAGUCCAUCACCAAAAGCCUAUGCUGGGUCGCGAGGUUCUCACUUGGGAUGACCUUGUAAGCCGUGCAUAGACUUCUAUCACACUUCCUGGGGAGGAGAGAAUCAAUUUGCGUGUUGGCCACCGUACUUUGAAAGGUAAACAAUUGAUCCUCUCUCUUCUAGAAACUAGAGUUCACUAUUACCAAAUCAAAAGCUUUAGAAAAAUUCAACAGUCAAGUUCCUCCUCCAUUUUUAUCCCCAAAACAAAAACCGUUGUGCACCUCGCCAUAACCCCCAGCAGUCGUUCCAAUGUGUCCAUUAAAAUUCCCUUUUAUGAAAAGAGUAACUUUAAAAUCAUAUUUAUUAAUUGCCAUGGUUUGGUAUUUAUAAAUUUUCUAUAACUGCAAUAAAUCAUUGAAUCUAUAGCAUAAUCCAAAUACACGAUCUUAAACAAUAAAUACAUCAAUUCAAAAGAACACUCCACCGAAAUAUCAAAAUUUUCUCUCCGUACAGAAGACACUGGUGAACUGUAAAUUGUCACGUCGGAAUACACACUACUCCACCGUCCGGUGGUGGAAAACCACCAGACUACGCUAAAAAGAAGCGUGUUUCCAAUGCGCAUAAACCCCAACUGGACGCCCCCCUCAAUUCAUCCCCAGCAGCUACAGAUUUCAAAAAAGGUGGAGUGAAUACUGUAGCAAAAAAUUGCUUGGGCUUUUCUGCAAAAUCGCAACUUGUUUCUGGGCCAAAUAUAGUGCAUCCAAGCCAUAGAGGUUUCUCUCCAACUCAAAUAACAUCGACCCACAAAAUUUCAGAUCCUUCCACCACUGGAACCCUCGUGGUCGAGGAGAAGAAAAAUGUCGAUGACCACCAUAGGGUCGGGCAUGGUAUUACAAGUACCCAAAUUGGCCAAGACCAAUGCCAAUUGACUCCACUUGAUGAGGAGAUUGGUACCAAAUUAUGAAACAACAACUUUAUUGAGCUAACUGUCACAGCAAUUCAAAAGACCAAAUCUGCAGACUUACAGGCACCAGGUGUUCGAUAUAAUACCACUGACAAUUUAACUAACAAUGCAAAGGAGCAAAGUGGUAUUCAACUGUACCAAAGUGGUGUUGAAGUUAGUAGUCAAGUACUAAAACCAAGGAAGACCACUCCAAAUUGAUGAUCAUGUAAUGUCUCCUCCAACAGAACUUCAGUUGGUGGAGUAUGGUGUGCCAAUUGUACAGGCCACUUUAAGCUAGCAAAUGGAGAAGAAUGCAUCAAAGGAACUUGAUUCAAACAUCCCCAAGCAACCACAGCAAUCUCAUGUAUCAUUGCCCUCAGCUUCAGUUAUAUCUGCCAACUAAGAUGAACAACUAAAAUCUAAGCAUGGUCGACCAACUGAUGCCAAUAAAGAAGGCCCUGCUAAUGGUAAUGAACCUAAAUUUGCAACCUUGAUCAACAUUAAUCAGGAGACCCCUCCUGUUAUUCAACAGAGUUUGGAAGGAAGAACCCAACUAAUUUUCAUAGACCAAGUACCUCUUAAACACCAGCCAGCAACUACAAAAAGUACCAUUCCUAAGAUCUCCUCAAACUUUGACAAACCAUCUUACACUAAACCUCCUGUAUCACAACCUUAUCCUAAGCAAACACCCACUACUACCACCACUAAUAAAAAACCAAAUGACACCAAUGCUAAACCUAAACAAUCAUCUAGCUUACCAGCACCACCUCCACCCACAAUCAAACAUUCUUAUGUUACCAAACUGAGGGCAAGGCAUGAAGCUGAACAUGAACCAAUUGAGUUUACCCCUCCUAAAAUUACUACCAAGCAAGUUCAACCAGCAAUUAUUUUCAAUAUAUGGUCAAACUAGCUGCAAGAUGCAAAUUCACAAUGGUGGGAAAAUUUUCAAACACCAUGCAUAGAAUGGAGACUAUUAGGGGAAGCUUUGUGUCACAAACAGAACUAAAAAGGGGUGUCAAGAUUGCUCAUUUUAAUGCAAGAACAGUUUACAUUGAUCUUGAUAAUGAAUAUGAUCAUGUCACUGUAUGGACUAGACAAUUCAUGUAUAUCCAAGGUCAAAUGAUGAAGUUGGAAGCAUGGACACCCACUUUUAACCCAGCUGAAGACUCACCCAUUGUUCUGAUAUGGGUGGUGGUUCUAGAAUUACCUUGGUAUUUUUAUUACAUAGAGAUAUCAACUGUCCUCCUAUCUCCAGUAGGUAAAGCUCUUCAUUUGGAUCUGGCUUCAUUUCAAAAGACUAAAGGAAGUGUAGCUAAGAUAAAGAUGCAGAUUGAUUUGACCAAGCCAAGACCAUAUCAUGUGUGGUUGGUAAUUGAUGAAGAUGAAAAUGGGGAUGGGAAGUGAUUAGAAGUAAAGUAUGAAAAUAUCCCAGAUUACUGUCUUUAUUGUAGGCACCAGGACCAAAACUCACAUGCAUGCCCAAUUAGAAUAUAGGAUGAGGAGAACAAGAAAAGGAAAGAGAAUGCUAUGAUUGAGGGCAAUUAGGAAACCAAACAAACGCAGCUCUAUGUGGGGCAAACUUCAUCACAAAAUCAGAGUAUUCAAAAGGAGAAGCAGGAUAGAAGAACUAGAGUUGAUAGUAAUCAAAAGGGCCAGGAACAGCAAAAGUCAGGUGUUACCUCUCCAAACAAUGAAUGGCAAAACAAAAAGAAGAAACACUUCAAAGGGCCAUAACAACAAAAUAAAAAACAGCUCCAACCUAUCAUACCAAAAAGGAAUAUAUAACAACAGUUGCAGGCAAAUGAGACUACUAAACACCAAAAGGAUAAAGAGAGCCAAACAUCAGGUAUAAAUACUACAACCUUGAAAGACCCUCCAAGUGCUCUAGAGAAAGGAGAUAUUUCUAAAAUUCAGAAAUGUCAUACACCUCCCCACCCCUUAAUAUUAUUGUUGAGGAAGUCAAUGGAGGAAUGAAGAAUUGUCAGGAGAACACUCUAACCUUGCAGGAUGGGGAUCCAAAGGGGGGCUUCCUCAUGUUUUGCAUGGGUGUGCUUCAACACAUGUGAAUGACCAUAGGAUUGACUCUUUAACCCCUGCUACCAAUACUCUUACACAUGGGAAUGCAGUUGCUUCAGAGGUUACCAAUGACGAGGAACACUAUGAAGUGAUCUAUUCUAGUGAGGAGGAAUAGGCUUUGAGGAGGUUUAUCAAAGGGAAAGGUCAUGUUGCUUCAGAUAUCCAAACUCAACUCCCCAAAUCCAAUAACAAACCUAGACAUGAAAAAAAAAGCUAUGAUAAAGAAGAAUGCAGGAAUCAGCAUUACUGAACAGACACAGGAAGGCCUGAGGAAGCCAAUCAGUUAACUUCUACAGGGUAUACAGUCCCACUAGCUGCUUAUCAGAAUGACAACCUACCUCAUUCUUAACCCCUAUUACCCAACAAAGGUAUCAUCCCUGUUGAAGUAUCACAUGAUGCAACUGAUAAGGAUGAUCCUUUUAGCAAGAUUAUACCAACAGAAACACCUGGCCAUGAAGAGGAUGAGUAUAGACCCAUACAAUUAGAAGAUGAAAUAGGCAUAUACUCUGAUGAUGAGGAUGAUCCUAGCAAAGGGAUAGAUGAAGAACAGUAUUGUGAGCUUCUGGUUGCAGCUGUGAAUGGUGCAACUGAACAAGACAAUGUUUUAGCCUCCCAAACUAGAUCACUAAGAAAGAGACCCUCACCCAGACUCACCAGAAGUAGAGUUGCUUCCAGUAGUUCUGUUCCACCAAAAUCCAAAUCCCCUAUCAUCUUUAAAUGAGCAGCAUAAUAACUUGAAAUGUCAGAGGUAUCAGAACCUCUGGGGUUAUUGAGAGACUCAAAAUACUAAAACAAAUCAACAAAUUAUCCUUCAUUACUAUCCUAGAACCAUUCCUUCAUAAUCCAAAUAUGUCAACCAAUCAUUCUUAUAACAUCCAUAUUGACUACUUCAGAAUGUAGUUGUCAAUGAGCCAAGCUGCUUCCAAUAGUAGCAACAAAAUAUGGAUCUUCUAGGAUCAGGAGUUCACUAGUACUCUUUUGGACCAAGAUGAACAACAAAUGACAAUUGAGAUAAAGCAUGUAGAAGCUGGAGAUACCUUUCACGUCUCUGUGAUAUAUGUAAAAUGUAAACUUUCUCUGAGAAUUCCUCUAUGGGAGAAUUUGAAACUAAAAUCUACUCUUUGCAUUGUGCCUUGGUGUGUGAUUGGAGAUUUUAAUGUCAUUACUUCUAUGGGUGAGAAGAUUGGAGGGAUACCAUACCAAAUGAAGAAGAGUAUUGAUUUCAUCAGCAUGAUUGAAGAAUGUGGUUUAACUGAUUUUGGUUUUUAUGGCCCAAGAUACACAUGGUCUAAUGGAAGAGGACCUGGUUCUAUAGUGUGGAAGAGAUUGGACAGGUGUCUUGUUAAUGAUCACUGGCUAACCUCUUUCCCUACUACUACUAUUGUCACACAUUUGGCUUCAGCAAGUUCUGACCAUUCACCUCUCCUAAUGGAAAUGCAUGUGAGACAAGAUAAUACCAAGAAAUACUUCAGGAUUUUAAACUGCUGGGUGAAGAAUGAAAGUUUCAUGCCACUGGUUCUAGAGGUGUGGAGCAUGCAGGUUACAGGAAGUCCAAUGUGGGUCUUUCACCAAAAACAUAAAGCCUUGUCUAGUGCUUUAAGUAAAUGGUCUAGACAGCAAUAUGGGGACAUCUUUCAGAAAUCAAAGGAGUAUGAACAGAAGGUUAAGUUAGCAGAAGAGAAAUGGGCUACUACCAAUGAUCUAACUAAUAGGAUUACCUUACCUGAACUUCAAGCUCAGUACAUUAAACACUUGAAACAUGAAGAGGAGGUACUGAAACAGAAGACACAACUACAAUGGUUCAAAGAAGGUAAUGCUAACUCCAGCUACUUUCACAGUUUGAUCAGAGGUAGAAGAAAAAAAAUUUUCAUCCACAAAAUCAAGGAUAAAGAAGGAGAUUGGAUUCAGGGUGAUGAAGCUAUUGAGGAAGCUGCUUGUGACUAUUUUGAAGAACUCAUCACUGAACCUUGAGGACAUAUUAUAGAGGAUCUUCUCAAUUUUAUUCCAACCAUGAUCACUAAUGAAGACAAUGCUGAACUCUCCAGAGAUCCUGAUAUGGAAGAACUUAAACAAGUUGUUUUUUCCAUGAGCCCAACCAGUGUUGCAGGCCUAUAUGGGAUGAAUGGCAAAUGUUUUCAAUCCUGCUGGGAAGUGAUUAAAAAUGACUUGCUAAAGGUGGUUCUUGCAUUUUUUGGAGGAAGUGAGAUGCCCAGAUACAUGACCAAGCAUGCCUUAUUCUUUUACCCAAGGUGGAAUUUCCUAACUCUUUGACUGAAUUUAGACCCAUAAGCCUAAGUAACUUCAUCAACAAAAUCAUCUCUAAACUGAUUGGUACCAGACUUGCAUCCAUACUGCCACACAUCAUCUCAGCUAAUCUGUCUGGUUUUGUCAAAUGGAAAAGCAUUUCAGAGAACAUUAUGCUUGCUCAAGAAAUUGUCCAAGGAAUUACGAAACCAAAUAUUGGAGCUAAUGUGGUCAUUAAGCUAGAUAUGGCAAAAGCUUAUGAUAGGGUGUCCUGGGCAUUUACUUGCCUUAUGCUUAGGAGAAUGGGUUUUAACGAACUCCUCAUUGACAUGAUCUAGAGAAUCAUGUCCAACAACUGGUUUUUUGUGGUUAUUAAUAGUUUCAGGCAUGGCUUCUUCAAGUCUACUAGGGGAUUAAAGCAGGGAGACCCACUGUAUCUAUCUCUCUUCAUUAUUGGGGCAGAACUACUUGCCCAAAUACUCAACAAACUCACUCAUGAUCAAUUUUUAAAUGGGUUCUAUAUGGAGAAUAGGGGUCUUAAUCAUCUGAGCUUUGUUGAUGAUGUGAUCAUCUUCACAUCAGGGAGCAGGGUGUCAUUAUUGAUAAUCAUGAAGAUCUUGGAGGAUUAUGAAAACACCUCAGGGCAGAAAAUAAAAAAGGUCAAGAGUCACUUCAUGACUCCAUCUUGUGUAUUCAUGUACAAUGUCAAUAGAAUUCAACAGAUUACAUGUUUUACCAGAAGGGAAUUUCUAAUCACUUACCUUGGAUGCCCAUUCUACAUUGGCAGGAAGAGAAUCAUACAUUUCAAUGACUUAAUUUCCAAGGUAGUUAGCAGAAUUAGAGGAUGGCAUGGUAGAAUGCUCUCCUAUGGAGGAAAAGCUACCCUGAUCAAACAUGUGUUGCAAUCUCUACCCAUCUAUCUUCUCUCAGCUGUGUCACCUCCUAAAUCUGUUAUGAAGCAAAUUGAGAGAGGCUGCUAACUUUUUCUGGGGUAUGGACAAAUAUAAAAAUAUAUAUCACUGGUCUUCAUGGGAUAAAAUGUCCUAUCCACUUGAGGAAGGAGGUGUUGGCUUUAGAACAACUGCUGAUGUGUGCAAGUCUACGGAAUUCAAACAAUGGUGGUCCUUUAGAACUAAACAAUCCCUAUGGAGUAAGCUUCUUAGGGAUAAGUACUGUAAGAGGUCAUAUACAGUAUCCAAGAAAUGGAAUUCUUGACAAUAUCAAACCUAGAAAAAGAUGAUGAUCAACAAAAAAGAAGUUGAACCUCACAUCCUGUGAAGGCUACAUUCUGGAACAGCCAGUUUCUGGUGGGAUAAUUGGUUAGGCACAGGUCCUUUGAAAAUUUUCACAAAUGAAGGAGGUAGACUUGGAAAUAUUCAUGUAUCUCAUUUUUAGGUUUCAGGGAGCUGGAAUAUUCAGAAGCUCAAUACUUGUGCCCCGUCACAAAAAAUCAGAGAAAUUCUUCAAGUUUCCAUCAACUACCUACCUCAUAAACCUGACAUACCAACAUGGACUCCUACUACUUCUGGGAACUUCAUAUAUGCUUCUUCUUGGGGUAUAAUUAGGAAGAGGAAAGAGGUUCUCUUCACCAACAAGAUGACAUGUCAUAAACAGAUUCCUUUCAAAUGGUCAUUCUGCCUCUGGAGAGCACUCAGAAACAAACUACCUACUGAUGAUAGAGUUAUAUCUUUUGGACAUCCUAUUGUCACUAUAUGUGUGCGUUGCAUCAGAUAAUAUGCAGAGUCAGUAGACCACAUAUUCAGCAGGGGUCAUUUUGCUAAAGCCAUCUGGAAAGUCUUUACUGCUCUAGCUGGUUUUUCCCUACAUGACAUGCCUCUUCAAUCGCUCCUGAUGAAAUGAUGGAUUCAAAAAAGCAAGAAUGAGGUACACAAAUUACUGUUGGAUACCUUCCUAUCAUUAUUUGUUGGAACUUAUGGAACAAUAGGUGUAGUGCGAAAUAUGGAGCAAAGAAAUCCUCAAGGCUCAGAGUUCUUUUCUCCAUUAAAUAUGAUACCAACCUUCUCCUCAAAGCUAAUUACCCUACCAUCACCUGGCCAUUUGAAUGGAGUGAUCUUUAUCCCUUGGUUAAAGACCUGCAAUUUCAUGCCAACAUCCUGCAAGUGAAAUGGUAGAAGCCUGAGAGUAGCUUUGUCAAACUUAAAAGUGAUGGUAGCGCACUCAGUAAUCCAGGAAAGAAUGGAGCUGGGGCCAUUAUCAGGGAUUCUGAGGGCAACUUGAUACAUGCUUUAGCUAAGCCUUUAGGUGAAGGAACCAAUAACCUAGCAGAGACAAUAGCAGUAGUGAUGGGAAUGCAAUAAUGUCUGGAGAAUGGUUUUAAUCAGAUCUGUCUGGAAGAUGAUUCUGCUAUGCUCAUACAAUGGCUCAACAAUUCAGCAGAACCUCCUUGGAACCUUGAAGUUAAUGUGAAAAACCUCAAGGCACUUUGUAGACAAUGUGAGGAGUUCAAACGUUCGCAUGUUUACAAGGAAGCCAACUUCCCUGCGGAUUCUCUAUCCAAACUCAAUCAUAAUUUAACUAUCAUGACUCAUUACCACAACAUGACCGAGUUGCCUAUUCAUAUAAGGGGAUAGAUCUAUAUGGAUAAGAUUAGCACUCCUUCCUUCAGACACAAAAUGAGUAGGAGGAUCAAAAUUCCACCACAACUGGCCUCCAGUUCCUCACAUGGAUAUGGAUGACAGAAAUGAAAUUAGGGGAGCAGACCUAAUAGUCCAAAUUAUUGUGAUCAUAUAUGGGAGCAUAUUUAUGCAAGAAAUGAAAUAUGUUCAAACCCACUGGGAGAAGGAUAUAGUAACAGACCUCCUCACUAACUUUAUCUUCUUUUUUGCAGGUUUCAGCUUACUUAAUUCACUGGCUCUUUCUCAGUGUGCGGUAUUAGCAUCCCUGAUGCUCAAUCUGCUGAGAAAAGGCCAGUGUUUUUAGCCAAGCCUUUCUACAAUAGAGAUAAAAAAUAUUAUAACCACCAUGGUCGCUAAAUGGCAUACACAUCACACCAUACCACUUGAUCAGCAUAAAGUAAUCCUAAACCUUCAAGGUCAUAGGAUGAGUAAAUUCAUGCAUGUACCAAUAAGAAUUGUGGGAAGAUUGUUGAGCUAAAAUAAGUAAGGAUUGGGUUGUGGAGUAAAGGAAAUCUUGUAGAUGAACCUUGUGGUUAAAUUUGCACACCUAGUGUCUAAUAAAAUGCUCAAAUAAGCUGAGACCAUGAAUAUCUUCCUAAUUAUGGUUCAAUUUUGUUAUGCCUCAAAAUAGAUUAGGAUUGCUAAGAAUUCCGGAUAAUUCUAGAGUUAAGGAAGAUCGGUUGAGGUAUGUUGGCUAAACUUUCUCUCUUGAAAUUGAAUUCCAUAAUGUUUUCGUAAGUUUCAAAGUAUGGGUUGCGUAUUAAAAGGUUAUGGCUUUGAGUCGUGUUUCAAUGAAAGAUAGUAUGCCAAAUUUUGUGAGAAAUCUCAAUAUUCUUAAGACUCUUAAUUGUUCAUAUGUGUACCUAAAGUCUUGAUAUGGAAAUGUCUUAUUGUUGAUAAUCUAUAAAGAUAGUUGGAAGUGAAAUAAGUUAAAUGGGGAUAUAGAGUGUGGCCAACGUACCAAGAAUUUAAGUUAUGAUUGUGNNNNNNNNNNNNNNNNNNNNNNNNNUGACUUCGAAGAUAGAAUUACCUAAAAGCUUUUGUACUCAAUUCAUGCCCAUUAGUGGUUGCUUUAACUAAUGCUUUGCUUUAUAAAUAUAUCUAGUGUGAUUCAAGUUAUAUAUACUCAUGUGUUGAACUGGUACAUUGUCAUUGCUAGGGAAGAGCAUUGUAAGAAAAAAUGAUGUAUUGAUUGUUUAUGAUUUUCAUGUGUGUUUCUAUUGUUGGAUGGUAUGCCUCAUUCUUUGGGAAGAAACCAUUUGUGUUUGAAGUUUCCAUUUCAAAUGGAUUUGAAGUAUAUGAUUUCUGAAAUAUCUUAUAUGUUGAUACUUGAUGGUGAUCUUUGAAAUUGAAAGAGGUGAAAGUGUGGAAUAUGAAAUACGGCCAUCGUGCUAGGAAUAAAAAAUCUUGUGAAUGGCCUAAUGAGCCAAGGAAAUAUUGUCAUUGUGAAUGACUGGGAAUACUAAUGAGAAUUUAUACAAUGUGGAAGAUGUUCAGGUGAGUACAAUUGUAUUUAUCAUAUUUUUGUUUGCAAAUCAAAUCAAAAAUAUUUUUGGGAGCAUCAUUAGCAAAAUCGAGGAAGGGUGGGUCAUAAGACCCACACCUGAAACUGCACGUGCCGGUGUAGGGGUGGAUUGUGAUUAUUCCCCUUAUUUGGGAUAAAAUUGGAACCUUUGAAAAAUUGUGAUAUUAUUCCCCUUAAUUGGGAUGAAAAUGGAACCUCUGUGGAUUGGAAAAGUCAACCCCCACGACAUAUGUGGGAAGGUGGCCUAGCUGAUCGGGUGGAGUUCAGACGCCAUGUUGCGCAUAUGGUAGUACUACUCUUGGUAAAAACUUUCUUUCGCAUCACAUGUCAAACCACAUUAUUUGUGGGGAGAUGGCCUAGCCGAUCGAGCGUGAUCAGACUCCGUGCUAACAAAAAUGGUGGUAUAUCGAUGCUAAUGAUCUCCCAACCAAAAUUGUAUAUGAAGUUCGUAUUUUGAAAAUUAUUAUGUUUUAACUGAAUAUUUGGAUAUUGUUAAUUAUGACUUGUUAUUUCUAUGUGUUGUCUUUUCUUAUGUGGGCAUUCUAUUUUGAAAGAGGACUUUUAGCUAUGCAUACUAGUGCUAUUCGACAGUACUAACGUCCCUUUUUCUGGGGGCGCUGCAUCUUUAAUGGAUGCAGGUGGUUCAAUAACAGGCGGCAUUGAUCAGUAUUAGCAGUGCACUCUUUUCAGCUGAUUUGGUGAGCCCCACUUCAUUUCGGGGACAUGUAUCUUUUGUUUCUUACGUAUUGUAUUUUGAGGUAUAGAUGGGGCCUUGUUGCUGGCAUUUCCAUAUCACUCUUCUAUUGUAUUUAGAGGCUCUGUAGACAGGUUGUGGGUUAUGGUUGAAGUUGAAAAUUGAACUAAAAAUGUUGGUAUUUGGAAAUCAUAUUUUUCAUUAAUUCUAUAAACUCGUAAUAUUUUGGAAAUUAUGAAUGAAGCUGUUAAUGAGAAUGAAAAAGGAAGUUGUUAAUAAAAUCUUUUCAGUGAAUGAUUAAUGGAGUACAUCUCCUCUUUAUUAAUGGAUGAGUUUGGGUAGAAGAAAAUCUAAUAGGCUUGCUCGGCCGGGUUCUAUCGGUUGAGUGCCGGUCGCGCUCCCCGAGUUUGGGGCAUGAUAGGUCUGCCCCUUUUUGCUUUGCUACUCUCAUUGGAAGUUGUCCAAUGGAAACCCCUUCAUUCAUCUUAACAUCCCAACUCUUUUUCCUUAUGUGUUCCUUCUUCUUCCUUCCACUAUACAUAGGAGAUAAAUCCCCUUGUAUAGCUGUCUGUGUGCGACAAUGUUCCAGUAUCUCUUUUUCCUCUCAUUCUUCAUACAUAUUUUCUCCAAAAUUUAGUGCAUCAGUUGAGUUUUGUCCAAAACUUUGUGGCACCAAGGCCUCUGAGUCAUUUUUUUUGCCACCACAUCAAUAACAUUGUGUUCCACCUCUGUUUUCUAUUUUGUAGGUACUAUUUCUUAUGAUCUUCUACACCUCUUGACCUACACUCAGUGUGUGGUAUUAGUAUUUUAAUGCUCAUUCUACUGAGGGUUGAUCAAGGGUGCAAAUUAUGCCAUUCUUCAGGCACACAUAGUCUAUCAUACCUAAUGCAAUGCAGUUGGAACUUGCUAGUCAACAUUAUGUGCCCAAGUUUAUUCUUAGAAUAGGGUAGAAACAGAAUGGCAACUCCCAAAUAUCCAACUGCUAAACACAGACACUAUAGCACAGAGAUUAAAAAGCCACAACUCCCAUCUCUAUGGGGCUCAACUCACAUGUGCUCUCACACAGGCUACCAGUCACUACUAAAUCACCAUGCAAUUUUCAGUAGCAUUCCUAUUCUCCCCAGCUACAAUCUACAACCAUCACCAGCUCUCAGAAUCUAAAAGAACCUAAGAGCCUUGCCUUAUUUGCACAACAACGAGUCUCAGGGAAGUAAUGCCCAAAGCCUGCAGCCCCCCUUCAUCACUAACUGUAGUGUCAUAGUAAUUCUUCCCAGAAAGAGGGGCAAUGUUGCUCUUUUAAUGCUAACUUGUUUGUUGUAUUUUGCAGGUACAUUAACUAGGUCGAGAAUUUUGAAGCACUCUCAAUGUGUGAUAUUAGCAUCUCACAUGCUCAGUCGGUUGGGAGUACAUCAAAUUUCUUGGACAUACCCCUCUGAUCAUGCAAUACAAACACACACACCAUAGUCAUACAACACUGAUAGAUGCAGGAAUUAUUACACCUGGCCACUAUUUUCAGCAAUCUCUUUUAGCCUCUUCAGUGCUUUGGUUCACAUGCUAUAUGAACACAUUGUUGAGAAUUGGUCCUGGGCACAUCGGAGUCUCUACAACAUGCAGCCACAACCACCAGUGUUAUGCUCCACCUCUUCUGUCAUGGACACCAUACACACAACUUACUGCUUUUCCACUUUUGGAUAUCUAUAUGCUUCUCUUCAACCUGGCUUUCCUUGCUGGCAAUGCUAAAGCUAUGAUGAAGAUAGGUUCUUGGUGUUAUAGAACUGACCUCCAUUCUUGGAUGUAUAUUUAUUUUUUGUCACUUCAUUUGGCGAUAGUUUGUCCAAGCUUUAGAUAUAGUUUCUCCCGUAAAUCGAAGGAGUUCUUCCAAUCUUUUUGCAUAGUUGACCUUGGUUACUCUUGUUCUUGGGGUCCAUUUGCUUUCCCAAUAUGGAAAGGCAUAUAGUACCAUCUCAUAGGUCUAACUUCACUUAUUGUACAGGAUUUAAUUGGUUGUCAUUUUUGGACAAUCAAUUGGCUAUCCACCAUAGGUUUGGAGGUAAGGUUCAUGUCUCCUCCGAUGGUGUACUUGCUGAUUUCAUAUUUAUAAAAACUAAUCCUAGGCACAAAGCCUAGUGGAUUGUUAAAAAAAAUAUAUCAAUUCAUCACAUCUAAUCAUUUAUCUAGUACUGAAUGAUUUACUCUUUUAGUUUCAGGGGUGACAAAAAGACCCCUAGAAGAUGUCUUUCUUUUCAUCUCUUCACCAUAUGCAUCAUGAUGCUUAGGUGUUCGGAUACUUUCUCGUAAAUGUUUAAUAUGAUACUAUCACAGACUGAAAUCCUUAUAGUAUUUGAUGUUUCAUAAACAGAAAAUGCCUCGAAGAUACAAUGUCUUUACAACAUUUUCAAACUCAUAGUUGACGAAUUAAAAAUACAUUUUAGCCUCUUCAGCAUCAAUUCAAUUUUCCGAAAGACUAGAUUUGGAAAAACAAUCGGAAGCACCUUUAUCUCUAAAUUUUUAUGUGAUAAGAGAUAUUUAAUGAAGUUUCCAAAAAUAUUAAUUCUAUAUAUUCUAUAAGUUUAAAAUUUUGAAUAAUAAAUUAUUAUUAACAUAAAUAUGGAAACAUAUGAUGGAUUUCUUGUAUAAUGUUCACAUAAUUUAUUUUUGUUUUCAUUAUUUAUACUAUUACCAGACAAAUAAAGAAAGGAAUGAACCAGAUGUAUCCAGCAUUGGCACACAUACCCGAGAAAAUACUUGACAUCAUAAUUCGGAAGGUAAUCAAUGACGACAAAAGAAAUUCACUUAUGUACAUUAAUGUAAGUAUUUGAUCAAUAGAAAUUUAAUUAUGCUCUUUUAUUUAUGGAAUGAUAAUUUUGUGAUAUGGCAGUAUGCACAAUGCAUCAAUAUGGAUGUUCUGAAUAUGUAUAGUAUCUUAUCUCAAUAAUUUAUAGGAUAAAUUAUAAAAUUUAAUAAUUUAAUAUCAAUACUGAUGUAUACAAUGUUGGCCUAAAUUUAGCAGUAGAUACAUAACGGACAAAUACUGUAGCAUAUUAGUAUGACUGUAAAAAUUACGAAUUAGUUGUACACCAAAAACUUCUACUAAAAUGAAAAAACGAGCUUGAGUUCCUUGCUAGUUUACUAAUAAAUGAAUGAAGAUUUCACUGAGUAAUACUUAUAGGUAAGAAGUAUUAACAGGUACAUGCAUAACUUACCCGGUCAUUGCUUAACCCUUUAAUGAAAGGUAUUCUAGGGCAAGAUUAUAGCAUAUAUGCUUUCAAUUCUAACUGUUUACCCGUAAAACGGUAUAAUUAAAUUUAUACGUGAUUUUUAGACAAGUGAACUAAUUUGAUCCUGAAAUAAUACAAUAAUUGAAGAAAUACACAAUACUUAUCCUUGGAAUGUAGAUGAAAUAGCAAAGACGGUGAUUCCGUGAACACGGUUUCCGAACACAGCAAUGAUGAGAUCAAAAAGCAAGAAAGUGAAAUUGUAUAAAGCUUUGUAAGAACAUAGUAUAUGUUCUUGUCAGAAAAUCCGUGUCCUCUAUAAUGGUAACUAAGCUCACUAUUUAUAGCUAUGCCUAGGGAAAGAGGUCCUAGGAUCGUGCCCUCCUUUAAUGCCAAUUAUGAGGGUCAUUGAUGAAGAUGUAAACGGUGCCAAAUUCUCUGUAAUGGACCGUCGCUCUUAAUGCUGCAGAAUAUUCCUUAGUAAAUGCCACCGGGCGCAGAGCAUUUGAUACACCUUCAUGAACGUUAUCCUUUCCGGUGACAAGUAGAGUGGCUGUGCUAGGUCCUUAGCCAUCCCAUCUCGGAUUCCAUGUGUCCUCCGUUUAGUCAGCCACGUGUCAUAUCAUAUUUUACCCUAUAUAGAUAGUUUUCCUGCUUUCCGGUGACAUAACUUUGUGUUACCGAGAAGUUGGUAGAAACACCUUGUUUUACGGGAAUUACUAUAAAUCCCUCUGAAGGUCUCUGACAGUUGAUUAGACGCACGUCUCUCCGCAUUUAAUGCCCUGAACACGCGUCAUCCCACGAUUCAGCACAACUUUUGCCGAUUAUCGAGGUAAUCAUGGCCAUGAAUUUAGCCGCCAAAAUUUUACUUAUACACAACUUCCUUUUCCUUUGCGUUUCACAAUUGAUUGAGCUUCUGAUUUGCAUCCUUGUUUUCAAUCCCUUUUCUGAUUUUCUUCAAACACAAAACCUUUUCCAUCUCCUUUUUCAAUGGUUUCUUCCUCUAAACGUGCUGGUUCUUCAAAGAAUAAGAAUAUAACCGAGGAUUUCGUUCCUCCAACAGUGGGUUCCAUCAUCCCAAGAAGGCUUAGUACUUCGAAGGAUUUUGAAAAGAAAUUUCCUACUGCUAACCCUCGUUCAUGGGCUGUUAGUAGGUACCCUUCUUCUAUUCAUCUUUCCAGUAUUCCUGCUGUGAAGGAGGAUUGCCGCUGCAAUGAGUUGGAAAUCAUUGCUCCUGAUCUAUCGGAGCGAGUGACCCUUCCCAAGGAAGGUUUUACAUACUUUUUCAUGUAUCCCUUUACUUUGGGUGCGUUUUCUUUGAGCAGAGAGCUUGAUUCCAUGAUUGCGGAGUUUUGCCUUCGCUACCAGGUGUGUUUAGCAUAAGUAAGUCCUUCAGUGUGGAGGACGGUCACCUGCCUCCGACGUUUGUGCCAAGAAACUGGAGAGGAGCUAACCUUAGCUCAUAUGAUCUUUAUUCUCCCAAAAUCUUCCGCGGGGGAAUGAUAAACCUUUGCAAGCGUAGCCACCAUGCUUUGUUUUCUAGCAUGGAUGAUGACAACGACCGUGGGUGGAUAGAACGGUUCGUUGCAGGUGCCACCAACGACAUCAUUCUGACAACGGCUUCAUUCUUUUUGGUUGCUUGGAACUGCACUCAUAAGUUCUUCGUAUAGUAUUCCUCUUAUUAGACAUUCUUCUAUGGCUGUAUCAUCUCUUCACCCUUUGCAUGUUUCAACAACUCGAUAGAUCCCACCGGUGCUGGAAGGUUUGAACUGGUGGGUUUAGAAGAUCUUGGACGUCACAACGCCCGAAAGUCAUUCGUGGAAAGAACUGUCCCUUAAAUACGGGUGGAAGGUUAAAAAUUAUGAUAACUUUAAUUUACCUUGCUUCCAUUUUUGUUUAUGAAGAACUUAGUUGAACCCUUGUGACUUGUUCACGGAAUUAGGUCUACUUGCGGGCUCUAUUGCUAUCACCGAGGAGGAUGUUCUGGUUGAUCCUACUGAUGCAGCGAGGCUACUUCAGGAAGCACUUACUCGAACAGGUAUCUCCGGGCCUGUUUCGGGAGCAAAUAUUUCUUUACGGAGUCCCCGGCUGGAGGAUAAACAAACAAAGAGAAGACGCUCCUCCGCAGUCGGGGAAAAGAAUAAAAGGGCAAAGAUUGAUACCCAAGAAUCAUCUCCGAUGGCGAUGAUGACUGGUCCUCCUUCUAGGCUGGUCAUAGACACCGUGAUAAUUGAUGAUGAUGAAGAAGUUGUUGAUGAGGGAGCUUAUUUAUACAUAAGGCGAUGAUCCUCAUCAUCUCAACAAGAUGAUCGACCUAUUGAGAUAGUUACACCAACUGAAGACGAUGUAUCGUCACUUUGGGGAGAAUGUGAUUUGGUAGAAUAUGCUAACUCCCAUUUUCGGGUCCCAAUUUCUGCAACCGGUGCUACGGCGCUGAGUACCAGGUCCUUUCUGUCUUUGGUUGGCGAGCAUCAAACAACCAGCAUUGCAUUUGAUGCAGUUGCUUCUCACUCUUCAACUCUAUCAGCUUCAUAUUUACCUUCACCAACACCAGCAACUGCUACAUCAUUUCCAUCUUCGUCUACUCUUCCACCAGCGGUUGCUACAUCAUCUCCAUCGGCCGCACCUGACCAUGAAGAAGGUGUUCCUCUUCCACAGUCCCUAGUUCAUGGGAAUUUGGGGUAAAAUUAUGCUGCUCCUUCUGAAGAUCCACAAAGGAGGAGGAACAUCAAUCUUUCGGUCUCUACCACGCCCGGUGGAACUUGCUAAUUACCUGAAGCCUUUGGAUUCAAAAAAAGACUGGGAAAAGAUUCAGACACUCUCGGGAGAGUGUUUGUUGAACAAUGCUAUGCAUAACGCCGCACCGGUACGUUCCUUCCUUCCUCUGUUAUUUCUUCUACUUUGAAUGAAUGUAUUGUAAAUUUUAACUCUUCUUAUUUUAUAGGCCAACUUUCUUGCUUCUGAGGGCCUUCAAAGGUUGAUUCGUGAGAAGGAAGAACUUACUUAUAAAUGGGAUUAGCUUUUGGCAGAACGGGACCACACUGUUCUCCGCCUCUCGAAACUGGAAACCAGAGUUGCUGAGGUUGUUAUUUUGGAGGCUCGUUUGCAGCAAAGUGAGAAAGAAGUGAUAACCCUUAGCCAAGAAAUUGGGCCGCUGAGGGUUAGAUUUGAUGAGGCCAAGGCCAAAUGGGCAGAAGACCAGAACGUCGUUCUUGCUGCAACAGAUCGCGAUGCUGCCUCCGCUGAAAGAGUGAUUAAUUUGGAAGCAGCCUUGAACUCCAAAAGUGAAGAGCUUUCUGCCGUAGAGGCGAAACAUGCCCAGCUAGAAGAGAAGUACCGGAAAACUAUCGAGCAUAAUAGGCUCUUUAGUUCAACUGUACGCGAGCUCGACGGCAGCCCCCAAUCUGCUAGAUCUACCCGGGAAAACCUUUCCACCGAGGUCACUCAACUUAAGAACUUAAGCACCGCGCGGCUUUCCUCAUUGUUGAAAAAAUGUAUUCCAUGUAUAGCAUGAGGAGAAAACCUUGGAAAAGGCCAAAGCUGGUAUUAUUGAUGUUGAUGCCGAAAUUUCUAAGGCCCGAGAGCUUGAGUUGGCUGCAAAAAAUGGACUCCCAGCGCAGUCUGAUGCUCCAGGUUCUUCCGAUUCCGGUUCCGAGUUUUUGAAAACUGAAGAAGGAUCGAAAAGCGAUGAGGCCGAAGACCAAACUGGGGAAAGCAUUGAGCCAUCGGCGGAACCACCUACUCUUCCCGACAAUGCGGAUACUUCUCUUCCUCCUGAUUCUGGAGGCGCUGCAGUUUAGCUUUUUCUUUAUUUUCCCAUUUUAUACUUAUAACGUUUUGGCCCGUUCUUGUAAAUAAAGACAUUUCUUUUGUUCAAGUGUCGUUUGAGUCUUACUUUUGUUUAAAUAUCCAUGCAAGCUUUUAACUUUUGCAUUUGCUCAAGUAUUCUGCGCAAGUUGUUCAAUUCGCGCUUCACUAUGUGUAGUCUCGGAUGCUUUUCUUCGAAAAAUUUUGGUUCCAAGUAUUAUACCUUUUACGCGAGGGUUUUUAUGAAUAUUUGCGCAAGUUUUCCUUUUACGUGAGGGUUUCUAUGAAUAUUUGUGCAAGUUUCCCAUUUACAUGAAGGUUUCUAUGAAUAUUUGCGCAAGUUUGCUUUUUGCGUCCUUUUCAUAUGCGACUUCGGGUGUAUUUUUCCCCGAUGGAAUUUUGGAUUCCGGGCAUUGAUUCUUCCGGAACCAAGACUUUAACAUGAGGGUUUUGAUAAGAGAGGGCCCUCUUAUGUUUACGGUGCUCUUGAAGAGGACGUCUCCUGUUCAUUAUGGCACUAACAUUUGAAGUACUUGUUUAACUUUCAAAUGACAAAGUUAGCUCAUCGUUCAGACAAGAAACAGGAUAAAAGCAAAAGGAUUUUAUUUUAUUUCUUCUAUUUUCAGAAAUUACAUAAGCAUUUUGCUAUGUAGAAAAGAAAUUGCCAUUACUUGUGGCCAUCUUGUACAACUUGUUUCUACGGGGCUGGUUGCGCAGUCCCCAGUCCCGAUGAUGCAUUUUGUUUCCAGAUUUUCAUUUCUAGUUGACGUGGCAGCCAUUGUUAUCGCAUCCUCAUAUCAUCCCCCUCUCAGUGUUCGAAUGCGAAGAAUGCGAAUUGGAACACUGGAAGUCUUGUAUCUUCGAGUGUCCCACCAAUGAAUUGCUAGGUAAUCCUUCACUUGGCAACAUAUUUUGUUUCCCUUAGGAAUCCAUGCUAUCGAGCGAAAGAAUACCUAACAGUCCUCUGGCGGUUUAUGCCCGUGAACGUUCGGGUAACCUCUAUUCGGUAGCAAACUUAACUUUCCAGUGGGAAUUUACUAUCGAAUCAAAGAUUACCUAAUUGUCCCCGAGUGGGAGCUUGUUCGUUUGCCUUGCUAUCAAAGGUCUUAUUGUUGUUGUCUUUGUAGUAUACUUUAUGUCACUGCCUCGUUAAAAACCUUGCCAGAAAAACCCAAUUGGGACAAAAACGGAACGAAGGGAAAAAUAGUGCAGCACAUACUUUCUGUUUAAGCGUCGUUCAUCAGCAAUAAUAUCUUUUGAGGCGUGCCAUGUUCCAGUUGCUGGGCAAUUUGUCUCCAUUCUGGUUCUCCAACUCGUAUGAACCUUUCCCAGUGAUAGCUGAAAUCCUAGCUUUCCCGCGUUGAGCUCCCGUAUAUUUUGUGUUACUUUCCUUAGAACCAAGUCUCCUACUUUGAAAAAAUGGAAGUUGGCUCUUUGAUUGUAAUAUCGCUCCAUCCUCUUCUUUUGAGCUGCCAUUCUCACAUGCGCCAAGUCCCUACGUCCCUCAAGCAGUUCCUAGCUGAUUAGCAUUGCUUCGUUGUUCGAUUCUUCAUUUGUCCGAGAAUAUCUGCAGUGGGUUCACCCACUUCAACCGGGAUUAGGGCUUCAGCACUGUACACGAGGGAAAAAGAAGUUUUUACUGUACUUGAUUUGGUCGUUGUUCAGUAGGCCCAUAAAACUCUGGGCAACUCUUCGGGUCGUUUUCCUUUUGCUUCUUCUAACCUUUUCUUGAGGUUUUGAAUGAUCACUUUGUUUGUCGACUCCUCUUGACCGUUUGCGCUCGGAUGAUAAGGCGAAUAUGUGAUUCUCUUUAUUUUCAAGUCUUCGGGGAACUUUGUAACUUUUGCACCGAUAAACUGUGGCCCAUUGUCGCAUGUUAUCUCUUUUGGUAUUCCGAACCUGCAAAUUAUAUUUUCCCACAGGAAAUCGACCACUUCGCAUUCUCCGAUCUUCUAAUAAGAACCUGCUUCCACCCAUUUAGAAAAAUAAUCAGUCAAAAUUAAAAGAAACAUUACCUUUCCGGGAGCCGGUGGCAGCGGUCCGACGAUGUCCAUGCCCCAUUUCAUGAACGGUCAUGAGGACAAAACCGAAUGUAAGGGUUAUGCCGGUUGAAGUACUAGUGAUGCAUAGUGUUGGCACUUAUCAUAUUUUCGUACGAAAACUUUGGCGUCCUGUUCCAUGCGAGGCCAAAAAUAUCCUGCCCGUAUCAAUUUCAGCACCAAAGACUCUACACUUGAGGGAUUGCCGCAUAUCCCUUCGUGGAUUUCUCUCAUGAUAUAGUCAGCUUCUGAAGCUCCUAAAUAUCGGUCCAACAGACCUUGGAAAGAUUUUCUAUACAAUUGGAGUUUCCUGAAGCUAUAACGUACAGCUUUGGUGCGUAAUGCCCGUGAUGCUUUGGGAUCGUCAGGAAACUUUCCGUGCUCGAGGUAGUUGAUUAUUUUAUUUCUCCAGUCCCAGACCAGACUAGCCGAAUUCACCUCAUAGUAACCACCCGUAUCAAGGACUGAGCUCAUCAGUUGUACCACCAUUCUAGACUCUGGUCCCUUUAUUUCCGUUGAUGAACCUAAGUUCGCUAAUGCAUCCGCUUUUGCAUUAUCCUCUUUCGAGAUAUGAGUGAUUGACCGCUCACGGAAUCGUGCCAAAAGAGCCUGGACCUUUACCACGUAUUGUUGCAUACGUUCUUCUUUGGUAUCAAAGAUCCUGUAUACCUGAUUUACCACUAGCUGUGAGUCACAUUUGAUUUCGAUAACCUCGGAAUCAUGUCCCCGGGCCAAUUCGAGCCCUGCAAUCAAAGCUUCAUACUCUGCUUCAUUAUUAGUUAAAGGGAUCGUGUUGAUGGCUUGCCUUAAGGUUUCCCCCGAAGGCGUGAUUAAAAUUAUUCUGAGUCCGAACCCUUUUACGUUCGAGGCUCCAUCCGUAAAUAAGGUCCAAAUCCCUGAUGUCGAUUCCGACACCAUUACUGUCUCGUUGGUUGCCAGAGGCAGCAGUCCCGGACUAAAAUCGGCCACAAAGUCAGCCAAGACUUGUGACUUAAUUGUAAUCCUCGGUUUAUAUUCUAUGUCGAAUUCACUCAUUUAGACGGCCCAUUUGGCCAAUCUGCCCGAGAAACUCGGGUUUAUGAAGGAUGUUCCGCAAAGGGAAAGUAGUCACCACAGCUAUUGGGUGGCAUUGAAAAUAGAGCCUCAGCUUUCGAGCGGUGACUACGAGAGAUAAGGCCAGUUUUUCCAAAUGUGGGUAGCGAGUUUCUGCUCCCGUUAAAAAUUUUCUAACAUAAUAAAUAGGAAAUUGCGUACCUUCGUCCUCCUGGACUAAAAUCGCACUUACCGCAACUUCUAAAACCACGAGGUAGACUAGAAAUGUUUCGCCUUCUUUUAGUUUCGAGAGCAAUUGAGGGCUUGAUAAGUAUUUCUUCAGGUCCUUCAAAGCCUGCUGGCACUUCGGCGUCCAUUCGAAAUUAUUCUUCUUUUUGAGCAAUGUAAAAAAGUGAUGACACUUUUCUGAGACCAAGAAAUAAACCUACUCAAAGUUGCUAACCUUCUUUUGAGUCUUUGGACUUACUUCACAUUUGAUAAUUGAUCCAGAAUAUCGUCUAUGGCCUUGAUUUUGUCGGGGUUUACCUCAAUUCCCCUUUGUGAGACUAGAAACCCUAGGAACUUACCGGAGCUGACCCCGUACGCGCACUUUUUGGGGUUGAGUUUCAUGUUAUGCUUCCUCAGGAUAUCGAAUGUUUCUUGCAGAUGCUUAAGGUGGUCACCUAUAUUCAAAGACUUAACGAGCAUAUCGUCUAUAUAAACUUCCAUAGUUAUUCCUAUUUGCUUUUCAAACAUCUUAUUUAUGAGCCAUUGAUAAGUGGCUCCGGUAUUUUCAACCCGAAGGGCAUUACAUUGUAACAAUAUGUACUAAAAUUUGUUCUAAACGAAGUCUUUUCUUGAUCUUCCGGGUUCAUCUUAAUUUGGUUAUACCCGGAAUAAGCAUCAAGGAAACUCAUCAACUCGUGCCCAGUCGUGGCAUCAAUCAUUUGAUCGAUAUUUGGAAGUGGAAACGAAUCUUUCGGGCACACCUUAUUAAAAAUCUUUUAUAGUCNNNNNNNNNNNNNNNNNNNNNNNNNUUUGACAGAUUUAUUCCUGGCCUCGGCAAUAGGGCGCUUCUUCUGUAGUACCGGUGGUACUUUGGGAUCCAAACUCAGCUUGUACAAGGCUAUUUCCGUCGGGAUACCUGUUAUAUCCUCGUGCGACCAUGCAAAACAAUCAGCGCUAAUUUUAAGGAAUUCAAUAAAAGCAGACCUGAGCUCGGGGUGCAAUCCUAUCCCCAAUUGAAAUUUUCUUUCUAAGAAUUCUUCGAACAAUGCCACUUGCUUUAGUUCCUCUGCCAUGGAUUUCGUUGCAUCUGCCUCUUCCGGAACUUAGAAAUAUCUAGGCACCUGAUACUGUUCUGACGAUUCUGCCUCUGGAAUAACCUCUUCUAACUCGGGAGUAGGCACCAGUUCCUGUAAUUGCUAUGCCGUGCGCUCCUUCCCUUUGCUACUAGAAACUGAGAUUGCAUUCAUCUCCCUUGCUGCCGGUUGGUCACCUCUUAUUUGCUUGAUUCCUUCGGGCGAUGGAAACUUCAGCAAUUGGUUAUAUGUCGAAGGUACAACUUUCAUCUCGUGUAGCCACGACCUUCCUAAAAUGAUGUUGUAUCCAUAUCACCAUCUACUACUUCAAAGAGAGUUAUUUUCAUUACUCCUUCAGCGUUCGUGAGCAGCAAGACCUCUCCCCGGGUCGUCACGCUCGCAAGGUUGAAUCCAGCGAGGAGUUUUGUUGCCAGAAUAAUGCUUCCGGUGAGUUUAGCUUGUUCCAAUACUCUCCAUUGUAUGAUAUUAGCCGAACUACCUGGAUCUACUAGAACACGCUUAAUUUCGAAAUCUAACACAUUUAAAGAGAGUACCAGUGCGUCAUUGUGUGGUAACAGCAAUCCGUCUGCGUCUUCCUCCGUGAAAGUGAUAUCGUCCUCCCGGAGUCUUUUGCUCUGAGUUAUUGAUACUUUUAUCUUUUUUGCCACCGAAAAGGUGACCCCGUUAAUCUCAUUCCCCCCAAAGAUCAUGUUGAUCGUCUGGCGUGGGGUUUCUUCUCCUGCUUUCGAAGAUUCCGCGUUGUCUUUGUUGCGAUCGUAAUUGUUCUUAGUCGAUCACUCAAGAAUUCUCGGAGAUGACCAUUAUUCAAUAGCGUUGCCACCUCCUCCCGAAGAUGUCGGCAAUCCCCUGUCCGGUGACUGUUUAUCCUGUGGUAUUCGCACCAUAAAUUGGGAUCCCUUUGGCUGGAAUCGGACCUCAUAGGUCUUGGGAACCAUGCUCUUUAAUGUUCCUCCUAGCUGAUACCAGUUCCACUAUGCUAAUAUUGAAGUUAUAUUCUGAUAACCUGGGGUAAGAAAAAUCUCGAGACCCCGACGUUUCUUCAUCUUGAAGUGAUCUAUUGUUUUGACCAUGAUGAGUCCCUCUGUCAACGGUGGACUUGUUUGCUGCUCGAAAAUUUCUAUUCACGGCUUUUGGUAUGCUUGUAGGGCAAAAACCAACCCUUCGAAGUCCACUUAUACGCGUCGUAGUCAUCCUUUGAUUUUUCUCUGUUCUUCUCCCGUCCUUUGGCCGAUGAUGUAGAACCGACCUGGUCAUCUUCGAUCCUUAUCUUUGACUCGUACUGGUUGUGAACAUCUGCCCAGGUUGUUGCUUGAAACUCAAGCAGGCUCUCCUUCAGCUUCCAGGAAGCAUUUGAACUUCUCGAAUUCAAUCCUUUGGUGAAUGCUUCAGCUUCCCAUUCAUCCGGGACGGCCGGGAGCAACAUUCUUUCUUUCUGAAAUCGGGUAACAAAUUCUCAUAAUAAUUCAGAUUCUCCUUGUGCGAUUCUGAAUAUGUCGGCCUUCCAGGCUUGUACCUUUCUGACCUCGGCGUGAGCUUUAAUGAAAGAAUCCGCGAGUAUCUCAAAGGAAUCUAUGGAAUGCUCGGGCAGUAAUGAAUACUACGUUAGGGCUCCCCUCGUGAGAGUUUCGCCAAAUUUCUUUAGCAACACAUAUUCAAUUUCGUGAAGAGCUAGAUCAUUUACUUUCACCGCCGUUGUGUAGGUGGUAAUAUGUUCCUGUGGGUCUGAAGUUCCAUCAUACUUUGGAACUUCAGGCAUUUUGAAAUACUUCAGAAUUAGUUCUGGUGCCACACUUGGCUUUUACGGUAAUUGAACAUAUUUCUUCGAGUUCGGGCCUUUCAAUACUGGUGGUGCGCCCGGAAUUUAGUCCAUGCGGGAGUUUACUUCCCCCAUGAACCGUAAAAGCUCAUCUUUGAAUGAGUUGUUUUCGUUGUUAAAACCUUAUAUGCUCCCCCCAGCCCCAUCGGAGCCAACUUCACCUCUGGGAGUGUUGUUGUCGACUCUCUGCAUUGUUUGGUCUGUGGGAACAACGGGAGGAAGUGGAUCACGCCUGUUUGCAUUAUUCGAAGCACCUGAUAGCGCCUACUUUAGUUCCGUCAUAACAUGAUCCCGUCGCAUGAGAUGGCCUAGAAUGAUUGCUUGUUGCUCUUGCAGGAUCAUCACAGCAUCCGUUACUUGCUCCUCGUCAGCAUUAUCGGGAGUUAUCUCCCGAACCCGUCAAGGGUACUGCCUGUCAUACACUAGUGUGGCGUCAUUUCCCUCAUUGCGGGUGUCACUAAUUGAAUCCACGAAAAGAGGUUGAUCCCCUUGAAUUUCAGGGUUGUGUACUUCGUUAACUGUGUUAUCUGCCAUUUUUUGCAAUUUUUUCUAAGAUAAAAUAAUCAAAACACGUUAGUAAAAAAGGCAAGGAUCAAUUUAAUUGCACGACUGUCUAGGCCCCACAGUGUGCGCUAAAUUGUUUAUCCGUAAAAUAGUACAGUUGAAUUUAUAUGUGGUUUUUAGAUAAGUGAACUAAUUUAAUCCUGAAAUAAUACAAUAAUCGAAGAAAUACACAAUACUUAGCCUUAGAAUGUAAAUGAAAUAGCGAAGACGGUGAUUCCGUGAACACGGUUUCCGAACACAGCAAUGAUGAGAUCAAAAAGCAAGAAAGUGAAAUUGUAUAAAGCUUUGUAAGAACAUAGUAUAUGUUCUUGUCAGAAAAUUCGUGUCCUCUACAAUGGUAACUAAGCUCACUAUUUAUAGCUAUGCCUAGGGAAAGAGGUCCUAGGAUCGUGCCCUCCUUUAAUGCCAAUUAUGAGGGUCAUUGAUGAAGAUGUAAACGGUGCCAAAUUCUCUGUAAUGGACCGUCGCUCUUAAUGCUGCAGAAUAUUCCNNNNNNNNNNNNNNNNNNNNNNNNNAAGAUCAGUUAUUUUAUAUUUAUGAUAAAAUUAAUGAAACACAACUUCUUUUUUAUCUUUAACUAUAGAAUGGUACGACGAAGGGUACUUUUGGUAAUACAAAUAUUUUAUGGGCUUUUUAGUAUUUUGGUUCAACUUUAUUUCAGACACAUGUUUUAUUCGUCAAGUACAACUGAAUUUCACUCCAUUGUUUUGGCCUAUACUCUUUUGUUGUCUCAAGGCCUGUCACCUCUCGUCUUUUCCUUCAAUUGACUAUAGACUCUGUAAUACUGUCAUCUUUUUUAUCUACCGUUGUCAUCUAUGUAUUACAUCUUACUCAUAAUGCUUCACUAACUCUCUUCUUAUUUUUCUGCUAAUAUUUUUGUCUAUCACAUUAUUCUGAGAGCUUCAACAAGACAUUCUUUUGCUUUUAGCUCCCCUUUCUCCAUCCACUGGCUCUUCGGGUUGCCUAAAAUUCUCUCUCCACUAGGGACGGGAGCCACACUAAGAUAAUAUUUAUCCCUUCAAGGCUUCCAGUGCCUAUCUUUGUAGUACUCAUAUUUAGCCAUACUAUUUUAGAGUGCACCAUCUGGGUAUCUCACAAGGAGAUCUAUUAGCACAUUUGCAAUAUCCUUCGGACAUGUCAACCAACGCAAACAAGCCAUCCACUAUAUUGGGUCACUCUAACCCCAGUCGGAUCCUAAUAUCCGUCCAUCUCUUAUACUACUUAUGUUUGCUUUCAUAGGGCAUAAAUAAGAUGGGUGUGGCCAAUUGUAUAUACCUCUGUUAUUGUUGAAGGUAACUCAAAAGGCUUAUAUUCCUCUGCCUGAAUUGUAAAUACUGAUAAUCUUCAUUAGCUGGGUACCUCGUACCCUUUUUCACCUUGCUUCUUUUACUUGUUGAAACUUAUAUCAACCUCCUGAAUCUCUCAUUGCUUUUCAUCAUAUAGGUAGAUAUUCAUACCUUAAGGCUCCUUAUCAAGAAUCUUACACACAUGUUCUGCCGAAAACUUCACGUUUACUCAUCAUAAGCAUGAUGCAAAAUCGAGUUCCUCUGACUCAACUCUUCCACAGCUAUAUCUCUUACCAACCAUCUUUCUGGACGGAGGAUGCAUCAUAUUAUCAAUAAGAUAGAGUUUAGGAAAUUGAGUUCUUAAAACUAAGCUCUACCACACGAUCUAGAGUAAAAAGAAAGAGUGACAGUCCUAAAUGCCAUGUAGCCUCCUGCUUAUAAGUGUGGUGCACAACACACCCAUAAACAAGACUCUACUAGACACGGCUUGUAGACUCCUUAGGACAUAACUGUUUUGAUACCACUUUUGUAACGACCCAAACCGAUGGGCCGCGAUGGGCACCCGGUACCUUACUCAACCGAGUACCAACAUAACGUAUAUUUUCGUAUCAUACUAUCAUAGAUAACUGAGCCAGAUAGGCUGCCUUGAGAUAAUUAGAAUACAACAUGAAAUACCAACUUAUACAUAAUACAUACAGGCCUAUAAGACCAAAUUUUCACUGAACAUAGGCCGACAAGGCCGUACAAUCUUUCACAUAUACGACAUAUGUCUACAAGCCUCUAAGAAUACAUAAAUAUCAUAAUGGUCAGGAUAGAGUCUCGCCAUACCAAUCAACACAUGUCCUAAUCAUACUGACCAAUAGCAACUCCGGAGCAAAUGGAGAGCACCAACAUCUUUCGCUGAGCUGAUCGCCUACUUGGAGGACUCUCGACCUGUCUAUCGAGACCUGCGGGCAUGAAACGUAGCGUCCCCAGGCAAAAGGGAUGUCAAUACAAAUAAUGUACCGAGUACGUAAGGAAUGAAAAUCAGUAAAUAAUAGACAUGAGAGAAAUAUGGAGUAAAAGACUCGACAUGUACGUCUGCAUAGCUCUGUAAAUCAUUUUACUUUUAUAAUUUCAUGCAUAUGCAUAUAAAUGUCAUACCAUGCAUAGUUAUAUUAAUAAUAUCAUCAAGCCUCUGAGGGCAUCCCAUCAUAUCAUUUCGGCCACUGUGGGCAAAUCAUCAACGUAUACCAGCUGAUCAGGUGGUGGUGCGUAUAUAACGCCAUAACCUUUUCUCAUAUCCCAUAUACAUAUAAUAUACAUAUAUAAGCGUAUAUAACGCCAUCUGGUCAUGGGUCAAUGUACAUGUAUAAAUGAAUGCAAUGCAUGAGGAGUACGUCAAUAAAAUUUCUCGAAAUGUUAUAAGACCAUUAUACCUUUGAAUAAUGUCAUAAAAUAAACUUAUCAACUUACGUAUUUUCUCAGACCCAUGAACAGAUGAUAGAAUAAUAAGACACAUGGGGAAUCAAGAAUAUAGACACCCCUAGUAUUUCUAUGAAUAGAAUCAUUUAUGAAAGUUGCGUAUUUUGCUCGUUUCAUUUGCAUCAUUUGGAUCAUGCCAAAAGAAAGAAGGGAUAGCCUUAACAUACCUGAGCCGAUACUCUAGACAAUCCUUCUAACACACGCCAAUCGCGACGAAAUACGUAACAACGAGAUCGAAAUAGAAAACAAUUCGUAUGAAACACCCGAAGCAAUAACGUUGCUAUGCAAAGAUAAUCUUGGCUGAAGCUUUUCCUUAAGAACUUAGCAAUAACGUUGAUUUUUUUGGAAAAUGAUCUUUGUUGAAACUCUUUCCUUAAGAGAUAAGAAAUAACAUUAGAAAUAACGUUACUUUUGCUGAAAUAACAUUAGAAAGAACGUUCCUUAAGAGAUAACAUUAGAAAGAAUGUAAGGAAUCUUGGCUGAAACCCUUAGAAAGAACGCUACUAUUUUCCUUUCUUAAGAGAUUUAGAAGAUAAUUUUGAAUUAGGAAUGUUAUCCUUAACUAUUAGGUGGGCCCCACAUUUCUAGCUUAGUGUCACCUAAUUUCUUCAAGUGUGACACCUUUACAUCUCUUUCAAGAGUCAUAAAAUGAAAAGGGGGGUGCUGCCACGUUGGGGAGGGGUAAGUCUUAUCCCAAGAUUAUUAAUUAAUUACCAUCAUGCAACAACUUAGCUCAAAUCCCUGUCACACACAUGGAUACUAACAACAAAUGAGAUUACAUAUAAAAAGUGCAGAGAGCUAGAGAUACAACACGCGGAUAUAAUAUUAUGACUGGAAAAUAUGACUACGGCUAAGGCAAAUAGCUCAACAUAGCAAAAAUAUCCCUAUCAUGCCUCAGUAGAUAAGCAUAUAGCCUAGACAUGAUUUCUAGCAUGAAUAAAUACUCACGUAGUCAUACAAAUGGAGAACACACGGUAUUAAAUAAGCAUGAUAUUAAAACAAAGCAGAUAUGCCUAAGAUCUACACGGAUCAUGAAUAACCAUGGUGCACGCAUAUAUGCUCAUCACCUCAUAUAUACGUCACUGCCAACUCAUAAGAAAUAUCAUAGCCGACAAUGAAAUACCCUCAACCCAAGCCUAAGCAAGAUACUUACCUCAUCCGGGCUAGUCUUCAACCUCGAAUCGCGUCAAAAACCUCACUCUAGGCCUCCAACCGCGUAAAUCAAAGCAAAACAUCAUCCAAGAAAGUUAACAAUUCCAUAGCAAGCGAUCCCAAUCAAUAAAGCUUUGGUCUUUGAUGAUUUCCAAAAAGUCAAUGAAAGUCAACUCGGGCUUGCGUGCCUGAAAUCCAAAACCAAUACCAAAAUCCGAUGACCCAUAACUUGCCGAGUCCAAAUAUAUAAUUAGCUUCAAAAUUCGGGUCUAAAUCGAUGGUUAAAACCCAAAAAUACACUCGCUUAAAGUUUAGACAAAAAUCCCAAAUAUCCUUUCAAAAUUCAAUAUUUUAGGUGUAGUAAUCCAUAUAGAUUCUUGAAAUAUAAUCAUAAAUAGGUAGAAAUCACCUACCCUAUUGUCUUUUAUAAAACUCCCCAUGAAAAAUUUCUCCACUCCAAGUCUAGGGCUCAAAAUAUGAAAUAAUGGGUAAAAUCUCAAAGUUCCAACUCUUAACCUAGCAGCAGAUUUCGCAUUUGCGACCAAAACUUCGCAUUUGCGAUCACAAGUUCGCAAUUGCGACCACAUGUUCGCAAUUAUGACAAAGGUUUGCAAUUGUGACUAGAAGUUCGCAAAUGCAGAGUUUGCAAUUGCGGCAAACAGUUUGCAAAUGCAAAGUGGUAGCACCAGCAAUCCCAAACUCAAUCGAAAUGGUCUGAAACCACCCCGAAACAUAUUUGGAACCUCUCAGACACAAACCAUAUAUGCAUUUCAAUCAUAAAGAAAGCUACAAACCUGAUCGCUUGCUCAAAACACCAAAAAGAGGUUGUCAUGAGCUGAUGUUGGCCGUGGUCAAACUCCAAAUCCUUAACUUAACUAAUCUCUCAACAAAUGACCCAAAAUAUACUCGUCCCUUGGGACCCUGUCCAAUCAUACCGAUAAGUAAAGAUACCUUAUUAUAACUUGUCCAAUGUCUCAAAACAUGAAUAACAACAUCAAAACCAAGAAUCAAAGACCAUAUACAUCUCUUAAAUUUCAAACAUUUAAACUUCGUUGAAUGCGUCCUAAUCAUACUUAGACAUUCCAGAUGACAACCAAACUUUGCACACAAGUUACAAUCAACCAAUUGAACCCAUCAAAUGUCCUAAAACAUAGACCGAACCCCGAUAACAUCAAAAUUAACUUUCUGUCAAACUUAUAAACUCUCUAAUUCUUCAAAUUGCUGCCUUUCAAAAAAUAGAGCCAAAACCUUCUAGGAACAUCCAAAUUAAAAUAUGAACAUACACCCAAGUCCAAAUCACCAUAUGAACCUAUUAAAACUAUCAAAUAUUGAUUCUGAGGUCGUUUACUCAAAAGUCGAAUCUUGGUUAACGUUUCCGACUUAAAGUUUCUAAAUUGAGAAUCACUCUUCCAAAUAAUUCUAGGACCUCUCAAACAACAAAAACAAUCAUAUAAGUAAGUCAUAAUCCAUCAUAUGAAGCUACUCAAUAUAAUGACUCAACAUGUCAUUUUAUGUAUUUGAGACCCAUUUGCCUAUUUGAUUCUUCCUUUAUGCAUGUUUGUUGUUUUGAGUCUUGCGGGGAUAGUUGGUUUGGUUUUGAGAAGGCUUUGGAAUGAACUGGAACACUUAGUUCUAUCGUUGGAAGCUUAAGUUAUAAGAUUUGACCAAGUUUUGAAUUUUGUGUAAACGACUCUGAAUCGGUGUUAUAAUGGAUGUUCGUAUGGUGAUUUUGGACUUAGGCAUAUGUAUGGAUUUAGAUUUGAAGGUUUCUAGGUUGUUUUGGCUCUAACUGUCAAAAGUUAAAAAUUUGAAGGUUUGGAAAGUUCUUAUUUUUUACCAUGGAUUGACUUUAAAUCUAUCGGGUUCGGAUUGUUGUUUCAGGACUUGGGAUAGGUAUUCAUUUGGGACUUGUGUGCAUUGCUUGGGUUCAUUCCGGACUGGUUAGGCUAAAAUUGGAUGUUUGGUUGUGAAUGUUGAAGUUCUUGAACUUGAAGGAAUACAUUAUGUAUUUUUGUAUUUGAAUUUUUAAUUAUGGAUAUUAUUUAGAUGUUUUGAGCUUAUGAGCAAGUUCAUAUAUAGUUUAUAUACCUGUUGGUGUGAUUGGACGAGGUCCCGGAUGGCUCGAGUGAGUUUCAACCGCCCGGAGCAUUUUGAAAGUUGAAGAUUUUUGCUGGUGUCAGGUCCUUCUUCACGAUUAUGGAGGUUGGAUCCCGAUCGCUGAGUGCAUUUGAGGUGGGCAGGAAUUUUUUUCUUUGCAUUCGCAACACAGGGUUCGCGUUCAUGAUAGGUGAGGCAGCUUAGCUUUUGCGUUCAUGACCGGGGCAUCGCCUUUGUGCUGCAGUGAGGUAGGUCGGGGAUGGUUAGGUGCUUGGCCUUCGCAUUCUUGGGAAGGGGACCACAUUCGAGUAGGCCAGUGGAGUUUGUGUAUCACAAUCUUGGGCUGGGGGGCGCAUUUGCAAAGGGUUAAGUGGAGGUUAUGGAUUUUGUGCUUCGCGAAUGCGAGGUUGUUACCGCGUUCGCGAAGGAUAUCACGGGGUAUACUUAUAAGUGAUGUAAUUUUGGGACAAAGACCCAUUAUUUCAUAUUUCGAACCCAAGACUUGGAUAGGGGCAACGUUUGAAGAGGAUUUUUAUGCAAGUCAAGAGGGUAAGUGAUUAUACUUGAUUUUGAUGUUUAUCUUAUUUCACCCUGGAUUAUUACACAUAGAUUAUGGGAUUUGAAAGAGAAAUUGGGGGAUUUUAACUUUGAUUUUGGAUAGUGAAAAAUGUAGUUUGAACCCCAAUUCAGAGAUUUGGAUGAAACUUAAAUAUUUUGACUCGUAUUCGAAUGUGUAGUUAUGAUUUGUGACUUUUGUCGGAUUUUGAGAAGCGGGCCCAGGUAAAGGUUUUUGUUGACUUUGUACUAUUUUAUAAAGAUUGAAGCUUUAUUGUUUGGAAUUGAUUCCAAUAGCCUUGUUUGACGUUAUUGAGUUGUUUUCUUGCUAGAUUUGACCAGCUCAAAGGCCGAUUUGAGAGGCAAUAGCUUUUUUGAAUAUUGAUUCCCGCGCUUUGAGGUAAGUAUCUUGCCUAGGCUUGUCUUGAGGGUAUUUUCCCCAUAGACUAUGAUGCUUGCUAUAUGUUAGGGGUGACGCAGGUACGUGGUGACGAGCGUAUAUACGCACACCAUAGUUAUUCAUGAUCCGAGUAGACUUUAGGCUAUUAUGUACCUUGUUUUUCUAUCAGGCCUCCUUGUGACCGUGUUUUCUCUACCUGUAUGACUACUUGAGGUAUUAUUCAUGUUAAAAAGCAUGCCUAUGCUAUGUGCUUAUCCGUUUGAGACAUGAUAGGGCUAUUUUUCUACGUUGAGUUGUUUGCCUUUAUUGUAGUCUUAUUUUUCAGUCAUGAUAUUAUAGUUGUAUGUUAUAUUACCCUUUUUCUAUACUUCUAACAUGUUAUUAGUGUCCUUACUUGUGUGACACUUGUUUGAGUAUAUUUGUGGCACAUUGUAUAAUUUGUGCAAUAUAUUUAUUUCAAUUACUAUGAGAUGUUAGCAUAUUGAGAUUUGAGCGAAUUAAUGGCUGGACUAGGGCCAUAGAGCCGUGUUGAUAUUAAUAUUAAGGUGACGCAUACGCCAGGCCCCAUAUUUGGCUUAGUGGUAUUGAUAUUGAGGUAAAUCUUACGCUAGGCCAUUUGGGCUGAGUUAUGAUGAUUAUUGACUUUUGAUCCAAUCAGCACUUGGGCUAGGAUCCUCCCCUCUGGAGUCAGGUGAUAACCUAUGUUACUUUGGGCCUUGUGAGUGCAGAUGCUGGGUAUGUGCUUAAUGAGGGGCUUUAUGCCAGGCACCCGUACAGUGAUGAGAGUGUGCUUACUUGAUGAUUUAACUGUGAAGUCAUUGAUUUUGGCAUGCAGGCAUAGAGUCAUAUCUUCGUCAUGCUAAUUGUUACUUUAUAUAUUGAAAUUGAUGCUUUACCUAAUUUGUUUGGAAAGCAUGUCUAUUUUCCAAUUAAUGUUAUUAAGUUGAACUUUCUAUUCUUAAGAUGCUUUUUCAUUUUUGCUAUUAUAAUUAUGUUGUUACUGUCAUUGUUAGCUGUUAAAAAUGAGUAGUGGACUUUGCCAACCUUAUCGCUAUGUCCAAUCUAAGGUUAGACUUGCUACUUACAAAGUACAUGGGGUCGGUUGUAUUGAUGCUGCACUAUGCACUUUAUAUGCAGAUCUAGGUACUACUAAUAGAGUUGAUUGCUAGAAAAAGGUAUCAGUUCAUGUUGGAGAUUGCAAGGUAGCUUUGUUGUUCCAUUCGCAGGCCUUGUCCCUUUCCUUACUUUUGUUAUUACCAUUUAUGUUCUUUAGAUAGUAUUUUAUCGUUAUUCAGACCAUCGUACUUACUUAUUCUAUAAAGCUCAUAUACUCGUUGACACCAGGGUUUGGGUUGGUAUUUUAGUUAUAUCACUAUUCUGACUUCCUUCAUGUAUUGCUAUUCCGUUAUUUAGACUUUCAUUAUUGUUAUUAAGGUUUACUUCUGAAUAUUGAAUGUUAGCUUGCCUAGUAAGUGAUGUUAUGCGCCAUUACGGCUUCGAUGGGAUUUUGGGUCUUGACAAAUUGGUAUCAUAGAACCAGGUUGCUUUGGUUUCAUAAGUCAUGAGAAAGUCUAGUAGAGACUUGCGUAUCGAUACAGAGAUGUCUGAAUGAUUACUUUCUAUUCUCUCACAUAUAGUGAGGACACGUUCAUCGGGUUCAGCUAAGCAUGCACCGCUAUCCCAAGCCAGGGCCAUGAGAGACGUGGCCCGAGGUAGAGGUAGCGGUGGAGCAUGCACCGUAGCUAGAGCCACUGCUUGUGCAGCUACUGUGGAGCCACCACUAGCUUAUGUCGAAGAGAAAUUUCAUGAUUAUGUUGAGCUGGAGGUACCAGCUCAAGUUCCCCAUGGUUUAUUCGUUUCGCCAGUUGUUCAGGAAUCUUGGUUCAUAUGGUUGUUCAAGAGUUUGGCUCUGGCUAAAGAAUUUCCUAUUGUACGAGCUACUUCCCAUGCAGGCGGAGGAGCGCAGACUCCAGCUACUUGUACCCCAGAGCAGGUGGCCCAUGGUUAUCAGACUCCCUCAUUAUUACUGGUUGGGGGAGUUCAGCCUACUGUUGCCACAUAGCCUGAGGAGAGGCCCGCGAUGUCAGCUGAUGAGCUAAAGAGACUGGAUAAGUUCACGAAGUCGCAUCCUCCUCACUUCAGUGGUACACCUUCAGAGGAUGCCCACGGGUUUUUGGAUCAUUGUCAUGAUAUUCUACGCAAUUUAGGACAGAUCGAGUCCAAUGUAGUUGAUUUCACGGCCUUCUAGAUGCAGGGUCAAGCCAAAAGGUAGUGGUAGGUUUAUGCAUUGGGCAUACCAGCAGGAUCACCUCCUAUAACCUGGGCUCAAUUCUCCAGGGUCUUUUUGGAGAAUUUCGUGCCCCACACUAGGAGGGAGGAGCUAAGGAGGCGAGUACCUUCAUCAGGGUCUGGUGUUAGUUACCGAGUAUGAGAUGAAGUUCAUAGAGUUGUUCUAUCAUACUACAGUUUUGAUUCCCACUAAGGAGGAGAUAGUAAAGAGAUUCAUUGAUGGUAUUCACCAUGGUAUUCACAUUGUCUUAAUUACUUGAUCAAGGAACAGUGCUUUCGAACAUUACUUACAAGAAUCUCUCCUUCUGUCUCACCUUCUGAAGGGGUAGUAAGAAGGGGGGUUCAAUGCGAUUCUCAUUCAUGCCGGUUCAGGAGCUUAGGCCUAAAGGCUCAUAAAGGGUUGACUAAGGAGAAUGAUCAUAGGGUGACAAUUAAAAGCUCAAACAGUCCAAGGAAAGCCUAAAAUUAUGUUCCAAACCAAGCAUACUCAAAAUUACUCUUUGAAGCACAUUCGGGGCAAGUUCUUGACUAUCCCACUCAAACACUUGGACUUGAAACAAAAUUAUUCCUCACCUCUCAUGCAAAUAGACCGUGAAAGAAGAUAGAGUCUAAAAGACAUAAUAGCCUCAAUCAUGUUACAAGAUCUCUAUAGUCUACUCAACCACCUAAUGAUUCAAAAAGGUACCACAAGAGCCUCAAAGUCACUUUACUAGAAUUGCUACCUCAAAAAUGAUUAACACACUUGUCUCAACUCAUAAGCAUGUAGUUAAGCGUGUUGGUACCACAUGAGGCAAAAAUAACAUGUUUUCAUGGAAGAGCUCAAUUAGGACUCAUUAUGGAUAGACUGACCAAGUCUUUACAUUUCAUUCUGGUCAUGACUUCCUACACUUCAGAGUUGUUGGCCAAGAUCUACAUCAGGGAGAUUGUCCGCUUACAUGGUGUGCCUAUUUUUCUCAUCUCAGAUCGCGGCGCUCAGUUUACUUCAUGUUUCUGGAGAGCAGUUCAGUGUCAGUUGGGCACGUGGGUUGAGUUGAGCACCGCAUUUCACCCUCAGUCAAAUAGGAAAUUCGAGCGGACCAUUCAGAUUUUGGAGGAGAUGUUGAGAGCUUGUGUCAUAGAUUUCGAAGUCUAAUGUGAUUAGUUUCUUCCUUUAGAAGAGUUUGCAUACAAUAAUAGCUAUCAGUCGAGGAUCCAUAUGGCUCUGUAUUAUUCAUUAUAUGGAAGACGAUGUCGUUCUUUGGUUGGUUGGUUUGAGCCUAGGGAAGCUAGAUUAUUAAGCACAACUAUGGUUCGUGAUGCUCCAGAGAAUGUGAAGUUAAUUCAGGAGAGUCUUCAUAUGGUGGAGUCCAGGCAGAAGAGUUACGCUGAUAGGAAGGAUCGUGAUGUGGCAUUCAUGGUGAGUGAGAAGGUUAUACUUAGAUAUUUUUCUAUGAAGGGUGUGUUGAGGUUUGGGAAGAAGGACAAGUUGAUCCCUCGGUAUCUUGAUCCAUUCAAGGUGUUGUUGAGAGUUGGUGAGGUGGCCUACAGACAUGCUUUGCCACCCAUCUUGUUGGGAGUUCAUUCAGUGUUUCAUGUUUUCAUCAUUCGGAAGUAUUAUGAGGAUCAGUCACACGUGUUAGAUUUUAGUUCAGUGCAGUUGGAUGAGAAUCUUGCUCAUAAAGAAGAGUCGAUGGCCAUUUUUAAUAGGCAGGUUCAAAAGCUAAGGUCUAAAUUAGUUCGAGGACGACAUUUAUUUAAGAGGGGGAAUGUAAUGACUUGGCCGGUUGUUUUAUGUAUUUUAGCUUUGUUCCCAUAUGUGAUUCUUACUGUAUGCUUGUUUGUUAUUUUGAGACUUGUGGGAUAGCUGGUUUGGUUUCAUGAAGGCUUUGGAAUGAAUUGGAACACUUAGAUCCACGGUUGGAAGCUUUAGUUAUAAGAGUUGAUCAUGGUUAGCAUUUUGUGUAAAUGAUCUCGGAUCGGUGUUUUAAUGGUUCCAAUAGGUUUGUAUGGUAAUUUUGUAAUAAGGUGUAUGUCCAGAUUCGGAUUUGGAGGUUCUUAGGAUAUACGUUUUGGCUCUAAUUGUCAAAAGUUGGAAAUUUGAAAGUUUGGAAAGUUCUUAAGAUUUACCGUGGGUUGAAUUUGAGGCUAUCAGGUUUGGAUUGUUGUUCUGGGACUUGGUAUAGGUCCGUUUAGCUGUUUGGAACUUUUUUGCAAAGUUUGGGUUCAUUCCAUAUUGGUUAGGCUUGAAUCAGAUGCUUUGUUGUGAAUGUUGAAGUUCUAGAACUUUAAGAAAUGUAUUAUGUGUUUUGGUGUUCGAUUUCUUGUUAUGGGUGUUAUUUAGAUGAUUUGAGAUAAUGAGCGAGCUCUUAUAUGGUUUAAAUACUUAUUGGUGUGCUUGGAAGGGAUCCCGGGUGGCUCAAGUGAUUUUUAGACCGCCCGGAUCGUUUUGAAAGUUGCAGACUUUGCUGGUGUAAGGUCCUUCUUCACAAUCGUGGAGGUUGGAUCGCGAUCGAGGAGUGCAUUUGAGCGGGGCCGGAUCUUUCUUUUUCGCAUUCGCGAUGCAAGGGUCAUGUUCGUGAUAGGUGAGGUAGUUUGGCUUUCACGUUCAUGACCAGGGCAUCUCAUUUGCGCUGCAGUGAGGCAGGUCGGGGAUGAUCAAGUGCUUGGCCUUCACAUUCGUGGAAAGGGGACCGCAUUCGCGUAAGCUUGUGGAGUUUGUGUAUCGUGAUCAUGGGCUGGGGGCGCAUUUUCAAAGGGUUAACUGGAGGUUGUGGAUUUUUGUGCUUCGCGAAAGCGAGGCAGUGGCCGCAUUCGUGAAUGUACUGGGUAGACUUAUAAGUGAUGUAAUUUCUAGACUUAGACCCAUUAUUUCAUAUUUUGAACUUUAAACUUGGAGAGGAGCGUUGUUUGAAGAAGAUUUUCACACAAAGUAAGGUGUAAGUGUUUUCUACUUAAUUUUUAUGUUUUAUCUUGUUUUCUCAUUGAUUAUUACACAUAGAUUAUGGGAUUUGAAAGUGAAAUUUGGAGAUUUUGACUAUGCUUUUGAAAAGUGAAAAAUAGAGAUUUGAACCCCGAUUUGGAGUCGGGUUUGGAUGAAACUUAUAUAUUUGGACUUGUAUUUGAAUGGGUAGUCGGGAUUUGUGAAUUUUGUCAGGUUACGAGGAGCAAGGAAGGGUUGACUUUGUGAAUUUGAUAAAGAUUUGUGCUUUAUUGUUUGGAAUCGAUUCCUAUAGCCUUGUUUGAAGUUAUUGAGUUAUUUUUGGCUAGAUUUGACACGUUCAGAGGCCGAUUCAGGAGGCAGGCCUUUUUGGACAAUUGAAUCUCGCACUUUGAGGUAAGAAUCUUGCCUAGGCUUGGCUUGAGGGCAUUUUCCCUAUAGACUAAAAUUCUUGCUAUAUGUUGGGGGUGACGCACGUACGUGGUGUCGAUCGUAUAUGCGCACACCGUUGUUAUUCUUGAUCCAGGUAGACUUUAGGCUAUUAUGUAUCUUGUUUUGCUAUCAUGCCUCCUUGUUACCCUAUUUUUUCUACUUGUAUGACUAAUUGACCAAUUAUUCGCAUUAGAAAUCAUGUCUAGGCUAUGUGCUUAUCUGUUUGAGACCCGAUAGGGCUAUUUUGCUAUGUUGAGUUGUUUGCCUUGAUUGUAGUCAUAUUUUUCAAUAAUAAUAUUAUAUUUGUGUAUUAUAUUACCAUUUAUGUAUACUUCUUACAUGUUGUUAGUGUCCAUACUUGUGUGACACGGGUUUGAGUGGAUUUGUGGCUCAUUGGUAUAAUUUAUGUGGUAUAUUGAUUUCUAUUACUUUGAGAUGUUGGCAUUUUGACAUUUGAGCGGAUUAAUGACCUAACUAGGGCCAUAGAACCGUGUUGCUAUUAAUAGUUUCACGACCCAAAAUCCACUAAAGGUCGUGAUGGCGCCUAACAUCGCCGUCAGGCCAGCCAACGAUGAUUGAUCAACUUAAUUACCCAUUUUUUUAUUUUGAAAUCAUAAUUUUUAUUGAUUAAAUAGUAUGAAAUAGAAUUUACAUAGAUACAUUAACAAACAACCCGUAGAAACCCCCAAAACUCGGUGUCACAAGUGUAUGAGCAUUUUUUAAGGCGUACAAUAAUAAUACAACAUAUGUCUUGAAUGUAAUAAGACUAAAUAAAAUAAUUAGUAUAAUGGAGACUCAGUGGACUCUGAUGCGUAGCCUGGAAUGUAGCUCGCGUGAAGUCUGCUCAACAGGUGUGCCUAUGCGCCAAGGUGAUCAUCAAUGAACCUGUCAGAUCCUGCACAUUUAGUACAGAAGUACAGCAUGAGUACAUAAAUCAACGCGUACCCAGUAAGUAUCUGGCCUAACCCCGGAGAAGUAGUAACGAGGGGUCGACAUCAACACUUACUAAAUGUCCAAUAAAGCAAUAUAAUAAAACAUAAGUAGAUAUGAGAUAUACGGCAAUGAUGGGGUAAAUCUGUAAGUUACAUAAUCUUUCAAAUUCUUCUUUCAAGGUAUAAAUUUCUAAAUCUUGUAUUCUACCUUAACAUCUCGAAAAAAUUUCAAGUGUCAUUAUCAAAUAAGUAAGGAAUACCAUAUAAAAUACCGGGCAUCAGUGGAAAGCUUAGCUCGUGAAUAUUCGAUCUACUAGCAAAAUAACGCACGAUUCUGCCGAGGUCAUUUGGCCCGAUCGAGAAUAAUGUGUACACUUCCAUGGGUCGAGCGGCACAAACCAUAGAUGCAUAUAUAUACUGCCGAGGUGUUCGGCCUACUCCAUAAGAAAAGGAAGGAAGUUAACGAAUAACGAGACACGUGUUUACAAUAUAGCACAUGAGCAUAAAAUGAAUAUAAUCCUUACCAUUUCUUAAAUAACUCACCCAAAACUCAAAGUGUUAAGGCUUGGCCUAGUGUGCAUAUAUUUAUUUCUAAAUUGAUUUCAGUUAUAAAUUCAAUUAAUUAAGCCAGCAGAGUGAGUUCAAGUAAUUCGAAUAUUACAUGAUAAGAUCCUAAGUCUACCCCGACAUAAACACGCUUUAGCUAUGUACGGACUCUCAUCACCUCGUGCGUACGUAGCACCCACAACUAGUUGCACAUAAUAAUAANNNNNNNNNNNNNNNNNNNNNNNNNNNNNNNNNNNNNNNNNNNNNNNNNNNNNNNNNNNNNNNNNNNNNNNNNNNNNNNNNNNNNNNNNNNNNNNNNNNNNNNNNNNNNNNNNNNNNNNNNNNNNNNNNNNNNNNNNNNNNNNNNNNNNNNNNNNNNNNNNNNNNNNNNNNNNNNUGANGAGACNNNNAGAAACUCAUAACCACCUGCCGAAUCAAUAAUUCAUGGAGUCUCUCCUCCUGACAAGAACCAUUACCUCAUUUUGAACUCAAUAACGAUAUUUUCUCUUUAAUGUACCUUGUAUAAAUCUGAUUGCACAAAUUUCAGGGCCAAUAAUCUCGUCUCACCCAGUACAAGCUGCUCAGGCAAUAAGCCAUCUCAGACACUGCCAAAAAUCUUAUAUGAUGCCCACAACGCGCCAACAAGUUACAACUCGAAUGUGAUACAUAAGGAAGAACGAACUCUGGAGAAGGACUACCCAGCUCGCGUAACAAAUAAAACGGCCAAAUAAAUGUUGUGAACCUACCUCAGGGAUGAAAAACAAGACACACAAAAUAAAUGUAAGGAGCUAUGCUCAACAUCUCGUUGUUGCGGCAUGCAACCCGAUCCGACAUGACACUGUUGUGGUGUGCAACCUGAUCCAAACAUGACAAUGCUGCGGCAUGCAACCCGAUCCCAAUAAUAUACCUGUGGCGGUGUUCCAUCCGAUACGCACAUAACAAUCAAGAAGAAAAUACACACAUCAAUCUGUAAUGCUUAUAUUUAUGAAAUGCCCGUAUAUCGACCACAAGCAUGCCAAGCGCAUAAUACAAAUCCUAGGGAGACGACUAGCGCCAUAUGCUACGAAACCCAAGCACAACUAAGGUGCAAUUAUCACCUACAUCUCGAGAGUCACCUGCUCACAUAACACCACAAGCUACACGGGACCUUAACACGUGUGCGAAUAAUCAAGUUGCCUCACAACCCAUAUGGCACAAUAGAGAUUUACAUGGAAUAGUUGACGAUGGGAAUAACAUCCAAUGCCCGAUGACUCCUCCGUAAGUAUUGCUAUGACGAAUGAACACAUUCGACCUAACGUAGGGCACAAAUUCAUAUUUGGCCCACCAACGAACCUCAAACCGAUUUCGAUCAUACCACACUGUGCCAAUAAACUUCCAAGGAUCCACAAUGGCCCUAUUCAUGACACAUAAAAACAGUCAUCACAUCUGAAACAACUCACACGGUCCACAGCCCAAGGAAUAGAAUGCCUCUCAGGCAUAAACUCUCGCAUUAAUGAUAGUACCAUAAUCUUCAUACUUUGUUUCAAUCUUUAACAAUCAAGUGACUAACAUGUCACACUUAUACAUAUUUCCCGGUGGGAUACUCUCACAUGACCUUUCGCACCAGGUAGCAAAGUCUGCACAUCUAUACCACCAACCGUCCUAAUCUGUAAAGCAAUUCCAGAACCUGCAAAUCGAUGCACAAUGCCCCUUCCACAGAAUACCAUUCUCUGGUGACACUAAAGAAAAUGCCAGCUUACUCUGAACAUCUGAAUUCACCCAUGCUCAUCUGAUCUCGUGACAUUAUUAUCGACACCGAACCACAACCUUGAUCCUCAACUUUCAAAUUCCCAUACCGCUCACUGCACUUAUCAUGCCGCUAUGCGAUAAUACACGUAUUCACCAUAACCCUUGAACUACUAGUGGAAUAAUCACGUCAUUGUCUAGAAAUCUUUUACUUAGCUCAUUUCAGAAGAACCAAUGCAACACGCAACUGAAUUCCCAAACCGUAGGAAAUACAAACCUCAAGUCGUGACCUAAACCGCCAUGACUCUUCCGGAGUCCAUUUACACAACAAGGCCAAACAAAUAAAAUACCUCCCAAAUCAAUCAAGGUAUGGUGGUUGUCAAGCCCGCACGUACAACAACAAACCACAUGCAUAACUUCACCCCGAAGGAACUGAUCAUUACCACAAUCAUGCCGACUCAACCAUUACUAACCGACCCAACUUCUUUCAAUUUACUCUUGACCUGACUUAGAAAUAUAAUCACUCCAUUCACAACAUAACGAACUUAAUUUGCACUCACCCUGAGUGACCCGAAUCGCGAGACUACAUCGUUUCAACACUCAUGAAUCAUCUCAUACCCUCCUUAUGUGCUCAAUAGCAUCUCCGACCGGUACAUCCAUUCUGCAAGACCUUCUACGAAUCCGAAGCUAUUUCUUCCUUUCCUCCAAUACUGCACCGCAUACCCAAUGAUAACAUUGAACAUUCCAAGUCUCGUUUGCAAUUCACCGUGAAACCUCGAUCCUUAACCAUACAACAGACCCAAAAUCCUUAGGCACUACACUUAAUUCUUGAACCCAUUAGAACCGUCGUUGAGAGUCACCCCCUCUGACCUGGUCCUAAAUAUAACCAAACUUCAACACUCUGCUAGCACAUGAACACCCUCUUAAAGAAGCAAUCGGCUGAAUUCUUUUCCUUGUACAUUAUAUCCAAAGAAGCAUAAACUCUGAGUCUUCCAAAAUCCUGCACCUCAAUUGAUAAGGCGAAGUAUAGCACACAUUCAUCGAGUUCCUUGUUCGAAUUAAUCCACCAAUGCAUCGAUAACCAGAAACUGCACAAGCAGACAACCACGCGAUCCAACUGUAAACGGUGCCCCCCCCCCCACUUAGUGUUAAGCUACCACCACAUAAUGUAGAGCCCACAACGAUUCCUCCAUAUCAAUUACCAUGAUCUUGCACUGUUAACACGCCAAAAUUUCUCAAACUCUUUUGUUAAGCAUAUUUGACCCCCUGCCGGGUAGUAAGUAGAACUCCUCGUAGAAACUUUAUCAAAUUCACGCAAACCGCUAACUUGCUCGUAGGAAAUAACCUAACUAUGGAAUUCCUUACCGACAUCUUCCAACGACGCUGCACUAGGUACAACUACCACAUAAUCAGUAAAUUCUCUUGAGCCCAUGCUCGCCCACCGGCUGUAUAAGUCUGUUCCUUCCCUAUUGACAUCAACUGAAAGUUCAACAAUACAUUUCAAACUCAAAGCCAUGUUGCAUCCGAAACUAUAAUCAAAUCUUAACACCCCUCUUUAUUUCAAGCAAACACCUUUCUUCCAUAUUCAAUCUUUCUCCGUACAGUAACCAUGAUUCCAAUUAUAAUCCGUGGGCCUAGUCACUUUCCACCAUGCCUCCAAAAUCNNNNNNNNNNNNNNNNNNNNNNNNNNNNNNNNNNNNNNNNNNNNNNNNNNNNNNNNNNNNNNNNNNNNNNNNNNNNNNNNNNNNNNNNNNNNNNNNNNNNNNNNNNNNNNNNNNNNNNNNNNNNNNNNNNNNNNNNNNNNNNNNNNNNNNNNNNNNNNNNNNNNNNNNNNNNNNNNNNNNNNNNNCAAAUCGCUCAAAUCUUCCUCAAGGUACGUGGCUAUCCUACCACAGAAUCCCUAUGCUACUCUGUCACUCCCACUUCGGUCAAACCAUCUCCAUUAAGCAACUUCUCAACCUCUACUUUAAACCAUCUCCUUUAAAUAACACCCUGUCCCGAAGGCAAAAAUCAAAGGAGAUCAUAACACCGGCGAACCGUAAUGCAUUCAAACAAGGAUGACGACACCGCAUCACAAUGAAAAUUCCACCACGCUCAAAAAUACCAAGUCUCGUUACUCUAUCGACCAAAAUUUGAACAUCCAUAGUCCGAUUGCCUUUCCUUUACUGGAAUUAAAUGAUGAACCUCUAAAUCAUGCGCUGAGAAAUCCUCCUUUCGAGGCAUUCAUUGCCGCGAUCCAUAAAUAAGCACUCUACCAUUACACCAACACAGUGGUAACAACUCAUGAAUAUCAUAGCAACCUGUGCAUAGCCUCAAAACUAUAGGAAGUAUAGAUACUGAACUGAAAUGACAGAACACCCUUCCGUAAGGGGGUGAUAACAGCCUGCCCGAACAUGCAGGAAAAAUAUCCUGCACCACGUCUGUAGUACUACUACAACUCCUUGAUGCCCAACUGAUAAUAAGCGCUUCACGUCGCAUGAGAUUGAGCAGGAAGGGAAUAAAGGCACAAGCCUCAAUCGAAUCAAAUCGCACGAUGAGGAAUCAAGAAGGGAAGUGCUUCUAAUAGCCCUGUAGCCUCUCGAAGAUAAGUACAGACAUCUUCGUACCGAUCCGCAAGACUCUACUUGACUCGCUCAUAACUCGUGAGACCUAAGUGAACCUAACUCUCUGAUACCAAGUUGUUACGACCUAAAAUCCACUAAAGGUCGUGAUGGCGCCUAACAUCGCCGUCAGGCCAACCAACGAUAAUUGAUCAACUUAAUUACCUAUUUUUGUAUUUUGAAAUCAUAUUUUUUAUUAAUUAAAUAGUAUGAAAUAAAAUUUACACAACUACAUUAACGAACAAUCGGUAGAGACCCCCAAAACCAGGUGUCACAAGUGCUCGAGCAUUUUCUAAGGAGUACAAUACUAAGACAACAUCUGUCCUGAAUGUAAUAAGACAGAAUAAAAUAAUUAGUACAAUGGAGACUCAGUGGACUCUGAUGCGUAGCCUGGAAUAUAGCUCACGUGAAGUCUCCUCAAUAGGUGUGCCUACGCGCCAAGGUGAUCAUCAAUGAACCUGUCAGAUCCUACACAUUUAGUGCAGAAGUGCAGCAUGAGUACGUAAAUCAACGCGUACCCAGUAAGUAUCUAGCCUAACCCCGGAGAAGUAGUGAUGAGGGGUCGACAUCGACACUUGCUAGAGGUCCAAUAGAGCAAUAUAAUAAAACAUAAGGAGAUAUGAGGCAUACGGCAAUAAUGGGGUAAAUCUGUAAGUUACAUAAUCUUCCAAAUUCUUCUUUUAAGGCAUAAAUUUCUAAAUCUUGUAUUCUACCUUAACAGCUCGGUAAAAUGUCAAGUGUCAUAAUCAAAUAAGUAAGGAAUACCAUAUAAAAUGUUGGGCAUCAGUCUAAAGUUUAGCUCGUGAAUAUUUAGUCUACUAGCGAUAUAACGCAUGAUUCUACUGAGGUCGUUCGGUCCGAUCCAGAAUAAUGUGUACACUGCCAAGGAUCGAGCGGCACAAACCAUAGAUGUAUCUAUAUACUGCCGAGGCGUUCGGCCCGCUCCACAAGAAAAGGAAGGAAGUUACCGAAUUACGAGACACAUGUUUACAAUACAGCACAUGAGCAUAAAAUGAAUAUAAUCUUUACCAUUUCUCAAAUAACUCGCUCAAAACGUAAAGUGUCAAGGCUUGGCCUAGUGUGCAUAUAUUUAUUUCUAAAUCUAUUUCAGCUAUAACUUCAAUUAAUUAAGCUAGCAGAGUGAGUUCAAGUAAUUCAAAUAUUACAUGAUAAGAUCCUAAGUCUACCCCGACAUAAACAUGCUUUAGCUAUGUACGGACUCUCGUCACUUCGUGCGUACAUAGCACCCACAACUAGUUGCACACAACAAUAAAUAUCACCUAGGGGUAGUUUUCCCCUCACAAGUUUAGACAGGAGACUUACAUCGCUCCGAAGUUCCAUAACUGACUCCAAAGCCUCUCUAACACCUCAAACUGAUGCACGUCAAUCCAAAACUAGUCAAACAAUGUGCAAACCAAUCAAAAUAUACUCUAAUAUCCAUAAUUAAUCAAUUUAAACAAUUUCUAACUCCGCUCGAAAAAUCGAUAAUGUCAACCCUCGGGCCCACGUGCCCGGAUUUCGAACAUUUUUGAAGAUAAACCUUACCCAUAACAUUACUAACUCUAAUAUAUAAUAUAUUCUUAAUUUCAUUUCCAAAAUCAUGGUCAAAAUCCAAAUUAUCAGUUCUAGGUCUUCUACCAAAAUCCCACAAUUUUCCUAAAUUUUACUCCUUAAAUCCACAUAUAAAUCUUACAUUUAGCUCACAACAAGUGGAAAAUUACUUACCAUGUGUUACAUGAUGAAAACUCCUAAAUAUCGCCCAAGAACCGAGCUUCAAAAAUCCCAAAUGAAAAUGACUAAAUGACCAAGUUCGAUCCCCUUAUGUUCUGCCCAGUUUUCGCUUCUGCGUACACAUUUUGUCACGCCCCAAACUCAGUGAGCGCGACCGGCGCUCAAUCGAGUGAACCCGGCCGAGCAAGCCUAUUAGAUUUUCUUCUAUCCAAACUCAUCCAUGAAUAAAGAGGAGAUGCACUUUAUUAAUCAAAUACUGAAAAUAUUUCAUUAACAACCCCCAUUUCAUUCCAUUAGCAGCUUCGUUCAUAAUUUCCAAAUUAUUACAAGUUUAUAGAUAUAAUGAAAAACAUGUUUUCCAAAUACCAACAUUUCUAAUUCAAUUCCCAACAUUUGGCUACCACCCACAACCUGUCUACGGAGCCUCUAAGUACAACACAAGAGUAGUAUGGAAGUGUCGGCAACAAGGCCCCGGCUAUACCUCAAAACACAAUGUACCACUCAAAUGACACCAGGCCCGGAAUAGAGUAGGGCUCACCAAAACCUGCUGAAUAGAGAGUGACUGCUAACGAGUACCAAAGCUGCCUGUUGAUGAAUCACCUGCAUCUAUUGAAGAUGCAUCCCCUCCCCCCCAAAAGGGACGUUAGUACAUAUGGAAUAGUAAUAGUAUGUAAAGCUAACUGUCCUUUUUCAAAAUAGAAUGCCAAUAUAAGAAAAGGAAAACCAUAGAAGCAGCAAGACAAAAUCAACAAUAUCCAUAUGCCCAGUUAAAACAUAACAAUUUUCAAAAUACGAAAUUAAUAUAUAUUUUUGGUUGGGAGAUCUUUAGCACCAAAAUACCACCAUUCACAGUACCAAUAUUUAUAAUACCAAAACCACCGUUCACAGUACCGAUAUUCACAAUACCAAUACCACCGUACCUUUAGCACGGAGUCAGAUCACGACCCGAUCGGUUAGGCCAUCUCAUUAGAGACAUCAACCACAAUCACUCUCAAUACCAAUACCACCGUACUUUUAGCACGGAGUCCGAUCACGACCCGAUCGGCUAAGCCAUCUUAUUGGAAGACAUCAACCACAAUCACAAUCUCUAUACAAAUAUACCACUGUGAAUCUAGCAUGGAGUCCGAUUACGACCCCAUCGUCUAGGCCGUCUUAUUUGAAGACAUCAACCAAAAUUACAAUUUCAAUUAUAAUUUCCAGCACAAUCACCACCAUGUGUGCAGCAUGGCGUCCGAUCAAGACCCGAUCGGCUAGGCUGUCUCAUGUGUGACAUCAUCCUUUUCUAUCAUCAAUCUCAUCCCAAAUAAGGGGAAUAACUUUGUCAUAUCAAUCUCAUCCCAAUUAAGGGGGGAAACAUUUUUGAUUUGCAUACAAAGAAAACAUAAAUACAGAUUUCAUCUACUCAUGACAUUUCAUAUCGUAUAUAGCUUCAUUGUUGCUUUUAACCACUUACAACAUCAUUAUUUCAUUGGCUCUCUGGGCCAUACAUAUGAUUCUUCUUUCAUGGCACAAUGACCGUAUUUCAUAUUCCACACUUUUAUUUCUUCCCUAUUAUGGAUCAUCAUCAUAAAUAUCAACAAAUAGAAUAUUCCGAAAAUCACAACUUUAGGUUCAUUAGUCAUGAAGGUUUUAAACACAAUGUAUUUCUUUCCAAGAAAUGGAGUAAAAUGAUUGGCAAUUGAAGCACAAGUUAAAAUCAUAAACAAGUAACAUAUCAUUUAUUCUUGAAACACUUUUCCCCAAAAAAGGCAAUACACAUUAUCAACUCACGAAUAUGUAAGAACGCAAAACACAUCGAAAAUACUUACAAAGCAUGGCAUUAGCUAAAAAAUCCACACAUGGGCAUCACUUGAGUUCAUAAUCUUUUAGGCAAUUCCAUUGGCCACAAGUAUAACUUUCAUUCUUGGCACAGUGGCUACACUUUAUAUCUUCAACUCACCUCUUUCACUUUCAAGUAUCUUUGUAGAUUAUCAACAACAAGGCAUUUCCAAUCAAGACUUCAGUUACACAUAUGAGUAAUUAAUAGUCUUAAGCAUAUCGAGUUUUUCUCACACAAGUUAUUAUCAUAACUUUCAUUUGAAAUACGACUUAAAGCCACAACAUUUUAAUGCACGUAUUAUUCUUGAACACAUUCCCAAAGGAUAACAUAAUGUGAUAGGAACAUUCGGAACAUGUUUUGAAUACAUAAUUCUCGACACUUUGCUUAUUCAGGACAAUCAAAUUUAUUGGGAACAUCUCGGAACAUAGAAUAAGGAACUUGAGACAACCAUACAUGAAACUUACGGGAAUAUCAUGGAAUUCAAUUAUAAGAGAGUAGUUUAGCAAACAUACCUCAUGUUGAGCUUUCCUUAAAUUGCUACAUUGUUCCGGAAACUCUAGCAAUCCCAAUCUAUUUUGAGACAUAACAAAAUUGAACACAAAUUAAGAAGAUAUUCAUGGUUUCAGCUCAUUUGAGCAUUUUAUCAAACAUUUAGUAGGCAUGAAUCUAUACAUCUCGUAACCGUAGAAUUAGUACAUCCAAAUACUACCAUUUACCAAUAAUUUAUCCCACCAUCAUUCUUAAACAAUUCUUAACUUCCAACAUCACAUACAUGACCAUCCAUCCACACCCAACCAAUAAAAUUUUAUCAAAUAAUCACCUUUCAAUCUCUACAAUGGUUAUAUAUUUAAAUUGGGAACUUAUGGCUUCCAAUCACCAUACCAUAAGUUUUAACACAUAUUUCAUACAUAAAUAAUCACCAUAGAUUAAUUAGAGUUGGUAGACAUACCUCUUAUAGUGAAACUCUUGAGAAUCCCAACUUGUAGUGUUCUUGACCAAUUUGGGAUUUAAAUGGAAAUCUAUGGAUCUUCAAGAUUAAUCCUUGUUAAUACAAGUGUUUAGGAGUAGUAAUCAACUCAAAAUUACUCCAAAAACAUUACCUUGGUUCAUGGGAGGGAGAUGUUGGACGGAUUCCCCUUGAUAUGCAAGCCCUAGCUCAAAGAAAUGACUUAGCUCUCUCUCUCUACCCGGCCUUGGGGGUAUUUAAUGGGUUCCUACAUGCGCGGCUGCACACCUGGGCAAGUGGCCAUGCAUCUGGCUGUGCACACAAGGCAAAAACUCCCAAAUAUGCGCGGUCGCACAUCUGGGCGUGCAUAUGACAUAGGUCCGGUAAAAUAGCCAUAAAUUUUUGUAUACAUAUCCAAAUGACCAACGAUUCAAUGCGUUGGAAACUAAACUCACAGGGCUUCAAUUUGAUAGGUCGAUCACCACCUAAUUCAUUAUAUUGAGGGAGUUAUAUUCAUUUGAAGUCGGAUAUUUUGCCAAUUGAAACAUACUUUCCACUUAAUAUAUCCAACUUGUUCCACACAAGUUCUUGCCAUUCACAAAACUUCUUAGUAUGUUCACGCUCUCCACUGAUUUUGGUCAUUUCAACUUCUUCAUCAGCCUAUUUAUUUUUCAUUCUUUGUAUUGUUCCUUCUCUCUUCACUUAUGGUCACGCUUCUAUUGACGCCUUCAUUUAUUCAUUUUGUUCUAUUUUUCUCUCUCGACUUUCAUGCUCUUACUGGAUUUACCUGUUGCAAGUGAGUUUUCUUUUUAAUUUUUCUGUUGAGUUUUGGGUUUUCUUUUUCCUAAUUGAUUGGAUAUUUCUUUGAAGUGUUAUUUUUGGUAGUUGGGAUUUUACAAUCAUGCACAUGUUUUCAAAUUUGCAUAUUUCUUGUCAUAUGCAACUGAUGAGCCACCUCUAGAAUAAUGGUACGACAAAGGGUACUUUUGGUUAUACAAAUAUAUUUUAUGGGCUUUUUAGAAUUUUGGUUCAACUUUAUUACAGACACGUGUUUUAUUCGUCGGGUACAACUGAAUUUCACUGCAUUGAUUUUCACGCUCUCCAUUGAUUUUGGCCAUUUCAUCUUCUUCAUCAGCCUAUUUNUUUUUC